RNAcentral lists this long non-coding RNA (156108 nucleotides) under Citrus x clementina. RNAcentral's name for it is "Citrus clementina (C. clementina) long non-coding RNA (CCLE_LNC000458)". The stretch from base 24806 to 24909 matches the Rfam family "Plant small nucleolar RNA R71". The record is from RNAcentral. Lineage: Eukaryota; Viridiplantae; Streptophyta; Magnoliopsida; Sapindales; Rutaceae.
UAAUGUUUUUUAUAUUUAGUCCAAGGCACUUUAAAAUCCUAGAUAUGCCCCUGAACGCGAAAUUCACAACCCAAAACCGAACCGGAUUAUGAACUCGAACUAAACCAAAUCGAAUUUGAAACCAAACCGUAACGAACUGAAAUAAUUUCCCAACCUAUUUGGGUUGACUUCUUAAACUUGAAUGGAUUGCAAACCGAAUCAAAAACUGAAAAAAUCGAAUCGAAAACCAAAAAUCCCACCCGUACUUAUGAUUCCUUGUGCCUCUAGACCUCUUCUUACCAAAAGCAGCAUACUAAAGUGUAUAGUAAAUGCUCAUUUUCUAGGUGACAUGGCUCAAGCAGGUCUAAUUGUUCAAAAAUUGAAAAUAAUCAGAUCAAAUUUGACGACCCAUACCCAUUUAUUCGUGUCAUCUUCAUAUUGGGUAAUCAGGUCAUGUCAAAUUUUGUUAGCUCUACGUACAAUUGUCAUAACUCAAAAUAUUUCACUUUCUCCUUGACAUUAUUUAUACAUCAUUUAAUUUACAAUCAGAAUUUUAUUUCAAAUGUUACCAAGAGAUAAAUGUUAUGCGGUAUACGAGUGUUUCUGUUUUUGGCUGCAAUUUUUCAAUCUAACCAAAUGUGUAUAUUAAUAUAUCUCUUCUAAUUAUCAGUAAUUCAUAAAUUAUACUAAAAUAAAGGGAAUCUAGUCCAUUGCCGAAAAAAAUAAUUGGGUUGCAUCUGCUUAUAAAUAGUUGGGAUAUCAUUAGAUAAUGGAAAGCGAUAUUUUGGCCUUCCAUCAAAUCCGUCUUCUCAAAUGGGUUGUCUAAAUUGGCCCACAUUUCAAAGUUAAUUACUUGUAAUCUGUCAGCAGCAGGUAACACCAUUCUUCCUUGGAAAAUGCUAGCUACCCCAAGUCAAGGCAUGGGUCAGACUCUGAAAGCAAUAAAUGACGCCGUUUCAAUCCCCUUUUUUUUCCUUCCAUUAUCCCUCAAACGACGUCGUUUUAGCUUGGUUAAGGCAAAAUCAACAACAGUCCCAAAUUGCUCUCUUGCUCUCUGUCUCACAACAGCCUCAAAUUGUUUUCUCUUUCUCUUCGUCUCACAGCCCUUUUAUCCUUCUAUUUCUCUGUUUCUCUUCCCCUUCGUUUCACAACCACCAUCACACAUGCCCAACUAGUUGGAUAGUCUUCUAUUCACUGCAGAAAGCUAACUAGUUUCCCUAAUAUAUAUAAGAAAAACUAAUUUUUCCAAAUUCAAGUAAAAUUCAAGCUUCGAAAAUAAGCCACUGCCAAAGAAGAGAGGACCUUAGCUACUAGGAAAGCCACGUAAAAUCGAAACUCAACUUUCAAGGGUAGAUGCCGAAACUCAAUCUUCAGUUAGAAAAUUUUCGCAGCUACCGUAAAUGCCGACACUCAUCCUUGUUCAAACUUUCCUUUUUGUCUUUUGGUGGUGCCGAUGGCUGGGUAUAUGUGAUGGAACCCUGUGUGAUGGUGGUUGUCAGGCUGAUGGCUAUCAGUGUGGUGGGUACCGAUGAUUGGGUACACGUGAUGGUGGCUAUGAAACGAAGGGGAAGAGAAAGCAGUGGUUUUAUAGAGAAAUAGAAGGAAAAAAGGCUGUGAGACGAAGAGAAAGAGAAAGCAAUUUGGGCCUGUAACAAUUUUACCUUAACCAAGCUAAAAUGAUGUCGUUUUGGCUUGAAUGAAAGGAAAAAAAAAAGUGAUUGAAACGUCAUCAUUUAUUGCUUUCGGGAUUUGACCCGGGGCAAAUAGUAGAACUGUUCUUCCUUACGAGACACAAAUCUAUUAUUUUAAUUUUUUCCUUAUUUUUAAUGCUACACGUGCCAAGCUAACCACCUUUCCUUGUCAUAUCAAAGUUCCGUAUGACAUGAUUUUUGUNNNNNNNNNNNNNNNNNNNNNNNNNNNNNNNNNNNNNNNNNNNNNNNNNNNNNNNNNNNNNNNNNNNNNNNNNNNNNNNNNNNNNNNNNNNNNNNNNNNNCGUCCUCAUAUUUUUACCCUAUCUAAUAUUUAAGAAAUGUCUACUCCACUCAUAUUUUGAAAGGGAGAAGAUUAUCUUCACUCAAAUUGAUAAAGGAAAUUAAACCCUCAUAAUACAUUGUGUGGAUUCGAACCUAUGACCUCACAAUUAUGAGAUUUGGCUUCUAACCAUUGGGCUAAAGCCAGAUGGCUCCCUUUACUUGAACUUAGGUAACAUGGCACCAAAUUUAUUCGCAGCCAGCCAAUUAAGCUUACGUUAAGGGGGCAAAAGAAGCACUCUAGGAUGUAAUUUCGCCAAUACACUUAAUUUGAGUGUGGGUAAAUUUCAAGAUGCUAAACCCCAGGCGUAAUUCACACUAAUAAAAUUCAUAUGUUGUUUAUUAUGGUAUCAAAAACUCAUGCCUAUAGUCUAGGAGUGUGGGCAAGAUCACUUGAAUUUUCUAAACUAGUCUUACAAUUAAGUAAUUAAAAAAAAUAAAACCAGAAAAAAUAAAAUGUAUCCAUUUCAUAUGCUAAGGAAAGGUGAACCCUGGUAGUAAGCAAAAAAAAAAAAGAAAAAAGAUUCAAUGAGCAAUAAACAGUAAAAAUACGAAAAUCAACACCUAGUCCAAAGAGAAGGAUAACCUUGUUGUAUGUUGUUCCUGUUGAAAAUUCGUCAAAUAAUAAGAUGAAUAUAGAAGUUAAUUUUUUUAAUCACAAUUUUACGUUUUUUCCAUUAAAUUUUUAUUUAAUUUUGUAAUAGACUAUCAAACUUUAUAGUCUAUCUAUUAUAACCCCUGCUGUUGGCAUCUUCAAUUUUAUAGAUUUUAUAUUAUAGCCUAGUCAAAUUUGUAUUUUAUUUUUAUCGAAGAAUUUCACAGCUCCACGAGUGAUAACGGAAAUACUAUAAUAUUUGCAAUAUGUGUGUGUAUAAAGUCUCAAUCUGGUCUAGAAUCCAGUACUUCAUUAAAGUUCGCACGGCUUAAUAGUUUUCACAUACAUUAUACUAUUAAACUCCACAAUUUAAUAGAUUUCUCAGAUUUUAACAAAUGUAGGAUUUUGAACUAGAACAUUUCAAAACACACACACACACACAUAUAUAUAUAUAUGAAGUACCAACCAACAAAAUGACAUCUAUAUAUAAAAAAAAAAAAAACAUACACGUCAUAAUUCUAUUAGUUGAUUGUACCUAAAAUAAAGGCACAUAAAAUUUUCACCCAUAAAUUUUACCUCAUAAUACAGCGCACACGUUGUUUCCGUCCAUUUACAGCUAGUUUAUUGCAUCUUCUUUAGGCCCUCAUGCAUGUUCCGUUUGUAUCGUAGGCACCCACUUUGCACCAAGAAACCAAGAGCUAUAGCAAAGGAUCCGCCGUUGUUGUUUUUUUCUUUUAAAUGUGAUUAAAGCAGGUUUAGUUUUCACCAUUCUUGAAGCAUAUAAAGGCAUAUCCUCUGAUUUCAUAAUCUUCAUUACACCGAAAAAUUUCUGAAUACUUAACCAUGCUUGCAUAAAGAUGGCAGAUCAAUUAUUUAUUAAGCAGGCAAAGCAAUAUACCGAAGGUAGGCCAAGUUAUCCAGCAGAAUUGUUCCAAUUCAUCGCCUCUAAAACACCCGAUCACGACCUUGUAUGGGAUGUAGGCACAGGAAGCGGCCAGGCUGCCAAACCAGUACGUAUAUGAUAUUCUACCGCAUCAUUAAAACUAAAAUUCUCUAGUGAUUUGAGUUAUUAAAUUAAGCAAAAAUAAUAAUAAUGAAAAUAAUAAAGAAAUAAAUUUUGAUCAUAAAUAAAUAACAAUGCAUGUAAGGUAAAACUUUUUUAAGCUUCACCCGAUCGAUCAAAAACUACCAUUUUAGUUGACCUAGUUAGUGGGAAUGGAGACCUCUCACUUUAGUGCCAUUGGGCCCACUAAAAUUUUCAUACGUUUCUAUAGCUUCCUAUAUUUUCUAAUUUCUCAAUUGUACGUCUUCAGCUUGCAAAAAUCUACAAGAAUGUCAUUGCAACAGACACAAAGCCCAAAACAGCUAGAAUUCGCAAUAAAGCUCCCCAACAUUCGGUAUCAACUUACUCCUCCAACUAUGUACAUAACUGAGCUUGAACAAAAUGUGGCAACACAAUCGAGUGUAGAUCUAGUGACAAUCGCUGCAGCACUACAUUGGUUUGACUUGCCUCAAUUUUACAAACAAGUAAAAUGGGUACUCAAAAAACCUAAUGGAGUAAUAGCCGCAUGGACCUACACCAUGCCCGGAAUCAAUGAAUCCGUAGGAGCAGUUUUCAAACCAUUUGACACCGUUGAUUGUGAGCCAUUUUGGGAACCACAACGUAAAUUGGUGGACAACAAGUACAUGAGCAUUGAUUUUCCGUUUGAGCCUGUGGACGGGGUGGAUAAUACGGGGCCGUUUGAUCAGUUUGUUUUAGAGAAGGUGAUGGAUUUAGAUGAUUACUUCACGUUCAUACGGUCAUGUUCAGGUUAUCAGACGGCUAAGGACAAGGGUGUUGAGCUUUUGACAGAUAAUGUGAUGGAUAAUUUUAAAGUUGCUUGGAAUGAAGAUGGCCAAAGUCAAAAGGUUGCUCGGUUUCCAAUUUAUUUGAGAAUUGCAAAAGCAGGAAAUUAGUUUAUUUAUUGCCCACACAACCUAAGUCCUUAACAAGGCUGCUCCUUACUACUGAAUCUAAACCUCAACCUCAAGAAAUUAAUAAUAUAUAGUUGAUUUAGAUCUUAUUUAGAAUUAAGGUGAAGUAAUUUAAAAAUUAUUGUGAAUAAAAAAAUUAAAAUUUUGUANNNNNNNNNNNNNNNNNNNNNNNNNNNNNNNNNNNNNNNNNNNNNNNNNNNNNNNNNNNNNNNNNNNNNNNNNNNNNNNNNNNNNNNNNNNNNNNNNNNNUUUGUAAUUCUUAUCUAUAAAUAUCUGACAUCAUAUAUUUUCUUAUGACUGAUUUUUGAAAAAUAAUUGUGUUUAAUAUCUAAAAUAAACUAUAAAAUAUGUAUUAUUUCAUUUAUUAUAUUUAUUCAUCGUUUACUUGAUUAAACAAAUGGCCAACUAAAUACAACUACUUAAAAAUUAAGCUUUUUCUUUUCGGCGAACAUGCAUGCACAUGUUUCGAAAUGAGUUGUGACUACUGUUGAGAUAAGACCUUUGCGCAAGUCUACAUACAUAUACAUUUAAUCCUCUUAGGGGGUUUUUAGAACCCCUAAUUACGUCCAAUCCCCAUGUUUAGUGCAGUAAGUGGUUGAAUCGUGAUGCAUGCUAAUGCACCUCAGUUUAGCUUAUGGGGUAGUGGCAGUAUUAUUUUUAAUAAUAAUAAUAAUAAAUAAAUAUAAAUUGUUAGUUUAAUACAACAUUACAUAAUUUAAUUUUUAUUUUAUUUUAUUUUCACAUUAUAAUAGUUUAUAUAAAUUAAUAAAUUAUUUAUUUAUUAUUCAAUAAUAUUAUAUUAUAUUUUAAUGUUUAUUAUAUUAAAAAUAUAACUAAGUAAUAUAUUUUACUUAAUUAUAUUAUAAUAAUUAAUAUAUGAAAUUGAUUAAUAUUUAAUAAGUUAAUAUGACUAAUAAGUACUUAAAUAAUAUAUAAAAAUAUAAUAUAAUAUUACAUUAUUUAAUUAUAUUACAAUAAUGAAUAUAUAAAAAUUAAUUACUUUUAAAUAAUUUAAUAUAACUAAUAAUAAAUAUUUAAAUUUGAAUAAUAUUAAUUUAAAAUUAAUAGUAAUAUAAAUAAUUACAUAAAAUAUUAUUACAUAUACUACAGAACUUUUACUUAAAUUAUUUAGCACAAUUCAUUUUAUUAGUGAAUAUGUUACAACUAUUGUAUCACCUUAUUAAUUUUAUAAUUAUCUUAUGGUAUGUACAAACUUUAAUUCUAUCAUCCUAAGAUGACUUUUGAACUAAUUUAGUUGGUUUUAACUAUUUAUUUAUGUUGUGAUAUUAUCUAGAGAUUAUUUGAUUAAAUUAUUUGCUUCAUUCUUUAUUUCACAGGUUAUGUAUUUGGAAAAUAAUGAAAAUAAAUCUUAUGCUGCUGAAAAUUUAAGGCCAUAAACUUCGAUUUUUAUGAAAAAUUAUUAUAUUUUUUUAAUAUUUAUGUUGAAAAAUAAUGUUAAAUUUCUACAAUUUAAGAGUUCUAUAUUUAGUAUUUUUCUAAGUACUUAUAAAUAUUAUUUUCUAAAUAUUUAAUUAAAAUUAAUAUAGUAUAGUACAACACCAAACAUAAUAUAAUUAAAAAUUAAUACAGUACAGUGUAACACAAAACAUUGUACAAUCAAACAAAUUAUUAAUUUAAAGGCAUUAUCAUUAUUACCAUUUAUAUUAAAAUAACGAAACAAAAGAAAUAAUAUUAAUAAAUAAAAAUACUUUUUUAGUUAUCAAUUAUUAUAUAUACAUAAUAAAAAAUAUUAUAUAUCUAUAUUUACAAAUGUGCUAGUAAAUUUUGUUCAAUAUUAUGUCUCUUUCAGUUAUUUGUAUUCUUACCACAGUCACUAUUAAAAAUAAAUUUUAGCAAAAUUUAACUGAUUUAUUGUUAAUUAUUUCUAUAGUAUAACCAACAAAAAUUGUUUUAAAAAUUAUGAUAGAGUAAUGAUAGAGUCACAAUUAUCUUAUAAAAACUAAUAUGGCAUUAGGAGAUUGAUUGUAUAAAAUGAUCAUGGGUCCACAUAGCAAAAAAAUAAUAAUUAUCACUUUUCAAUCAAUAUCUUCAUGUCAUAUCAAUUUGUAAAUAUUAAUUUACAUAAAAUUAUUUGUGCUCNNNNNNNNNNNNNNNNNNNNNNNNNNNNNNNNNNNNNNNNNNNNNNNNNNNNNNNNNNNNNNNNNNNNNNNNNNNNNNNNNNNNNNNNNNNNNNNNNNNNGGAUCCAAUGGUUGAGUUUCAUCUUAGUGUCAAAUAAUAAAAAAAUUUGUAAGAAAUGGAAACCUGUAAAACCGGUAACUUGAAACUUUGUACCAAUAAAUGUGAAACACAUACUAUUAAUCUUGAUAUUAGAACCAUUAAACUUGAAACCAAAGUAACUUGAAACUUUGGGCAAUGAACAUGAAACUUGGGACCAUAAACUUGCAAUCCUAAGAAUCAUACAAAUCAUGAACCAAUAAAUAUGAAACAACUAUCAUUAAUCUUGAUAUUAAGACCAUUAAACUUGAAACUAAAGUAACUUGAAACUUAGGGCAAUGAACAUGAAACUUGAGAUCAUUAACUUGCAAUCCAAAAAUAUAUACAAAUCAUGGACCAAUAAAUAUGAAACAACUACCAUUAAUAUUGAUAUAAGGACCAUUAAACUUGAAAAUAAAAUAACUUGAAACUGAGAACAAUGAACAUAAAACUUGAGUUUAUUAACUUUCACCCCUGAAAAUCAUGCAAUUAAUGGACCAAUAAACACCAACACCUACCUCUAACUUGAUACUGAGACCAUUAAACUUGAAAUUAAAGGAACUUGAGAUUGAGAGCAAUGAACAUGAAACUUGAGACCAUUAACUUGCAACCCUGAAAAAUCAUGUAAUUAAUGGACCAUUAAACUUGAAACCACAAAAAACUUGAAUCUGAGAGCAAUAAACAUGAAACCUGGGGUCAUUAACUUGCAACCCUAAAAAUCAUGUAAUUAAUGGGCCAAUAAACAUGAAACACCUACCGCUAACUAGAUAUUAGGACCAUUAAAUUUGAAACUAAAAGAACUUAAAAUUGAGGGCAAUGAAUAUGAAACUUGCAAUUAUUAACUUGCAACCUUAGAAAUCAUGCAAUUAAUGGACCAAUAAAUAAAAAACACCUAUCGUUGACUUGAUACUGAGAUAAUUAAACUUGAAAUUAAAGGAACUUAAAACCGAGGGCAAUAAACAUGAAACUUGUAAUCAUUAACUUGCAACCAUGGAAAUCAUGCAAUUAAUGGACCAAUAAAGGCGAAACACUUACUAUUAACUUGAUACUAGGACCAUUAAACUUGAAAUCAAAUGAACUUAAAACUGAAGACAAUAAACAUAAAACUUGCGAUUAUUAACUUGCAACCUUGAAAAUCAUACAAUUAAUGGACCAAUAAAGGUGAAACACUUACUGUUAACUUGAUACUGGGACCAUUAAACUUGAAAUCAAAUAAACUUGAAACUGAAGACAAUGAACAUGAAACUUGCGAUUAUUAACUUGCAACCUUGAAAAUCAUGCAAUUAAUGGACCAAUAAACACAAAACACUACCAUUAAUUUGAUAUUGGGAUCAUUAAACUUGAAAUUAAAGGAAAUAAAAACCGAGGGCAAUGAAUAUGAAACUUGGAAUCAUUAACUUGCAAUCCUGAAAAUCAUGUAAUUAAUGAAUCAAUAAACAUGAAACAUCUAUCGUUAACUUGAUACUAGUACCAUUAAACUUAAAACUAAUUUUUUAUUAUUUUAAAAAUAAUUUUUUAUUCUUAUCUAGCCUUUAUUUUAAAAUAUUUAUUAUUUUAUUUAUUAUAUUAUUUCAUAAUUUUUUAAUCAUUUAAGGAGCAACCGGUUACUCCAAGUUUUUUUUUUAAAUAUUUGGCUGCCAAGUGGCAGCUAAACAAUGGCAACAAUUUUUUUAAUGUUUUUAUUCCUUGCAUGUACGUAGGCUUGGCAAUUUAGCCCGACCCUAAUUUUUAGGGUUUUGACCCGAAUUUUCAAGUUUAGGGUCAGGUUAGGGCCAAAAUUUUAAAGCCUAAACAAAUUUAGGGUCAGGGUCGGGCUUAAUGCCGACCCGACCCGACCCGACCCUAUUUAAAAAAAAAUUACACAAGUUAACACACACACACAACAUAUCCUCACAACAUCACACAUUGUGUGUUUUUAAUUUAAUUGCAUUGUGUUUUUAUUUGUAUAAGACAUGAGUUUUUUUAUUUUUUAUGUUGGGUUGUUGAAUUGAAUUGUGUAUGACUAAAAUGGUUGUGGAAUUAUAUUGUGUGUUUUUAUUUAUAUAAGACAUGAGUUUUUUAUUUUUUAUGUUGGGUUGUUGAAUUGAAUUGUGUAUGGGUAAAAUGGUUGUAGAAUUACAUUGUGUGUUUUUAAUUUAAUUGCAUUGUGUAUUUUUCAUGUUGAAUUUUGAAAUUGAUUUGUGUGUGGGGUUGAAAUAGUUGUGGAAUUGAUUGUGGAAAGUGGAAUUGAAUCGUGUUUGAAAUGAUUAAGUAAUUGCCGAAUUAGUUAAAAUGGUGGUGGGAAAUGAGAAUUGAAUUGUGAGGUUAACUAUUUCGGUAGGGUCGGGUUGGACCCGACCCGAUGUUUCAAAUAGUGUUCGGACUUAUUUAGGGUCGGAUUUCAAAUUUCUUUUGAUCGGAUCGGGUAGGGCUUGGCCAAGCCCGAGCCCGACCCGACAUUUUGCCAUGCCUACAUGUACAUGAUACAUGCAUGUAUUGUAGCAAAGGCCUCAAAAGAGAGCGUGACAAAGACAAAUCCCAUUAGCCAUCCUAUUAUUAUUAAAAUUCCUUACAGCAAAGGACCAAAAUGUAAGACAACUAGGACCAGUAUCUAAACAAAUUGAAUUAAAAAAAAAAAGGGGCUCGUCUCUAUCUUGUUGAAAAAGGAAGAAUUCGGGUCAAAAUUGAAUACUUUCAGAAGUUCUCCAAGUCCAAGUUGGCUUCCCCAGAUAAACCCCAACAAAUUAAUUUUUAAUUAAAAUUUGCCUUUUUGUCUGCUUCAUGAAAUUCUAAAAUCUAUAUAAAGAAGAAACGAAAUGAGUAGAUUUAUCUCAAUUCUAAAAAAUUCUCAAUACUUAUAUUUAGAAAAACAGAAAGAUGGCAGAAUUGUUCAUUAAGCAGGCAAAGCAAUACGAGGAAACGCGACCAAAUUACCCAUAAGAAUUGUUCAAAUUCAUAACAUCCAAGACAAACAUUUUGAAUCACAAAAUGUUUUUAAAUUGAUCAAGUUUUAAGAUAAAUUGGUGUGUACAAUACAAGUUUUUGGGUUAACCAAAAUUCAAUAAGACGCAAAAUGAUCUCUAAGGCACAACCGGAUACCACAUGUAACCAACCGGCAAGCUGUUUGCUUAUGGUUGCUCUCGGGUCGACGUUUGGAUAACCAGAUUGGAAAACCGGUAAGCCGUUUGAGAAAAUUUUAUUUCUGGGCAAAAAUCGGUCAAUCGGUUAUGAAAUCCGAAAAGCCGGAUUCGGUUUGGAACUUAUUGGACACAAAUCGGUCAUCCAGUUAUGAAAUCCAAAAAGCCGAAUUUGCAAAGCUUCUCUUCUGCCUCAAAACCGGCUAGUCGGUUAUGCUAAACGGUAAGCCGGAUUCGAGCUUUUUUAAGGACUAUUCAUCUUCUUCUCUUCAUUCGGCAAUCUGGCUCUCUCUCUCUCUAAAAUCCACCAUUUUUUUUAUCUAAUCAACACCAUUCAUCACCUUAAAUCAUCUCUACGAUCAUUUUAAUUGAUUUAAAAUUACCCAUUUUACUCAAUAUCUUGAAAAUCUGAAUUUGUGCAUUUUGAGUAUUUCAAAUUACCACUUCUAUAGUGUGCUCUCCUUAUGGAUUUUACAAUAGUUUUCUAUUAUAUUAUGCACCUACAUUUUCAUAUGCAUUGUUGCUUUCAUUGUGGAUUGAUGAUGAUUAUUGUUUGAUAUUUGGAUGUUUUAUAUUUGGAUAAUGUGGAACUAAUGUGCUUGUCUUGAGAUUUUGAUGAUUGAUAGGGGGAGCUUUUUACUUUUUUUGAUGAUAAAGAGGGAGAAAUGAGAUGUAAGGGAGAAAUACAUCUACUUUGAGAUUCUUAAGCAUAUGAGAUUUUUCUUAAGUUAUAUUGAAAUGUCACAUUAAAUCUUUGAUGAGUUUAGUUGUCUUGAUUUCUAAAAUGUGAUUAGUAAUUAUGGAGCUUGGACAGUUAAUAAUAUGCAUGCCAAUUUGGUAAACAAAUCAAAACCUUUUUGCAAAGAGCAAUUUUAAAAAAUUCGGUGUGAACUUUGGAUGAUUUGAUUUCUUGAUGUUUUUUAUGAUUGAUGGUUAUAUGUGCGUUGCUUGAUGAAUUGAUGGAGUUAUUGAUUUGUUAUAAUUGUCUAAGCUUAUAUGGAAGUGUUUUUUAACCAUUUUUUUUAUUUGGGAUUUGCUCAUUUUUAAGGAGAAACUCUGCUGAAAUUUUUGCUCGUACAAAAUUGGUAAUAUCUUCAUCGAAUUAUUUUUAAUGAUAUUGUUUCGAUUGCAUCUAUCUAUCUUUCUUUUUUAUGAUGAAGGGGGAGAUAAAUAUGAUAUGUUUUUGGAUAAAAUUAUUUUGGUUAAAUUUUUAAAUUGACCAUAUAUUUAGGGGGAGCAUAUAAUAUGAUUUUGGAUAAUAUGCAUUUUGAACUUUUUUGUUGUCCAAAGGGGGAGAUAAAGUAAUAUAUCAUUUCAAUGUUAUCAAAAGGAGGAGAAUAAUAUGCACUUUGAGUAUUCUUUUGAUGAUUGAUAUUUGAUUAUGGUGAUGAUUUUGGGAUAUAAAGAUGAUUUGAUUACAUAGUUGUUUUAUAUGAUAAUUUUAUGUUAUGAGUUAUUGAUUUGGUAAUUGAUGGAAUAAUGGUUAAUGAUAUUUUGGUGUGAUGAUUUAUAUAUGAAGUUGGCUUGUAUCAUGAUUUAUAAUAAUUUGGGAGUAAUAUUAUUAAACUUGUAUUUGAGGUAAUGCUUGUUGUUAGGGGGAGAUUUUAUCGAAAUUUCUACUAGGAUAACAGAGGUAAAAAUUUUGCUACUCUUAUUCUUUUCCUUUAAGUUUUCUUUUUUGAUGAUGAAGGGGGAGAAAAAUACAUGUUUUAAAUUUGUAAAAAUUCUAUUCUUUUUCUUUUCCAUUAAUUUUUCUUUUUGAUGAUGAAGGGGGAGAAGAAUACAUGUAUUUAAAUUUUAUAAUUUAGUAAAUUGGCAAAUUGUAAGGGAAGCUUAUAUUUAGGGGAAGCAAUUUGUGGAAUCAUUCUUUAAAUACAUUCAAGGUUUGUCAUCAUAAAAAAAGGGGGAGAUUGUUAGCAUAUAUGUAUCCAUAAUGUUGAUUUUGAUGAUAACAAACAAGAUUAAGAAUGACUAAGUUUUUAAAAACUCAAAUUAUUUUAAAUAAAUCAUUAUUUUCAUAAUAUAAAGGCUUUAUACUUAAUGAAAAAAUAAUUUUAUAAAAUUAGUUGUUUUCAAUUAAUGGUCUAAAUUGAAAAAGUUUUGAAACUUUGGAAAUGAACUUAUUUAUAAAGUUUUAUGACAAUUUGGGCCAUAGCAUAAUUAUAGAAAGUUUUAGGGUAAAACUAUAAUUUUAAAAAAUAAUUUCACUGUAGCAAUCGGCUAACCGUUUACUGAAAAUGGCUAACCGAUAAUUUCCAGAAAGCAUGUUAUGCAAAGUAUUGUUAAAAUGAUGAUUCUGAAAAAUAACGGUGAACCGUUUACUGAAAACGGUUAACCGAUUAUUUCCAGAUUGCUAACCUUGAACCGUUUAGUAAGAACGGUUAAACCAAAUUUAUUUUGCAGGUCUUUGGAAUUUAACGGCAAAUGGGUAAGCCUAAAAGACAAACCGUUUAUUUGAAAUUUGGCCCAGCGGUAACUUUUGACCAGCCUAAAUGGUUAACCGUUAAUGGUUAACGGCGAACCGUUUUCGGGCAGACAGUUUGUAACGGCUAGUUUUUCAGCUCGAACUAUAAAUAAGCUCAUUCAAAUUCAAACAAGAUAGAUCACAACAUUAUCAUUGAGCUUAUUUUUGAGAAUACAAUCUUCAAAGAGCUUUAAACACAUUCAUUCUUCAUCUAUUCACACAUUGGGCGUUGAUUUGUAAUCUUAAAUAUUGUGUGAGAGAAAAACAAUUUGUAAUCUUUUGUUUUGAGUGAUUGUAAGUGUUGGGAUACACUUGGGUUAAGAGAUUGAGGAUAAUCUCUUGUUGUAAACGUUUAUUGACAUCUUGGAAGUCAAUUGUAAGCAUUUGAAGCCUUGGAGGCUUGCUUAGUGGAAUCCUCAAGCCCGGGUGAGCUUGGAGGCGUGGACGUAGGCGGGGAUUGCCGAACCACGUAAAAAUCAUUGUGUUUGCUCUCUCUUCCCUUACUCCUUUAUUAUUGUUUUUGAUUCCAUUAAGGCAUUAGAUUAAAUUGUUGUGUGGUUUGCUUAGCUUAAAUUUUAAAAUCCCAAUUCACCCCCUCUUGGGUUGUAUAACUAGAAUAUCAUGGAUUACAUGGUAAUUAAACUUUGUAUUAUGAGCUAUUGUUUAAAAACUAGGGAUAAAAUAGGCUACUACAUCAAACCUAAGGGGUGAAAAGGGCUUUUUCUUUAAGUAAAAUAAAAGAAAGUAUAUUUGAAGCGAAUAUAGACUAAAACCUCCAAGCAAAGACUAACCACAAGAAAAAACAAGAGAAAUAGCAAAAGCAACAAAAAAAAAAAUACAUAGAAAAAAACUAAAGAGAACAAACUAAGGUAGAGCCUAACAAAAGAAAUUAUAAGCAAGUGAGCUAAUGCCUAAAGUGUCGCUGAUGAUACUUGCGUCCAUUGACUAAUGUGAAACCUUUUUUUGAACCAGAGGCAUACGUGCCAGCAAUGAUGAAAUUGGGACUAAGGUCAAGCCCUUUAGUAUCCUCAGGCUCAGACGAGAAAUAAGCAUCAGCUGCUGUCUCAUCAGAACGAAGAUUCUCAUCAGAUUGAAAAGGAAUAUUUGUAUAAUAGAAAUUAAAACCACAACUAUAGAGUGAAUAUUAAUCAACAUCCAAAAUCAUAUCAUCAUCAUCACCAGUCAUAUCAACUAGGCUCCGUAGAGAGGAAUCCCCAAGAUCUCAGGGCUUAACAGCUAGAUCACAAUUGAGCAGAAAUGGUAAUAUCAUUAGCAACAAUAUCAUUAGUACUAUCAACACGCACUCGACCAACUAAAUCCUCCUCAUCAACUUGAGCAUCAACUUGAGCAGGAAUGCUAGCAUCCGGAGAUGCACCCGUAGUACCAACGAUCCUUAGAGGCUGAACCACCCCUCCAGAAGUAGGUUGCUGAGCCAAUUAAACCACAGAUUGCCCCUGAGCAAAAGAAGGCUGAACAACAGGCCUCCUAGCCCGAUUAUCUGCAACAAUGUAGUAAGGAACAUGGGGAACCUAAUGCUAAACAUGUACAUCAAACAUGGGUUGCUUACCCUUAUCUCGAGAAUCUCGAUUCUAAGCACACCAAUACGCUGUUGAGGCUUACGAAAUCCAGAAUUAGUUACAUAAAAACCGUUUGUAGAAUGACCAAGGCAUUUACAGAAAGCACGAUAGGCAGGAGCCUACUAAAAAACAACAUUCUGCCAAAAUUCGAAAUCACCCUUACCAAUCCAAAGGUCGGGAAUAAAGGCCGCAAAACAAUAUACUCUAUCAAAACCCUAUCAAUAAAAUUAACAGAAGCAGUAACAUGGUCAACACGCAAAGGUUUCCCGGUAACAGUAGCUAUAGAAUAUAAAGUUUCUUUGCAAUAAAUAAAGUGAACAGUUAGUACGGCAAAGAAACCCACGUAAGAACCACUGAGACUCCUCAGAACACCAAAAAGCUGCGAACCAUUUAAAAAUCGUGACAGCCCUACCACUGACAUACCAUGUCUGCCUAACCCAAAUUCGGGAGUAAUCUUCCUCCAAAUGAAGCCUAAUCAAAACAUGGCGAUUAUCAAGCAAGGAGACCAGUGUACUUCCUUUUAAGCCUAAGGAAACAAAAAACUUUCUAAUCACUUCUAUUGGAGGGCGGCCAAAAAGAACUUACCUACUAACUAGAGACAUCUUAAACAGUUCAGCUAUGUUUGACACUUCAACAGCAGUAAAAUGGAUAGCAGGCUCACCUCGAUCGAGGGUGCCCGUCUUAAUAGAUAAAAAGGAUGAAUCUGCAACAACAUCAUCAAAGAAUUUAGAGGCUCUAGAAGCAGCAUUAGGAUCAAGGAUAGAUACAGGAUUGACUACAGAAACAUAUGAUGGCUAGGAGGUGGUAUUGCAAUUAGGGUUGAGAGGACUUGUGGUGGUGAAACGAGUUUGAGUGGGACCACGAAUAGGAAGCGCACCACCAGAGAUUGGCUUGUCUCGGUUGAGGGUUUGAGAGACGUUACAUGCAUGGUGUUGCACAGAGACAUUAGGCUGGUUCUAUGUAACAUGGGUGGACGGGGGAUAACAAGGGUUCGGUGUUGUGGUGGAAAGCAAAGGCUGUGGUUGUUUGUGUUGGGGAAAAAUCAGGUUUUUAAAUUUUUAUAAAACCUUUUGAAGAUCGCUCUCAUAUAAUAUAUAAGAAUUUGUAUUCUAGAAAUCGUACCUUGAAAAUCCGAGUUGGCUUUUUCCGCUGAAGUGUUUUAGGCUCCUAGAUCACGAUCCGCCACCACCACUCCUGUUAGAUCACGAUCCGUCACCACCACGCUUGUUAGAUCACGAACAGUCUCCAAUGAUCUUCCAGGUUAUGACUCAGGUUCGAUCUGCACUUGACGUGUGGGCGCCUUUAUCACUACCAAAGCAACUAGCACGAGAAAAUUUUUCUCUCAACAAUGGAGAGAAAAAUUUUAUUCUCUGAUCUGUAUCAAGUGGCUUCAUUUUUUUUCUGUUGAGAAAAAUAAGCCUUAUAUAUCUCCCUUUAGUGAAAAUCCUAGGCUCCAAAUAAUGCCCUAAAUAAAACUCACGUUUAUUUACUUUUUCAAUAGGGGACCCAUCUUGUAAAAUAACAUAAGGCCCCUUAUACAAAAGCUAAUUAAAUGGAGCCUCCCACUAAAUGAUAUAUUUAGGCUUUUGACCCAAAUAGCUAGUUAUCUUACUUAUUAGUCCAGUAGUGGUGCAGUCAAUUAAAUGAGCUAACCCGGGAAUCAUUUGGGAACAUACAAUAGUGGCUACAAUAAUUAGGCCUGUAAUUAAACUAGCCCAAUUAUUUAAUUCCAAAUCUACUCCACUAAAAGAUUGGAACUGACUUCCAUAAUUGUAUGCUCGAAUAAUAAUUCGUCCCAAGCCACAUUGAUUUCUUUACUGCACAAUCCUUUGUACCACAUCGUUAAUUAAAUUGAUAUCUCAACUGUCCAAUCAAUUUAAUAACAUCUUAUUCCUUGAUCCUUACUGGUUUUCUCUAAUGAUCAUUUUCAACAUACUAAAUAUGUUGACACACUCUGGCCAGAGAAUUCUAUGAUCAAGUGCCGAAAACCCAUCAAGAGAUGUGUUGUACAAAUUCUAUAUUGUUAAUCCAUAACUCCAAUACUCAUAAUUGCUCCCACCAAGAUACCGGGUAAUCUUGACCACAAGGAUGUGUCGUGCCCAUUGGUAACUCAAAUGGAAUAACAAUUACAAUCAUGAAAUCAUAAUUAACUCAAGAUUAAGAUUACAGUAAAAUCAACGCCUAUGAGAUUUAAUAAGUCUGACAGUUAUUACAAAGUUAAUUAAAUCUCAUAUGUGAUCCUGUUCAAUGUAGUCGUACUACAUUAAUAAAUUCAUACAUGAUUAAGACAAAUCAUUCAAUGAAUUUAUUACAGUCUAUACCUAAAUAAAGUGCCCAACUUUAUUUAUCAACUGCGAACUAAAUUUAUUUAAUCAUAAGAUAACUUGUAUUUAUGUCUUCUGUGAAUCCACAUGGUGAUCACAUAAAUACAUAUAAUAUGAUUAAAUAGACUUUAAUACAAAUAUUAAUGCAAUUAAGAUAUUUGAAUAAAAUACCUCAUUUAUUUUAUUAAUCAGAAAAUUUGUUUAUUACAAUUAAAUAAACACAUAUGCUUUUAAAGAGCAUAUUUUCCCAACAGUUUGUGCAAAGGUGGUUGAUAGGAGGGGGCUGGCAGUGGUGUAUAGCCAUUGGUGGCAGCUAACAGAGUUGCAGCACGGGGUUGGUUAGAGAUAUGAGAGUGGUGGCUAGGGUUUUAAGAGAUCACGGAUUGGUGGGCAUCUGACGGUCCACUGAUGACGUAAGAGGGUUCCAGCGGCUGAGAAACGCUGUCCAAGGUUGCUAGUACGGUGGCGUCGGCUGUUGAAAUGGGAACACGCAAACUAGGGUUUAAGGCCGUGGUUGAUUUAGUGGCUUGGGAUGUCAGUAACGCUUGGGGAUGCUCGUGGUGUGUCAUUAAGAGUUGUAGCGGCGGCUGGAUGGCAUCGCCGAUGGCUGGAAAUCCAAUGGCGGCUUCGGAUGCGUUUUGAGUAGAAGGCUGCGAGCUUAGCGCCAAGGUUUUGCGGUUGUUGGGAGGUUAAAGAAGACGGGACACCAUGGAGUUGGUUGAGGAUAUGGUCGGUGGCAUCUGGGGGUCAUCACCGACGGUAGCAAGUGUGAUGGCGAUGACGGGCGGUAUUUGAGAUCUUGGUCUCGGAUUUGCUGUCUAAAUGAUAGACACUCCAACGAUAAGUUGUUCAAUGUAUUAUUUUUCAAAAUGUUUGGACUAUUGGAUUCAAAUCUAAGAGUCCCAAAAUGGGAUCCUGCAUUUAAAGUGCGAGAUUCUGCACUAGACCCUAAUGAUUAUAUGUUCUAAUAAAUCAAUACUUCAUGUUGAUAUGAAAUGUCUUAUAUUAUUGAUGUUUUAGUUAUGGAUUCACACUGGAAAUCCAUUUUUCGAAUCCUUUUAAUCUCUAGUGUCAGAUAAUCUUUUGUUUUUAACCUUUUGAAGAAAAUAAAUUGUGGACAAAAUUGGAUUUGUUAGUGUUGUCUUUCAUCAAAAAUAAAAUUUAAUUUUGUCGAAAAUUUUAAUUUAAUAAAUGAUAAAUUUGAUCAAGAAGAUAACGGCUCAUUAGUCAAUAUAUCUGAGGAUAGUUUAGGAAUAUUAAAUUUUAGACAAAAAUGGGUUUUAACUUUGACAAUGAGUAAGGAGCUAACUGCAAGUUUUCGUUAUACUAGGAUAAAUAAUAUAAAUGAAAGAGAGAGUAAGGAGCUAACUGCAAUUUACCAGUGAUUAACUCACAAAAAUAUAAAAUGCGGAGUAUGGUGUCACUGGGCCACCAUAGUCGGACUCGUUUAUGGAAUUUAAUUUUUCCCUACAUUUCAGAUUUUACAAUUUUUUAAUAAUAUCAUUGAAAGAAAUUUUGAUGAACACAAUUGUAGAUUCAAAAAAGUUCAAAGUAUUAUUGGUUUCUCAUGUUUAAAAAGUAAAGAACUUGGUGUAUAUAUACACUUGUUUGUACUUGUUUUUACCCAUUAUCUUUUUAAAAUUUUCCUAGCUUCUUUUUAUAAAUAUUCCACUUUCCUAAGUACAGUAAUUCUAAUGUCAUUAAUCUUUUAUGCAAGAAGAUGGUUUUCUUACAGCUAAGACAAGAAUAUAUAUCUUUAUUUUAGGAAUAUUAACCUUAUUUCUUUGUUUUGAGUACUGAUGUCAGAUGAAAGGCUUAGUGAUCACUUCAUAUUUUAAUAGAUUCCAAAAGAUUUUGUAAUAUAUAAAAAUAUUGCUUAAAAAACUUAUAUUCAAUGAAAUUAUCCAAAUUUUAUCAUGAUAAUUGUAGUGAUAUAAAAUGAGAUAUAGAUUACACAAUAAAAAUGAGGGAAUGAUGAAAAUUUUGGUUGAAAUAGGAGAGAAUGAACAUAGGUAUUAAAGGGAAAAAAGCUUUGUCACAAAUAAUUCUUUUUAUCCUUACUACUUAAAUAAUAAUUUAUUUCAUCCAUGUUUUUUAAACAAUAGCUCAAAUCAUCCUUUCGUUAAUUUAUAAUCAGUUUAAUUUUAUUGAGGGAAAAAUAUGAUUUUAAGAAUAUACAAACAUUUAAAAAUAAACCUCUCAAAUAUAAUUAGAUAAUAUCUCUAUAUAAAUUUAAAAUUUAUAGAUAACUUAAUGAAUAAACAAUGAUAACACUAAAUAUGUAAAAUAUAUAUUUAGGAAAAAAAUAAAAAGACAUAAAUUUAACAGGCACUAGAGUGGGUUUUAUUUUUAUUUUUUUAUCUUUUAACUUAUUCCUGACUUUAAUAUGAUUACUUGUCCCUGAUCGAAAAAUUAUUAUAGAUAUAUAUAUAUAUAUGGUGUGUGUGUGUGUACACACACACACACACACCAUAUAUAUUCACUACUACAAAACAGGACAAAGAUGACAUAUAAUACAUGACAAGCAUACUAUUAAUUGUCAUAUAUUAGUUUAGAUGACUUUUUUAUUUUUAUUUUUGGAAGUCAUAUAUUAUAAAAUUAUUUUUACUUGUGACAUAAAAAUGACUCGCCACUAAAUAAGAAGUUAUCUUUAAUUAAUUAAAAGGUGACUCUUAUUUUUAAAAGAGUAAUGAUAGACCCACAAACUCUUAUACAAACUCAUGUGGCAUGAUAAGAUUGGUUGAAUUAAAUAUCACUUGGCCCACAUGAUUUGUUUUUAUUAUUUCAUAUUUUCAUUCAACCAAUGAAUUAAUUCCACGUCAGUUUGUACAAGAUAAAUUUGUACAAGAGUUUGUGGCUGUAUCAUCACUCUUUUUAAAAUGUGUCAUUUAUUUUGUAGUAUAAAAAUGCUACUUUCCGUCUUUAUUUUCUUUGUCUACCACGAAAUAUCAUUGUCUCCCUGUUUCAACCUCCAUUCUUCUAGGACUUUCUUUCUCUGUAAAAUUCCCCUUCGCCCAUAGAAAACAUCUUCAUAUCUUCUAUUUCAAAGUUCCAAACUCACUCUUAAUUUCACUCAUUAUUUAUAUAGACCCAAAAUCGUAAACCCUAACUGUUCACACAUAGUCGAAGUCAAGACAAAUUGAGAAGAAAUCUUAAAGCUCUGGACCACACAUGUUGGCAAGAAGAUUAUAAAGCUUGGGACCACAUCACUAUCAAGUAAAUUGUUGAAGCAUUCGGCUACCUUGGAUAUUGGAUUUUAAAAAUUUUGGUCCCCACAUUAAGUUACUUUCUUUCCUUUUGUUUAAUCAUGUUUGUGAAAGAAAAUGAUAGAUUGUUUGAUUGUGGGUGGCCUACAUGUGUUGUUUUUUUUUUCCUUUUCUUUGUCUAAUUUACUCUAUUUGAAUAGCAAAUGUUGACAAUAUGGAUGAACAAUAAAGUAAUUUUUAGGGAUUAAUAUUUUAGGGAAGUUACAAGUUUGGUCAAAUCAUGUCAUGCUCCUUUGAAAUUUAAUCGGGUAUCAAUCUCAGAACCUCACGACUUCUAUACUUGUUCUUCAUAAUCGUCAACUUGACCUCUGUUGUGCAAAUUUUAAUGUACUCGCAAGCGCACGAAUCUAUUAUGGAUAGACUAAUGGUGACGAGUGUCGAUCCCACAAGGAGAUGGAUUUUAAUUAUGUGUAGAAUUAGUUUUGUAAAUGGGUGGUUGGAUUUGUGGUGGAAAUGAUUUGGAAUAUGCUAAAACUUAAAUUAAAAUGACGAGAAUAAAUUCUAAAAUUGGAAUUGAAAUGACAAGAAUAAAUUGAAGAGAAUUCUAUUGAGAUGACGUACUUGGGUAUCUGGAUCCGUAUCAACAUGCAUCAUGGGCUAAAUAAUCUUUGAACAAUAAAUGGGCCAGACCAACGAGAGCGUAACUUACCUGGGAAUAGGUGCAAGCGAGAAUUGAAUAAAAGUACUUUCUGACCUGGAGUGAACGAUUUUCUCAUAAUUUGCUUAUCAUGGAAGACUUUCAUUCGUUGCUUGUAAAUCUUGGCAUUUUCAUAUGCAUCAUUGCGAAUUUCUUCAAGUUCUACCAGUUGUAAUCUUCUUUCUGAGCCGGCUUGCUGCAUGUCAAAGUUGAAUUUCUUGAUGGCCCAAUAUGCACGAUGCUCGAGUUCCAUAGGUAGGUGGCAAGCUUUUCCAUACACUAGCCUGUAUGGUGACAUCCCAAUCGGGGUCUUGAAAGCCAUUCUGUAUGCCCAUAAUGUAUCAUCAAGUCUUAAUGACCAAUCUUUCCUGUCUGGCCUCACCGUUUUUUCUAAUAUGUGUUUUAUUUCUCGAUUGGAUAUCUCAACUUGGCCACUGGUUUGCGGAUGAUAAGGGGUUGCCACUUUGUGUGUGAUUGAAUACUUUGUCAAAAGAGCUUUGAAUGCUUUGUUAUAAAAGUGGGCACCACCAUCACUGAUUAUUGCUCGAGGGAAUCCAAAGCGUGAAACAAUGUUGCUUUUCAAAAAUCCUAUCACCACCUUGUGAUCAUUGGUUCUACAUGGAAUUGCUUCUACCUAUUUCGAUACAUAGUCAAUAGCAACCAAUAUGUAUUGAUGGCCAAAAGAAGGGGGAAAGAGUCCCAUGAAGUCGAUACCCCAUACAUAAAAAAUCUCAAUCACUAAAAUUGUAUUUAGUGGCAUCAUGUUCCUUCAUGUAAUGCUCCCCAUUCGUUGACACCUAUCACAUGAAGAACAAAAAGUGUAAGCAUCUCGAAAUAUAGUUGGCCAAUAAAAACCACAUUGUAAAACUUUAGUUGCUGUUUUCUUAGCACUGAAAUGGCCUCCACAAGCUUUUUCAUGGCAGAAUGAAAGAAUAUUCUGAAUUUCAUUUUCUGGGACGCAUCGUCUAACAAUUUGAUCAGCACAAUACUUGAACAAAUACGGGUCAUCCUAAAAGAAAUUCUUUAUCUCUGCAAAGAAUUUAGCCUUGUCUUGCUUGGUCCAGUGCUCUGGAAGUUGACCUGUAACAAGAUAAUUAACUAUAUCAGCAUACCAUGGUAAUACUUCCACACUCAUUAAUUGUUCAUCUGGAAAUGACUCAUUCAAUAUUAAUGGCUCUGUAAUUGUGUCAAAAUGGAGACGAGAGAGGUGGUCCGCCACAACAUUUUCUGUCCCUUUCUUAUCUUUGAAUUCCAAGUCAAAUUCCUGCAAAAGUAACACCCAACGAAUUAGUCUAGCUUUUGCAUCUUUCUUUGUGAGAAGAUAUUUAAGAGCAGCAUGAUCUGUGAAUAUAAUUAUCUUACAACCAAUGAGAUAAGAUCGAAAUUUCUCUAAUGCAAACACUACUGCUAGCAUUUCUUUUUCAGUAGUUGAAUAAUUCAACUGUGCAUCAUUCAAUGUCAUACUAGCAUAAUAAAUAACAUUGGAAAUUCGAUCAACUCUUUGUCCUAAUACUGCUCCUAUUGCAUAAUCAGAUGCAUCACACAUGAGCUCAAAUGGUAAGCUCCAGUUCAGGGGCUGAAUGAUGGGUGAUGAUGUCAACAAAUGCUUUAAUUUUUCAAAUGCAACAAGACAUGAAUCAUCAAAGACAAAAGGUACAUCCUUAGCAAGUAGAUUGCAUAAGGGUCUAGAAACUUUGCUAAAAUUUUUAAUGAAACGUCUAUAAAAACCAGCAUGCCCAAGGAAAGAUCUUACUUCUCUGACUGUUUUGGGUGAAGGAAGAUUAGAAAUAAGAUCCACCUUGGCUUUGUCAACCUCAAUACCUUUGCUCGAAAUGAUGUGACUGAGAACAAUACCUUGUUUUACCAUAAAAUGACAUUUCUCCCAAUUUAAGACCAAGUUCUUCUCAAUACAUCUCUGCAGAACUAGUGUUAGAUGAUGUAAACAUUGAUCAAAUGAAUCACCAAAGACAGAAAAGUCAUCCAUAAAGACUUCAAGGAAUCGUUCAACCAUAUCAGAAAAAAUGCUCAACAUGCAUCGUUGAAAUGUAGCAGGUGCAUUACAUAAUCCAAAUGGCAUUCUCCUAUAUGCAAAUGUGCCAAAAGGGCAAGUGAAAGUAGUUUUCUCCUUAUCUUUUGGUGUUAUAAGAAUCUGAUUAUAUCCUGAGUAGCCAUCUAAAAAGCAAUAAAAUUCAUGGCCUGCUAAUCUAUCAAGCAUUUGAUCAAUAAAUGGUAAAGGAAAAUAGUCUUUACGUGUGACAGAAUUCAACUUUCUAUAAUCAAUGCAUACACGCCAUUCUGUAGUUACUCUAGUGGGUAUCAAUUCAUUAUCAGCAUUCGUAACUACUGUGACUCCUGACUUUUUGGAGACAACUUGCACAGGACUGACCCAUGAACUAUCAGAAAUGGGGUAAAUGAUACAUGCGUCUAAUAGCUUAAGGACUUCUGUUCUAACAACUUCUUUCAUAUUAGGAUUUAACCGACGUUGCAUCUCCCGAGUAGUUUUAGCAUUUUCAUCAAGGUGAAUGUAAUGCAUACAGUCUACUGGGUUUAUACCUUUAAUGUCUGCUAUGGUCCAUCCUAAUGCCCCUUUGUGCUCUUUCAAAACAUCCAACAACUUACCUUUUUGUUCGUCAUUGAGGGAUGCUGAGAUGAUUACCGGUAGAGUACUUUCUUCUCCCAAAAAUGCAUAUUCUAAUGUGUUGGGUAAUGGUUUGAGCUCGAGUUUCGGUGGUGAUUCUGAUGAUGGGAUGAGUUUCUUCUCUGAUAGUGCUAGUUGUUCAACUCUUGACUUCCAUUUAUUAGUAUCCAUGGAUAGUGCUGAGUCAAGCAGGGCGUUGACCUCAUCAACUGAUCUGUCAAUAUCAAAAUCCAAACCAAAGUGAGUUAAACAUGUUUGUAAAGGAUCAUCACUAAGGUUUGAAAGAAAAGUGUUAUCAACUAUUGUUUCUAUUAAAUCCACAUCAACAAUUCCAUCAUCUGCAUUGUGAGGUUGUUUGGCAAUGUUGAAGAUGUUCAGCUCCAUAGUCAUGUUGCCGAAGGACAACUGCAUAUUUCCAGUCCUGCAUUGAAUGUGAGCAUCCGCAGUUGCCAAGAAAGGUCGGCCUAGAAUAAUGGGGAUGUGCUUCCUUGAAUCCUGUAUUGGUUGAGUGUCAAUUACAAUGAAAUCAACAGGAAAAUAGAACUUGUCUACCUGGAUAAGCACGUCCUCCACAAUACCACGAGGUAUUUUCGUGGACCGAUCUGUAAGCUGUAACACCACUGGAGUUGGGUGUAAUUCUCCCAAUCCAAGUUUCACAAAUACUGAAUAAGGCAACAAAUUUACACUAGCUCCUAAAUCCAACAAAGCAUUCUCAAUUGUGUGGUUCCCUAUACUACAUGAGAUAGUGGGGGAGCCUGGGUCUUUGCAUUUUAAAGGAAUUUUAUGUUGGAGUAUAGAACUAACGUUUUCUAUUAAAAAUGCCUUCUUUUGAACAUGCAUAUUUCUCUUUUUAGUACAAAGGUCUUUAAGAAACUUGGCAUAAGAUGGAACUUGUUUAAUAACAUCAAGUAAAGGGAUGUUAACACUUACCUGUUUGAAGAUUUCAAGAAUCUCACUUGUGGAUUUUCCCUUCUUGCCUUUAGCUAACCUCUGGGGGAAUGGAGCUUUCGGAACAUAUUCUCGUGGGUUGGUUUCUUUUUUCUCCUCCGGUGAUGAGUCCUCAACAUUCACAGGUACAAUUUGAUUUUCUUUUGUCAUCGGCAUUUCCACUUUGUUGUCGACUUCUUUUCCUUUUCGCAAAGUCAUGACUGCUUUGACCUCUCCAUGCUGCUGUGGUGAACUGGUACUUGCUUCAUGCACUCCUUUAGGAUUAGGCACUGGUUGACUUGGAAACUUACCUUUCUCAACAGUCAUUGCCAAGGUUUGAACUGAAGAAGCAAGUUGUCCCACCAUCUUCUCGAGGCUUGAAACUGAUUGGGCUUGUGAAUUGAAGCCUGCUCUCAACUCAUUUCGUAGUCCAUCAAUGGUGCGGUUCUGUUGCUCAAUCGUGGAGUGAGUAACAUUCUUGAAAUUCUGGAAUGCAUCCUCCCAUGGUCUGGGUUGAGAGUAGUUCUGGUUUUGAUUGUAUGGUAUAAAUGGUGGCUGAGAGGCUUGAGGAACUUGAGGAAUUGGCUGCAUUGGUGGAGCUGGAGCUGUUGGUCCAUUCUGUAGGAAUCCUUGAGUCUAUGAAAAAUUGGGGUGGUCUCUCCAUCCAGGGUUAUAUAUGUUGGAGUAUGGGUUGUAAUUUGAUGGCUUUCUCAUUGCACCUAUGGCAUUGGCUUGAUCUGGAUAUGAGUCAGGGUCAUGUGGCUCUGUUGAUUUAGCAGUCGAUAACGAUGCUAUUUGCCGAGCAAGACCUUCAACCAUCUCCUUGACUUCUUUGAUUCCCGAAGUUGACUCACCAAUGUGAACCUCAUUCACUCCUUUAAUUCUUCUAGUAUUCCUGAAUGAUCGACUCCGUUGUUGGGAAUUAUCCGCUUGUCGCUGAAAGAAUUCCCAAAUCUCUGAUGCACUUUUUGACAUUAGCUCUCCUUCACUUGUUGCCAUUAGCCAUUCUUGCACAUUCGGCAAUAAUCCCUCCAAAAAGUAUUGGCAUUGGUGCCAUUUCUCAUACCCAUGAUGUGGACACUUAAAGAGUAGCCCAUUGAAUCGCUCCCAUGUUUCAAAAAACUGCUCAUCCUCUCUCUGGGUAAACUCCGAGAUUUCCCUGCGAAUAGCGUUGGUUUUAUGCACUGGGAAAUAUUUAUUCAAAAAUUUUGUUACCAUUUGUUCCCAUGAUGAAAUGCUAUUAGCAGGUAAAGUAUUUAACCAUGAACGAGCUCUAUCCUUUAAAGAAAAUGGGAAUAAUCUGAGUUUAACAUCAUCGUCUGAAAAUUUUUCAUAUUUAAAAGUUUGACAAAUUGCAUGAAAAUCAUUCAGAUGAUUAUAUGGGUCCUCAUUUUCUAGGCCAUAGAAUGUUGGGAGACAAUUUAGCACACUAGGUUUUAGUUCAAAACUCCUAGCAGCUACAUUUGGGUAUCUUAUGCAUGAUGUGCUCAAAUUAGCUAAAGGACUGAAAUAAUCCUUAAAUGGCCUCUCCUGUGGUGCUUGUAAAUCCAUUCCAAAUUUAUUUUUAAUGUGCCUGUGUGUGCGAAGUGUUUUUUUCUAAUUCAAGGUCUAUAGGUUCAAGAUUAGGUAAUAAUGACCUACGACCAUGCAUGCAAAACAAAUAAAAUAAAAAUAAAGAUGGGAACAAAACAAAUAAAAAUAAAGAAGAGGGAGAAAUUACGAUACUAACCUUAUUGCGCUAUUACAACCUUUCUAUAAAAAUACACAAAAAUAAAUACGUGAAAUAAAUUAACUAAAAAUUAAAUUAAUAAAAUAAAAAAAAUUACAAAGAAAAAUAAAUUGAAAAUUAAAUUACAGAAUGUUAAAGAAGAGAAAAAGAAAAGAAAUACUAACCUUUAUAUGUAGAUUCACUCUUUUUUUUUCUUUUUUUUAAAUACAAGAAAACAAAUAAAAGAAAUUAUUCACAAAAAUUAAUUCUAUUAAUUAAAAUUACUUACCUCCCUGGCAACGGCGCCAAAAACUUGUUUUGCAAAUUUUAAUGUACUCGCAAGCGCACGAAUCUAUUGUAGUAUAGCCUAAUGGUGACGAGUGACGAUCCCACGAGGAGGUGGAUUUUAAUUAUAUGUAGAAUUAGUUUUGUAAAUGGGUGGUUGGAUUUGUGGUGGAAAUGAUUUGGAAUAUGCUAAAACUUAAAUUAAAAUGGCGAGAAUAAAUUCUAAAAUUGGAAUUGAAAUGACAAGAAUAAAUUGAAGAGAAUUCUAUUGAGAUGACGUACUUGGGUAUCUGGAUCCGUAUCAACAUGCAUCAUGCGCUAAAUAAUCCGUAUUAAUGCCAAUUAAAUCAUGAGGGGGGAAUCCACACCUCAUGAACCACGCUCUAAUCAAUAUGGUGCUAAGGGCUUAUCGUGUCAAAUGAUAAUAACCUUGUACUAGAGGGCCGGUGAAACCAAGGCGGUACUAGACAAGAUUAGUAUUAUUUGUCGACAAGAAGUCAAAACAUUCACAAAAACUAGAGGGGAAGAGAAAAAAAAUUUACCAAAUUAAGCCCAUGACACAUGUUGAGACUUCACCUUCAACCCAAACUUGAAAGAAAAUUAGCCACUCAUAAUUGAACUAGGGGCAAAAUGGAAAUUUAUUAAAAUACGAAGAAAAUACAAGAUGGAGAGCGAAUUAUAGAAAACAGAGUCCAAAAAUGGAUUCAGAGGUAUCAAAUUAGGUGGGGGAGGCCCCCUUUUUAUAGAUACAUGGAGUAAAUCAUGGCCAUCGGAUUAAAAACAGUUUGGACGCUCAGGAUUGUGCCACGUCAUCAGUCAACAGUACGCGGUUUGACCACGCGGAUGAACAGUAACACGGUUUGGUUGAAAAUAAUCCUGUGUGAUGCAUGUACCGUACACGAGAUUUUUCGUCCACUGAUAUGCUGCCACGUCACCAUCAACAGUACAUAAAAAUUUUAGCCCAACAGGAUCGUGACACCUCAUCAGUUAAUGCCACAUCAUCGGUCAAUGCCACGUCAUCGUCCGUCUAUGUGAAUAGUGCCGUGAACAGUAACGUAUACAGUACCGUACACGUGAAUAGUACCGUACAUGUGAACAGUGCUAUUUUUCCUUUUAUUCUCCUCCUAAGGUUUUCGACCGUCCUGAGUUCAAAAGUGAUGUCCGUUUUGUCAUCUGAUCUCUCGUUUAUUGUGAAAUGACUAUGAUGCCCCUAAAAUACAUAAAAUACUUAAUUCAAAUAAAACAAACGGAAUUAAAUCAAAAGAAGGUUAAAUUCAUAAAAGUAAAGGUGUUAGUAAGGCUUGAAAUGUAAAAUGAUAGUUUUCUCCUAUAUAAAUAUGCAUUUUCUAACACUCAACAACCUCUCCUCUUUCUUUUAAUUGGAUUAUCUUUCUUUUCUUUUCCCCUUCUCUUUUCUUUCAUCUCAUCUUUUACGAAAUUGGGAAACCAAAAACAACAUGCGCCAUGCGGGAUUUGUUGCAAAAUUAUAAAUAUUUCAAAUUCUUCAAAUAACUAAAAAUUAAUUUAUAUACACACUUUCUUAUUAAAAAAUAAAAAAAAAACUAACAGAGAAUUAAUAGAAUGAGCCUUUAUAUAAUAUUAUGUGAUAUUACAAUGUUAAUUAAUCAUUUCAUCAUCUUUUCUUUAGCAUCAUAUAGAAUAUUGUAAAAUCUACCUAUAAUUAUAAUCAUAUUAUUAGAAUCAAAAUAAUUUUAUUACUAUAAAGAUAUUAUAAUUUAAUAGGUAUAAGUAUAGAAAUUAUUAUUUUAACUUAUUUAUUUUUAAUAUAAGUAAUAUAGAAAUAAAGACAUUAAGUAUAUAAUUUAAUAAUUAAUUAAUAAAACAUCUUGAAUCUAAUAUAUGAACAAAUAUUAAUAAGAGAAAUAAUGUUAGUUUUAGAAACUAAGACAUAUUUUUAAAAAAUUCAGAUGUUUAUACUUGUUAUCAUAUAUAUGCUUAGCAAACCAAAGUUGGUUGGUGUGAGUGGUUCGGUAGUCUCACUCCUUAAGAGAGGUCAGGGGUUCAAGCCCUGCUCUCGUAUGGAGUCACCACUUUGGCCAGCACUUUAUCCCUUACGGGUCGACCGAGUGCGAGCAGGGAUUAGUCUGGGUUGUGGUAUGGGCUUAAAGGUGCCUCCCACAGUUGGGGCCCACUCAGGACCACCUCGUGGUUCAGACCAAUAUAUAUAUAUAUAUAUAUAUAUAUAUAUAUAUAUAUAUGCUUAGCACUUAAUACAAAUGCUCUCACCAUAGCAAUCCAUUUUGUUGUGCUUUUGUGUUUAGUCCCUGGCACUUCAUGUCCAUUAAGCUUUGGUUAAUUUAUUAUGCUAUGUGCUUUAGUAAAUUAAUGUUUUUAUUGAUAUUAUUUUGAUAGAAUAAUAAUCUUAAGGUUCUAUGUUUUACUUUUUCUCAAAUUAGGAUAUAGAUACUUACGAGGAAAUUAUGGAAAAUAUUUUAGAAUGAUAUAUUUAUAUUUUACAUUUAGAAUAGACAAAUCUUGGAUGUCUAUGGAUCGAAGAUCAAAAGAUUAUGAGAUUGGUGUUGAAGAUUUAAAAAUUUUGCAAUAGUUAUAUUAUGUCCAUGUAUGGAAUGUGGAAAUGUGAAACAUCAAACUGUUGAUGAGAUUAGGGAUCAUUUGUAUUUGAACGGUAUAGACGAAAGUUACAAUAAUUGGAUUGUGCAUGGAGAAAAGCUUGUUAAGAAGCUAUCAACUACUAGCAACACUCAAUCUACAAGAGAAUUUAAAACAAGAGCCUUUGAAACUGAAUCUGUGGCCAGCACUGUAGAGAUGAUUCAAGGAGCUUAUGAUCAUUUUGAAAACAAUCCUAAACAAUUUGAGAAUUUAUUGGCUGAUGCUGAGAAAAAGUUAUAUCCAGGUUGUAGUAAGUUCACAAAAUAUCUGCAUUGGUAAAAUUGUACAGCCUAAAAGCAAGAAAUGGGUGGUCAGACCGAGGCUUUUCAGAUUUGUUGAAAUUGUUAAGAGAAAUGUUGCAUGACAAUAAUAAAAUGUCUUGUUCAAUGUACAAGGCUAAAAAAACCUUAAAUGCAUUAGGGAUGGAGUAUGAGAAGAUACAUGCAUGUCCAAAUGACUGUAUACUUUAUAGAAAACACUAUAAAGAUGUUGUUAUAUGUCCUAAUUAUGGUGUAGCAAGGUGGAAGUUGAAAAAAAAAUUCAACUGAGAUGAAGAUUGGUGUUCUAGCAAAGGUUUUAUGGUAUUUCCCACCAAUCCCAAGGUUUAAAAGAAUGUUUUGAAGUGUUGAAACUUUGAAAAAUCAAACAUGGCAUGCCACUCAAAGGGAAACAGAUGGACUAUUACAUCAUCCUGUAGAUACCUGAUAACUCUAGGAAAUGAGAGUUAUUACAUCAAUUCUAGACUUAAAUUAAGAUCACUUAGAGAAUAAAUAAGGUGUUUUUAUUACAUUUUGCUUGAAUCAAAAUAGUUUGUGCUAAAACCAGGUGCAUAAUUGUAGGUUUUCAGAAAGUCUUAAUUUAUGAGGGGAUGUUGAGACAUUAGAUGAGCAAAAGGAGGAAAGAAGAUGGCUGCAAAAAAAGUAAGCACAACUGGGAAUAGUGCGGUAUUAUUGCGGAUGUCAGAGCAACCAGUGCUGUAGCAAUCUGGGAGCAAUGUGGGAGAAAAUUUAGGCACGAGUCAGCUGCAAAAGUCGUGAUUUUCAUGUUUUCUAAUUUAACUCAUGCACGCCUAUGGACUUUUAUUUUUACCCUAGUUUGCAGUAUAAAAGGGAGGCGUGCACCACAUAGAAAGGCGAAAAAGGAAUUAUCAUUGGAAUAAUUAGAGAGGAAAGGAAAAGAAAGAUCAUAAUUGAAGAGUGUUGUUUCAGUAACAUUGAAGAAUCUUGCAGAAGUAUUUGGAUUUGUCUUUCACCGUGCUCAACUUAUAUUUAUCUUCUUCCUGUGAUUGUUUUGAUGUAUCCCGUGAACAAUACAUUUAUGUUAUUUUUCUCAUUCAGAAUAUGAACUAGAUUUGCUUGUAGUUGAGUGACAAACAAUCCAAUGGGUUCUUGAAUGUUCUUAUGUGUUGUUAUGUCAUUACUGUAGCAUUUUACUCUAGUAGCUAUUAUGAAUAUAACUGUUAUUUCAGUUGACCACCCAUUUAAUAGUUCCAGUCAAGAUAGAGCAGGAAAAGGGCAUGUCUUAGCGGACAUUAUUAGAGUAUUACUCGAUCUUAAUUUAAGUUUCCUGGAUUAAGUUAUCUUGAAUCCCAUAAGGGCUAUACUUAAAGUUAAGAUUUGUGACACACUAGACAUAGGUGUUCACCUUGUAGGGUGGAGAGACUAAAGAUCAUAAUGUCAUACCAUAAGUAGAUUAGCAACUGGUCAUUGUGAAUAGAUUUAAGGGUAUGAGACUUCCAAUAUGCGAUAGUUGAGAAUGCAAAUUAAUUAUGCCCAAUGCUGCAGCACUUGGCGUAACAACUGGUGUUAACAUGAUGAAAAGUAGUCAGCCCAUAAGGAGAGUUUGAUCAUUCAACUACCAUAAUCUCAAUUGAAUCUUAGACACAUUUAAUCUAGUUUAUUUCAUUACGGUAUUGUUUUACUUAGUUUUCUCACAAUCAUCAAUUACGAUAGAACUUAAUUUACAAUUGUUAACUUUGGCCUUAAGUUGAUUUGCACUAUUGUGAUUGCUGUAGUAUUUCGAGUAACAUCAAUCUCUGUGGAGACAAUCUUGAAUAUUCAUUACUUUAAUACUUGUUGUGUAUACUUGCAUAUUGGUAUUGGUAGCAAUUGAUUAUAAAAAUAACCAACAAUACCCCAGCAUGGAAACUAAUAGAUCACUUAUGGCCUGAUUUUGGAGCUGAACGAAGGAACUUGCGACUUGCAUUAUCUGCAGACGGGAUUAAUCCAUAUAAUUCUCUUAGUAGUAGGUAUAAUUGUUGGCCCGUGAUAGUAGUGACAUAUAAUCUUCCUCCAUGGCUUUGUAUGAAGAGGAAAUUUAUGAUGCUGACAUUGUUAAUUUCAGGUCCUAAACAGCCUGGUAAUGAUAUUGAUGUCUACUUAGCUCCAUUGAUUGAUGAUCUUAAAAUAUUGUAGGAGAUAGGCAUUGAAGCUUAUGAUACUUAUUGUCAAGAGUCUUUCACAUUGAAAGCUAUUUUAAUGUGGAUGAUAAAUGAUUUUACUGUUUAUGGAAACUUGGUUGGUUGCAUUGUAAAAGGAUAUAAAGCAUGUCCAAUUUGUAGUGAAAAAACAUGUGCAGUUCAGCUUGACCAUAGUAAAACAAUGUCUUAUAUCGGUCAUAGAAGAUUUUUACCACGAUAUCAUCCAUAUCAGUUUCAGAAAAAGGCAUUUAAUAAUGAAGAGGAAAUUGAAAUUGCUCUAGAACCGCUGAAAGGAGAGGAAAUCUUGGCACAAGUUCAAAGAUUAAAUUUCUGGUUAGGGAAAAAAAAAGCAAAUAGUCGUGCAACUGAUAUCAAUGAAAAGUUUGCUGGAAGAAAAAGUCUAUUUUUUUCGAUUGAUUAUUGGAAGUCUUGAUAUGUUAGACACACCCUUGAUGUUAUGCAUAUUGAAAAGAAUGUGUGUGAAAGUCUUAUGGGGACUUUACUUGACAUUCCAGGGAAAUCAAAAGAUGGUUUUGCAACUCGUAUGGAUCUAGAUGAAAUGGGUGUAAGGAAAGAAUUACUACCAAGAAUUGGCCAAAAUGGAACAAAAUUGCCUCCUGUGUGUUAUACUUUGUCAAGGGAAGAAAAGAAAAAUUUUUGUAAGACAUUGUUUGAAAAUAAGGUUCCUGAUGGUUAUUGUUCAAAUUUUAGAAAUCUAAUCUCAUUGCAAGAUUUGAAACUCUAUGGCUUGAAAUCUCAUGAUUGUCAUGCUUUGAUGCAACAAUUGCAUCCUUUAGCAAUACGAUCCUUGUUACCAAAACAUGUUAGAUAUGUAAUAACAAGAUUUUGUGCUUUUUUUAACAACCUGUGCCGCAAAGUAGUGGAUGUGUGAAAAAUUAGAUCAAAUGCAAGAAGAUUUGGUGAAUAUUAUAUGCUUGUUAGAAAAAUAUUUCUUGCCAGCUUUCUUUGAUAUUAUGAUUCACUUACCAGUGCACCUUGUUAGAGAAGUCAAACUCUGUGGACCUGUUUACCUCCGAUGGAUCAAUCAAUUUGAGAGGCAAAUGAAAAUAUUGAAGGAUUAUGUACAAAAUCGGGAUAAACCAGAGGGUUGCAUUGCUGAAUCAUAUAUAGCUGAAGAGGCUAUUGAGUUCUGCAUAGAAUACUUAUAUGAAGUUGAUGAAAUUGGCAUUACACCUAAAAAAUACAGAUUUGAUGUUGGAUUACUUUUACCAAGUGGAUGUGUUGUUAGAAUAGAUCGUAAAUUGUGGGUGCAGGCACAUAGAUAUGUACUAGAAAAUACAAAUGAAGUUCAGCCGUAUAUCAUGUUAGUAACUAUUUCCUUUAUCUUAUAUAUAUUAGUUAUAUUUUCUGUAAUAGUUAUAAUCAUUCUUAUUUCAUCUUUAAGAUCUUAGAGAGCAUAUGGAGUUCUUGAAGAAGAAAUACCCAGCAAAGUCAAAGAAGAAAAAGUGGCUACAAGAUGAAUAUAAUAGGACUUUCAUAUAUUGGUUGCGUCAAAAAGUAAUUAACUAUAUAGUUCAUCCAUAAACAUUUUUUUGUUAUUCUAAGAUAUUUGUGUAUUAUUUAUAUACAUUUUUAUUACUAUCAUAUAGGUUGAAAUUCAACUUAACGAAUCAAGGAACAAUAUCUUGGAAGCCUUUAGAUGGAUUGCACAUGGACCUCGCCUUGAAGUGAUAAAGUACCAAGGCUAUGAAAUUAAUGGUUAUCGUUUUCAUACUAAAGAACGUGAUGACUUACGAGUUGUACAGAAUAGUGGAGUCUAUUUAGAUGCAAACACAUUUCAGAUUUCAAUUGCUAAAGAUAAGAAUCCUGUGGUGGCAAAUAUGUCAUUUUAUGGAGUUAUACAAGAGAUAUGGGAGCUUGAUUACAACAAGUUCAAGAUUCCUGUAUUUAAGUGUGAUUGGGCUGAAAACAAUCGUGUGAUAAAAAAAGAUGAGCAAGGACCUACGUUGGUAAACCUUAAUAGGAUAGGCCAUAAAGAUGAUGGUUUUAUUUUGGCUUCUCAACCGAUACAAGUAUUUUAUGUUGAAGAUCAACUCGAUCCAAGGUGGUCUAUUGUGAUAGUGACUCCACGUGGGGAAUAUAUGUAUGAUUCAAGAGAAGAUCUAGGUGACAUCAUGUUAGAACAUCAAAAUCCUAGCAAUUUAAUGCCAUCUGUUGAGUCAUUUGAUAAAAAUGAGUGAUAACGAUUUAGCUUACAUCAGAACUGAUAUCAAUGAGGAAACAUUGGUUGAAAACGUUUAUUAGAAAACAAACGUAAGUUUUUUUUCAACAAAGUUGGUGUAUUGAAUUAUUAUUUUAAUGUAUAGCAUUGUUUAGCUUAUGUGACCUAUUAUUCUUCUAUUAAAUUCUCAUCAAUUUUUUUCUUUUCUUUUUCUUUAGUUAUUUUGCAGCAGGUUUAUAAAACAUUGCUACAGAAAUGAGUUCAACUGUCAAAAAAAGAAAAAGUAGAGGUCGAACGAAUUUACCUCAGCUGGUCAGAAAUAGAAACAAUGGAUAGAAGCUUAUAGUCGAGUAUAACAAAAGAGGACAACAACACGGCAAGGUAGCAACAUGAUUGUUUAGCUUUUUAGGUGUCUUGGCACGCACCAUGGUUCUAAUUUCUUAUAAAGAUUGGAGCAAAGUGCCAUCAGAGUCCAAAGAAAAGAUAUGGGAAUGUGUAAAAGUAUGUGUUUACAGCUCUUUUCCUAAAAUAAUACACAUUUAUUUAAUUUGUGAAAAUUUUUUAAACAUGCUAUGCAUAUUGCAGUUCUCUUUUGAGGUGGAUGAUGAGCUUCAAGGCAAAUUCUUAUCUUUAGCUACGAAUAAAUAAAGAACCUUCAAGAAUAGACUCACCACUAAAUAUAUCAAGAGAUCUAAACAUAAGCCAGAGGCACUGAAGUGCCUGCCUAAAAUGUAUGAUUUUAUCGAGCAAGAAGAUUGGGAAGUUUUUGUACGUUAUCGAACUUCUAGUGCAUUUGAGAUAUUAACUAACUUUUUUAAUUAAAUGUAUGUUUGUCAUUGUUUGUGUACUUACCUUGAUUAUUGAAUGCAGGAAAUUAGCCAAAAAUAUAGAGAAAGAAGGGCAAAAAAUAUAUACAAUCAUUGCCUUUCAAGGAAAGGCUAUGUGGGAUUAGAGGAUGAACUGGUAUGUACACAAAUAUUUAUAUGUAUGUAUAACUUUCCUUUUCAGUCUAUCACCUUAAUUAAGAAAGUUAUGUAUGACUUUAAUUCAUUUAAAUUUAUAUAUAGCAACAAGCUGCUGGAAACAAAAAAGAUAUUAGUCGCUCUACCUUAUGGAAAACAGCACACAAAAAUAAGAAAGGUAGACACAUGAGUGAGGUCAUUAGAGAAAAGGCUAAUGAAAUAGUAAGUUUAUAAAUAUAUGAUUUUGAAUAAUUUAACAUAUGAACUAAAAAGUUGCUGAUUUCUUGUUAUUAUUCAAAUGUAGGAUGAGAUAACAAAGAAAAGUGAGGAAGGGGUUAUAGCUACUGGUGGUAGGAAUGAUGUUCUAACAAUAGCUUUAGGAACCCCUGAAAGUUCAAGUCGAGUAAGAACUGGAGGACGUUUUGCCACACCUUCUUCAUACUUUGGAAGGAAAAAAUGAAGUUUCUCAUCCAACAAUGAGUUACAAGAGCGUAUAACUCAACUAGAGGAAAAUUAUGAGAAAAUUUCACAAGAAAAAUUUCUAUUAGAGCAAAAUGUAGGGAAGAUUGUAUAAGAACAAAUGAUGCAUUUUUUUGAAGAAUUCCGAAAGAAUGGAGUCCUACCGAUCCAGUCACCAAAAGUUCCCUUAGAAAAAGGCAGCUGCUCCAAAGAACCAAGAAUGAAGAAAAAGUGCUCCAAGAAAAAACAAGUACAUAUGCAAAAUGAGUGCUUCAAGAAGAAAAAAGUAUACAUAAAAAAUAAGUGCAGUUCUAUAUUUUUUUUUAAUUCCAAAUCUCAAAGUUUAGAUUUUAAUCACUUAUAAUGCUAUGAUUAAUACUUUACUCAUAGAUGAUGCAGGGCAAAUCAUGUAUGUUAGUAGUGGGCAGCAUAAAUAGUAUUGUAACCAAAGGUACAAUGUUAGAAAACAAUGAUCCUAAUUCUACUAUGCAUGGAGUACCAUUGGCAGUCACGGAUGUUCAUGUGGCUAUUAAUAUUGCAAUUAAAGGGGAUGCCUUUUUACCAAGGCCUGUCAGGGAUGAGUUAGUUAUUGUUAGCCAUGCCAUUGGAUCCCAUGUUGCGUGCCUAAGCAAUUUGUCAUCUUGAAUGAUUUUGAGGUAUAUAUCUAUAAUUAAUUGUUUGCUUUUGAUUCGUCUUAAAUUAUUAAUAAUUUUUUUUUAUUUUGGAGUGGGGAAUAGGGUAUCAAACAAAUAAACAACAUUCGUGAAGUGUUGUUUAUUUGUUUGAUACACGUAAUUUAUCCCGCAGCUGCCUAGAAAAUUUUACAAACUGCAGUCAAAUACAACUCUUGUAGCUAAGUAAUGUUUCGAAGAUAGAAAUAUGUGUAUUGUAAGAAAAUGAUAGUAAUGUUCAUGCCGCGGUAGUUAUUAUUUCUGUCUUGCCACUGUUCAAAUAUCAUUUUCCAUUUAAUAUGUGGUCAUCACAAAGUCAAAAACACCCCAAAUCAUAUCCGAAAUUAUAUUCUUGCUUAAUGAAUAGUGAACAUUAACCCUUUGAAAAAUUACGUUGAAAGAUUUAAAAAAUCACAUAGAGUCUAAGUAUUCUGCCAUUAUAUGUCGCACUCGUGUAUAAAUUUAGCAUUUAACUGAGCAUAUCAUUGACGCCUAUAAUGUCUUAUUCUUCUUUUUUUUAGUUAAUUAAUUUCUGUUUUUGCUUGUAGAUAUCUCAUACAUAUUUGUAGUUACAUAAAAAAAUCUAUUGAGAAUGUGCAGGAAUACAAAGCGCCAGCAAGAAUAGAUGCUCUUUGCAAGUACGCUCGCCGAGUGUUGACUAAAGUAUUAUUUAUUGAAAUUUAUCCAGGGAUCUUCGACAAUGAACAAGUUGAAUUAUAUUUAUCAGUUGAUGACAUUGUACAAUUUUGUGGCAUGGAAAAGAUUGGGGUUGCAACAAUAACUUGUUACAUGAAGUAAUUUAAUUAAAUUACUUAUUUUCUUGGCAAAAUAAUUAGUUAUAAUUUUUAUUUAUGCAGUGAAGUAAUUAUUACUUGUUUUCUGUAGGCAUCUGUACGAAGUCUUGAAGGAUCAUCCCCUGGAACAUAUUUACAAAUUUGAUAAUCCUUCAAUCUUUUGUGAUGAAACUGGAAAUAAUUAUGAGACUAGAGCUCAUGCAAUGGUAUUUAGAAUGGAAAUACUUGAUCCAUAACAACUUAUGAUGUUUCCUUACAAUACCAGGUUUGUUAUUUUAGUAAUUGUAUAUAGCAUUUGGAGUUUAUUCUCUUUUUCUUUUACAAAAAUAUGCAAGGCUGAUAUUUAUCAUUAUAUAUAGCAAACAUUGGAUGUUGAUUGUUGUGGAUCCGCACAAAUUUAUAGUAUAUGUUUUAUUCACUCGGCCAUGAACCUCGCCUUGAUUUGAAGAACUUUGUAUCACUAUAAGUUAUUGUCAUUUUUUGUCAAUUAUAAUGCAUUUAUUAAAACAUGCUUGACUAAAUGUGUAUUUAAUUAUGUAUCUUAAGUGCUUUCAAGAUUUUUGUAGCAAAAAUGGGAAAUACGAAUCGGAAAUCCUUUGUUUGGAAAAGGGUUAAGGUAUAUGAAAUUGUACAUAUGUAUGUUCAAUUUAAAUUUAUUUACAUAUGUAGAUGACAUUAAUUAGUUCAAAAUUUUUGUGUAGUGUCCUCAACAAACUACAAAUGUUGAAUGUGGAUAUUAUGUCAUCAGAUUUAUGAAGGAAAGCAUUGAAAACUAGGCCGAUUCAAUAAAAAACUUGGUAGUUAUCUCCUUAUCCUUUUAAAAUUUAUAGAUUUCAUAAGGUUGAUGCAUAUAUUAAUGUUGACUAUUUUGUGCAUGAUAUAUAGUUUGUUGGACGAGAUAGUUUCACUCAAAAGGAUAUUGAUAAAGUAAGAGUGGAGUGGGUAGAGUACAUAUGGCAGAACAUUUUUUGCUAAAUUUUGUAGCACAAUGACUUUGCGAGGUUAGUAAAUGAAUAGGAUUAUUAUUUUUAUCUACAUCUUUUUUAUUAUCUUUGUUUCGAAUAAGAUAUUAAAAAGGUUAUAAAAUUAUUUCAAUUAUUUUGAUUUUGUAAUUAAGGAAGGUUCAUCAAAAGGUUUCACUCUCCAACUCCCUUUGGCUUUGGCAUGAUUAUUGGGGUAGCCAACUUGGGGAGGGGGGUAGCUGCAUUUUGUUGUUCUUGUGAAGAAUGUAAUACGGUUCUAUUUUAAGAAAAAAGAGAUAUGGAUAUCUAGUUACUUUCAUUUGGAAAUUAUAAACAUAAAGAUUAUUUUUGGUAUUGUUUGUCAUGUGCCAAAUUUAUAUAUGCGUAUUGCAAUUCCUUUACCAUUUAUCGACCAAAUGCUUGAUAGAUUAGCAGGCCAUGAAUUUUAUUGCUUUCUAGAUGGCUACUCAGGAUAUAAUCAGAUUCCCAUAGCACCAAAAGAUCAAGAGAAAACCACUUUCACUUGCCCUUUUGGCACUUUUGCAUAUAGGAGAAUGCCAUUUGGAUUAUAUAAUGCACCUGCUACAUUUCAACGAUGCAUGUUGAACAUUUUUUCUGAUAUGGUUGAACGAUUCCUUGGAGUCUUUAUGGAUGAUUUUUCUGUCUUUGGUGACUCGUUUGAUCAAUGUUUACAUCAUAUAACACUAGUUCUGCAGAGAUGUAUCGAGAAGAACUUAGUCUUAAAUUAGGAGAAGUGCCAUUUUAUAAUAAAACAAGGUAUUGUUCUCGGUCACAUUAUUUUAAGCAAAGGUAUUGAGGUUGACAAAGCCAAGGUGAAUCUCAUUUCUAAUCUUCCUCCACCUAAAAUAGUAAGAGAAGUAAGAUCUUUCCUUGGGCAUGCUGGUUUCUAUAGACGUUUCAUUAAAGAUUUUAGCGAAGUUUCUAGACCCUUAUGCAAUCUACUUGCUAAGGAUGUACCUUUUAUCUUUGAUGAUUCAUGUCUUGUGGCAUUUAAAAAAUUAAAGUGAUUGUUGACAUCAUCACCCAUCAUUCAGCCCCAAAUUGGAGCUUACUAUUUGAGCUCAUGUGUGAUGCAUCUGAUUAUGCAGUAGGAACAGUAUUAGGACAAAGAGUUGAUCGAAUUCCCCAUGUUAUUUACUAUGCUAGUAUGACAUUGAAUGAUGCACAGUUAAACUAUUCAACUACUGAAAAAGAAAUGCUAGGAGUAGUGUUUGCAUUGGAAAAAUUUUGAUCUUAUCUUAUUGGUUGUAAAAUAAUUAUAUUCACAGAUUAUGCUGCUCUUAAAUAUCUUCUCAUAAAGAAAUAUGCAAAAGCUAGACUAAUUCAUUGGGUGUUACUUUUGCAGGAAUUUGACUUGGAAUUCAAAGAUAAGAAAGGCAUAGAAAAUGAUGUGGCAGACCAUCUCUCUCAUCUCCAUUUUGACACAAUUAUGGAAUCAUUACCAUUGAAUGAGUCAUUUCCAGAUGAACAAUUGAUGAGUGUGGAAGUAUUACCUUGGUAUGCUGAUAUAGUUAAUUAUCUUGUUACAGGUCAACUUCCAGAGCAUUGGACCAAGCAAAGCAAGGCCAAAUUUUUUACAGAAAUAAAGAAUUUCUUUUGGGAUGACCCUUAUUUGUUCAAGUAUUGUGCAGAUCAAAUUGUUAGUUGAUGUGUCCCAGAAAGUGAAAUUCAAAAUAUCCUUUCAUUCUGCCAUGAACAAGCUUGUGGAGGCCAUUUCAGUUCUAAGAAAACAGCAACUAAAGUUUUACAAUGUGGUUUCUAUUGGCCAACUAUAUUUCGAGACGCUUACACCUCCUAUUCUUCAUGUGAUAGGUGUCAACGAAUGGGGAGCAUUACACGAAGGAAUAUGAUGCCACUAAAUCCAAUUUUAGUGGUUGAGAUUUUUUAUGUAUGGGGUAUCGACUUCAUGGGACCCUUUCCCCCUUCUUUUGGCCAUCAAUACAUAUUGGUUGCUGUUGACUACGUAUCAAAACAGGUAGAAGCAAUUCCAUGUAGAACCAAUGAUCACAAGGUGGUGAUAGGAUUUUUGAAAAGUAACAUUGUUUCACGCUUUGGAUUCCCUCGAGUGAUAAUCAGUGAUGGUGGUGUCCACUUUUGUAACAAAGCAUUCAAAGCUCUUUUGACAAAGUAUUCAAUCACUCACAAACUGGCGACCCCAUAUCAUCCGCAAACCAGUGGCCAAGUUGAGAUCUCCAAUCGAGAAAUAAAGCACAUAUUAGACAAGACGGUGAGGCCAGACAGAAAAGAUUGGUCAUUAAGACUUGAUGAUGCAUUAUGGGCAUAUAGAACGGCUUUCAAGACCCCAAUUGGGAUGUCACCCUACAGGCUAGUGUAUGGAAAAGCUUGCCACCUACCUAUGGAACUCGAGCAUCGUGCAUAUUGGGCCAUCAAGAAAUUCAACUUUGACAUGUAGCAAGCCAGCUCAGAAAGAAGAUUACAACUAGCAUAACUUGAAGAAAUUCGCAAUGAUGCAUACAAAAAUGCCAAAAUUUACAAGCAACGAAUGAAAGUCUUCCAUGACAAGCAAAUUAUGAGAAAAUCUUUCACUCCAGGUCAGAAAAUGUUUUUAUUCAAUUCUCGCUUGCACCUAUUCCUAGGUAAGUUACGCUCUCGAUGGUCUGGCCCCUUUAUUGUUCAUACUGUUUUUUCACAUGGAGCAAUUGAAAUUAAGGAUCCAAAGAACGGUGUCACGUUUAAAGUUAAUUGUCAAAGAUUAAAGCCAUAUCUAGAGUACCAAUCACAUGGAGAGGACACCGAAAUAAAUUUAAGUCACCCACCAGAUUUGAAUUGAAUUUUUCUUUCUUUUCAAUGAUUUGAUUUUUUUUUCUCUUUUUAUUAUUCUUUUGCUAAUUGAAAUUAUUUUUGCAUAAGUGUGUUUGUUUAACCAUUAAGUUUUCUCUUAUCAUUGUUAAUCAUGGUGUCAUAGCUAAACAGUUCAUUCUGAACAUUCUUAAACCACUUCAACGUGUAAAAUCUCAUCUCAAAAGGCAGAUUCGAUUUUGUAAGACACAUCGUAUUUGGGCUUUGUAACCACCAGAGUUAGUAUCCUAUGUUGAGGAUUUAGAAAGCCAACUCAGAGACAUUGAGAGAGGUGUCUACAACAUCCAGUUGGAGCUUGAGGUAAAUUCAAUAAGAGGACGAUUUUAAUUUUCUUUGUGUGUUUUAAUUUAUUUUUCUAUUUGAGUGCUUUAGUUUGUUACCCCGGUGAAGUGGCGGAUAACGGUACUCCGUGACAAUCAAGUCGGUUACUUCAGUUUCCCAUAAUAACUGAUAUUCUGAGGUGAAGGUAUGGACAGAAACGAGAUUCUAGCAAAACUUCACAAUCGAUUCCCUUUACUUCCUCAGAAUGCCCUUCUUACAAUCUAUAAAGCCCGGUCCGAAUGCAUGCGAUUACUCAUGGGGAAUAAUAUACCUGCUGACAUCCGUUGGUUAAUCGAGGCGAAAGUACGAUUGGCAGGUGAGUUACCUCCAAAAUUUAUUGCAUACAUGCCUAGUUGUGGUAAAGGAAAUUAUGCAAGAAAACGACGAGCUUAAAGAAUUUAUGUUGCUAGUCAUAAGUGUGCCAGAAUGAGUUGCGAUAAAACCCAUGUUCUUUAGGAAUGGUGUCUGAAAACAGGGAAGAUAAGAUUCAAUUCAUUAGGGAUGGCUUGAAUAAGGAGUCAUUGGAUGAUAUCCUUUUGCCUCUUGAAACGCAUCCCAGUGGAUAUGUGUAAGGAGCAAUUCUCUAGUUAUGGUCAUUAUUCCAGAAAGAGCAUGCACAAUAUAGUCUCGGGAAUCUGACUAUAAACGACCAUGUUUGCCAGUUUAUAAGAAAACUAGAUGGGAAGCCUAUCCUCGACCCAUAGAGGGCGUUCAAGCCGUUUCUAGAUGUAAAACCAGAGGAAGAUGUGAGCCACAGUCGCAACUACCUGUAAAUAUCCUUUUACUUCACUGUUAUUUUAUUUCACUGUUGUUUUAUCAUUUGCAUUAUUGUCUUUAAUAAUUUUAUUUUUAUUUUAUCAUUGUUUUUUUUCUUUUUACUAUUUCCUUUUUGACUCGCGAGCCAUGUGCUUUACGCCUUAUUUGACACUGACAUGCUACCUCAUACACAGCUGUGACCCACUGUCACCAAGAUUCUUAAAUGUGAUUUUUUUGUCAAGCACUUACAAAUUAUUUUUGAGAAGUAUCCCAAUGGCAGCUACUCCCAAUAGACAAUUCAAAAACAUUUGUGUGCUUUCUGGAUUUAACUAUGGCAAAAAUAAAGAGUUCGUUGAGGCAGCCAUAGAUCUUGGUCGAAGCAUAACAGAGAGAAAAUUACACUUGGUGUAUAGAGGAGAUAACCAAGGGUUAUCAAAAUUGGUCUCAGAAGCUGCUUUUGUUAGAGGAAGUCAAGUGUUAGGCAUCAUCCCAAGAGCUCUAAAACCUUUGGACAGUUUCUCUGACUCAUCGACUAGAGAAGAGUUAGUCAUCUCAGGUAUGCAAGAAAGAAUAACUGAAAUGCUUAAUCAUGCUAAUGCUUUUAUUUUCCUUCCAGGAGAUCUUGCAACACUAGAGGCACUUAUCACACUAGCAUCUUGGGCCCAUCUGCACAUUCACCAGAAACCCAUCGGUUUGUUAAAUGUCAAUAACUUUUAUGAUGGCUUUAUCGCAUUUCUUAACCAUGCAAUAAAAAAUUAUUUCAUUCCUUCCAAUGCGAAAAAACUUUUUAUUUGUGCUCACACUACUAAUGAGCUACUUGAUCUAUUACAAGCUUAUAAACCAGAGCCAGGCCCCUAGACCUUUGUGUUAGAGUGUCCAAAUAAUGAUGAUAAGAGUAGCCGCAAUAAGAAGUACAAAUUAAAUUUAACUCUCCGCUUGUAAAUAUUUUCUUCUAUGUUACACCACUCAGGUGAUGUCUUCUAAACUCUACUUAUUUCCUUUAAAAUAUUGAGGAAAAUGUUUCGUUUUGGUUGGGCGGAGGGAAUAGUCGACAAUUGUGGAAUCUUGGUUAAGUUUUUACUGAUUUGUUGUUGUAGAAACUACAUGUUGCUAACUUUUUGUGUUGAAGAUGACUGAAUAUGGAGUGUAGUGACUCUAGAAAUGCAUCUUCAUUGUUUGAAAAAAAAAUUCAGACAUUUUCUUUUUCUUUAUUAAGUUUUGAUGUUCAUUUUUCUUCUUCUUUUUAAUUUCUCUUUUAUAAAUAUACAUUUUCAAAUUUUUGAGUCGAAGAUGGCUGAAUAUGGAGUGUAGUGCCUCUAGAAACGCAUCUUCUAAGUUAAAAAAAAAAUAUUUUCUUUUUCUAUCAUUUUAAGUGUAACUUUUCUAAUUAGUUUUUCUACAUCAUUUUCGCAUUUCUGCAUGCAUAUUUUCAUUUCAUGUUUAGAAUAGGUUGGGGGGUAUAAUGUUGUUUGAAAAAAAAAAUUAUGUGAUUUGUUUUAACAUUGGAUGACAUGAUUAAUUUCAAAUUUUAGUAUUUGUAUUAUUUUUGGUCUUAAGUGAUGUUACGCUAUGUUUGCUACUCUACAUGUUGAUGUCGGAGACAAAUAUGAGUUGCUUGAAGGGAUGAACAUGUCAUAAUAAGUACCAAGUGAGUUUUUGAGCCUAUCAUUUUUCUUGAAGAGUAACCAUUAUGCCCAUUCUUUAUAUAGCUUAGCAGUUUAUUAUUUUAUACACGAUCUCUAGAUUUCUUUUGAGUUAACCCUUAAAAAAAAGGAAAAAAGAAAAAAAAGAAAAAAUGUGUGUUGCUACAUUUGGAGGCCCAUCUAACUAGUAAAUAUGGAAGAUUAUUUAGAGCUCUAAAAGACGAUGGAAAGGCCAUCUUUGAUCCGUUUGAGCCUUUUUAGCCAUCCCUUUUAUGAAAUAUCCAUAGUUAACCCUUUUGAGCCUUUUAAAAAAAAAACAUUUUCUUUGUCAAACUUAUCAUCUUGACCCACUCCGAUUUGGAGUAUUACCUAAUAUCUUACACGUUCCAUCACCUAUUUAUGUUUGAGAAAAAUGUAAAUAAUUAUUUUGUUCAAUCAAGUUGUGCCAAACAAAAAAAAAAUUGUUGGUUAAAAAAAAGAGAAAAUAAUAAUAAUAAUAAUAGGUGAAAUCUACCUUGCAACUUCAAAAAAAAAAAAAGAAAUUCUCUGCAUUUUUCUCAAACAUACACUUUGUUUUCCUUAUUUUCCUUCUUUGUUAGCUAUGUCCUUAGCCUACGUUACGUCCUAAUAAAAGUCCUUCUUGAUUUUAGGGAACUAUAGUCUGAAGUAUAAACUAGUUAUAUGGGCUAAAAAGAUGUAGUGGUGCACAAUAAAAAAAAAAGAUAAAUAAAUUGGGUUGACUAGCAUUUUUGUUUGACUUGAGAUCGUAUUAUUUCUAAGCUGAAGGCAUAUUUCUUUCAUCUUGGUGAGAGUAUGUGAUAUCACUUCUUUAUUAUUUCCUCUCUCAAUUACCAUUCAUUAGAGUGACUAUUUUAUUGGGUUUAAUUUCUUUGUGAGAGUGUCACUAUUUCCAGUGAGAUUUUAGGGUUUAACAUGUCAUUCUUGAAAGGAGCUGUGACAAAGUCUACUGGGCUGAUUCAUGUGGAUGGUUGAUGUGGGUGUGAUGUUUCUUUAGACUAGAGAUAAUGCUUAUACUUUUAUUUUAUUACUAUCAUUUGUCUGAUUGAAUAAACAUGAUUGUUUUUAAAAAAAAUCAUUUUGGAUUUGAAUUUUGUUUUCGCUUUAUUUGCUAGGGACUAGCAAUAAGCUGGUUGGGGGGUUGUUGAGUGUUAGAAAAUGUAUAUUUAUAAAGGAGAAAAUCGUCAUUUACAUUUCAAGUCUUACUAACACCCUUACUUUUAUGUAUUGAAGCUUCUUGUGAUUUAAUUACGAGUGUUUUAUUUUAACUAAGUAUUUUAUGUAUUUUAGGGGCAUCAUAGUCAUUUCACAAUAAACGAGAGAUCAAACGGCAAAACGGACAUCACUUUUGAACUCAAGACGGUCGAAAACCUUAGGAGGAGCAUAAAAAGAAAAAUGGCAUUGUUCACAUGUACGGUACUAUUCACAUGUACGGUACAUUCUACGUUACUGUUCACGACACUGUACAUAGACGGAUCGAUGACGUGGCAUUGACCGAUGAUGUGGCAUUGAUUGAUGAGGUGUCAUGAUCCUGUUGGACUAAAAUUCUUAUAUACUGUUUAUGGUGACGUGGCAGCAUAUCAGUGGACUAAAAAUCUCGCGUACGGUACAUGCAUUACACAUGAUUAUUUUCAACCAAACCGUAUCACUGUUCAAGCUGAGUCAAACCAUGUUACUGUUCAAACUGCGUACUGUUGACUGAUGAUGUGGCACAAUCCUGAGCGUCCAAACUAUUUUUAAUCUGAUGGCUGUUGUGCAAAUUUUAAUGUACUCGCAAGCGCACGAAUCUAUUAUAGUAUAGAUCAAUGGUGACGAGUAUCGAUCCCAUGAGGAGGUGGAUUUUAAUUGUGUAGAAUUAAUUUUGUGAAUGGGUGAUUGGAUUUGUGGUGGAAAUGAUUUGGAAUAUGCUACAACUUAAAUUAAAAUGGCAAGAAUAAAUUCUAAAAUUGGUAUUGAAAUGGCGAGAAGAAAUUGAAGAGAAUUCUAUUGAAAUGACGUACUUGGGUAUCUGGAUCCGUAUCAACAUGCAUCAUGGGCUAAAUAUUCCUUAUUAAUACCAAUUAAAUCAUGAGGGGGGAAUCCACACCUCAUGAACCACGCUCUAAUCAAUAUGGUGCUAAGGGCUUAUCGUGCCAAAUAAUAAUAACCUUAUACUAGAGAGCCGGUGUAACCAAGGCGGUAUCUAGACAAGAUUAUUAUUAUUUGUCGACGAGAAGUCAAAACAUCUACAAAAACUAGAGGGGAAGAGAAAAUAAAUUUACCAAAUUAAGCCCAUGACACAUGUUGAGACUUCACCUUCAACCCAAGCUUGAAAGAAAAUUAGCCACUCAUAAUUGAACUAGGGGCAAAAUAAGAAUUUAUUAAAAUAUGAAGAAAAUACAAGAUGGAGAAGGAAUUACAUAAAAUGGAUCCCAAAAAUGGAUUCAGAGAUAUCAAAUUAGGGGGGAGAGGCCCCCUUUUUAUAGAUACACGGAGUAAAUCAUGGCCAUCGGAAUAAAAACAGUUUGGACGCUCAGGAUUGCGCCACGUCAUUAGUCAACAGUCCACGGUUUGACCACGCGGAUGAACAGUAACACGGUUUGACCCGACUUUGAACAGUAACGCGAUUUGACCUGGAUGAACAGUAACGCAGUUUGGUUGAAAAUAAUCCUGUGUGAUGCAUGCACCGUAUGCGAUAUUUUUCGUCCACUGAUAUGCUGCCACGUCACCAUCAACAGUAUAUAAGAAUUUUAGUCCAAUAGGAUCGUGACACCUCAUCAGUCAAUGCCACGUCAUCGGUCCGUCUAUGUGAACAGUGUCGUGAACAGUAACGUAUACAGUACCGUACAUGUGAAUAGUGCCGUACAUGUGAACAGUGCCAUUUUUCCUUUUAUGCUCCUCUUAAGGUUUUCGACCGUCCUGAGUUCAAAAGUGAUGUCCGUUUUGCCAUCUGAUUUCUCGUUUAUUGUGAAAUGACUAUGAUGCCCCUAAAAUACAUAAAAUACUUAAUUAAAAUAAAACACAUGUAAUUAAAUCACAAGAAGGUUAAAUACAUAAAAGUAAGGGUUGUUAGUAAGACUUGAAAUGUAAAAUGACGAUUUUCUCCUUUAUAAAUAUGCAUUUUCUAACACUCAACACACCCCCCAACCAGCUUAUUGCUAGUCCCUAGCAAAUGAAGCGAAAAUAAAAUUCAAAUUCAAAAUGAUUUUUUUUAAUUUAGAAACACUUGUGUUUAUUCAAUGAGAUUAAUGAUAGCAAUCAAAUAAAAGUGUAAGCAUUAUCUCCAGUCUAAAGUAACAUCACACCCACAUCAACCAUCCACAUGAAUCAGCCCAGUAGACUUUGUUAUAGCUACUUUCAAGAAUGACAUGUCAAACCCCAAAAUCUCACUGGAAGUAGUGACACUCUCACAAAGAAAUUAAACCCAAUAAAAAUAGUCACUCCAAUGAAUGAUAAUUGAGAGAAAAUAAUAAAGAAGUGAUAUCACAUGCUCUCACCAAGAUGAAAUAAAUAUGCCCUCAGCUUAAAAAUAAUACGAUCUUAAGUCAAAUAAAAACUGUUAGUCAACCCAAUUUAUUUAUUUAUUUUUAUAUGCACCACUACAUCUUUUUAGCCCAUAUAACUAGCUUCUACUUCAGAUUAUAGUUCCCUAAAAUCAGGAAGGACUUUUAUUAGGAUGUAACGUAGGUUAGGGACAUGGUUAACAAAGAAAGGAAAUAAGGAAAACAAAGUGUAUGUUUGAGAAAAAUGCAGAGAAUUUUUUUUUUUUUGGAAGUUGCAAGGUGGAUUUCACCUAUUAUUGUUAUUUUUAUUCUUUUGAAAAACAACUUUUGUUUUGUUGUUUUUUUUUUGUUUUUUGUUUUGGUAUAACUUCACUGAACAACAUAAUUAUUUACAUUUUCUCAAACAUAAAUAGGUGAUGGAACUUAUAAGAUAUCGGGUAAUACUCCAAAUCGGAGUGGGUCAAGAUGAUAAGUUGACAAAGAAAAUGUUUUUUUUUUUUAAAGGCUCAAAAUGGUUAACUAUGGAUAUUUGAUAAAAGGGAUGGCUAGAAAGGCUCAAACGGAUCAAAGAUGGCCUUUCCAUCGUCUUUUAGGGCUCUAAAUAACCUUCCAUAUCUACUAAUUAGAUGGGCCUCCAAAUGUAACAACACACUUUUUUUUUCUUUUUUUUUAUUAAGGGUUAACUCAAAAGAAAUCUAGAGAUCGUGUAUACAAUAAUAAACUGUUAAGCUGUAUAAAGAAUGGGCAAAAGGGUUACUCUCCAAGAAAAAUGAUAGGCUCAAAAACUCACUUGGUACUUAUUAUGACAUGUUCAUUCCUUCAAGCAACUCAUAUAUGUCUCCGACAUCAACAUGUAGAAUAGCAAACAUAAUGUAACAUCACUUAAGACCAAAGAUAAUAUAAAUACUAAAAUUUAAAUUAAUCAUGUCACCUAAUGUUAAAAUAAAUCACACAAAGUUUUUUUUUUUAAACAACAUUCUACCCCCCAACCUAUUCUAAACAUGAAAGGAAAAUAUGCAUGCAGAAAUGUGAAAAUGAUGCAUAAAAACUAAUUAGAAAAGUUACACGUAAAAUGAUAGAAAACGAAAAUGAUUUUUUAUUUUUUUUUAAAGAAGAUGCGUUUCUAGAGGAACUACACUCCAUAUUCAGCCAUCUUCGACUCAAAAGUUGGAAAAUGUAUAUUUAUAGAGGAGAAAUUAAAAAGAAGAAAAAUAAACAUAAACACAUAAUAAAGAAAAAAGAAAAUGUCUGAAUUUUUUUUAAAGUUUUUUUUAUAAUUUUUUUUAAACGAUGAAGAUGCGUUUCUAGAGUCACUACACUCCAUAUUCAGCCAUCUUCAACACAAAAAGUUAGCAACAGUUAGUUUCUACAACAAAAAUUAGUAAAAACUUAAUCAAAAUUCCACAAUUGUCGACUAUUCCCUCCCCCCAACCCGAACGAAACAUUGUCCUCAAUGUUUGAAAGGAAAGAAGUAGAGUUUAGAAGACAUCACCUGGGUGGUGCAACACAGAAAACAAUAUUUACAAGCGGAGAGUUAAAUCUAAUUUGUACUUCUUACUGCGGCUACUGUUACCAUUAUUAUUUGGGCGCUCCAACACAAAGGUCCAGGGGUCUGGCUCCGAUUUAUAAGCUUGUAACAUAUCAAGUAGCUCAUUAGCAGUGUGAGCACAAAUAAAAAGUUUUUUUUACAUUAGAAGGAAUGAAAUAGUUUUUUAUUGCAUGGUUAAGAAAUGCGAUAAAGCCAUCAUAAAAGUUAUUGACAUUUAACAAACCGAUGGGUUUUUGGUGGAUGUGCAGAUGGGCCCAAGAUGCUAGCGUGAUAAGUGCCUCUAGUGUUGCAAGAUCUCCUGGAAGGAAAAUAAAAGCAUCAGCAUGAUUAAGCAUUUCAGUUAUUCUUUCUUGCAUACCUGAGACGACUAACUCUUCUCCAGUUGAUGAGUCAGACGAACUGCCCAAUGGUUUUAGAACUCUUGGGAUGAUGCCUAACACUUGGCUGCCUCUGAUAAAAGCUGCUUCUGAGACCAUUUUCGAUAACCCUCGAUUACCUCCUCCAUACACCAAGUGUAAUUUUCUCGUUGCUAUGCUUCGACCAAGAUCUAUGGCUGCCUCAACGAACUCUUUAUGUUUGCCAUAGGUAAAUCUGGAAAGCACACAAAUGUUCUUGAAUUGUCUAUUUGGAGUAGCUGCCAUUGGGAUACUUCUCAAAAAAUAAUUUGUGAGUGCUGGACAAAAAAAAUCACAUUUAAGAGUCUUGGUGACAAUGGGUCACAGUUGUGUAUGAGGUAACAUGUCAGUGUCAAAUAACGCGUAAAGCACGUGGCUCGCAAGUCAAAAAGAAAACAGUAAAAAGGAAAAAGCAAACAGUAAUAAAAUUAUUAAAGAUAAUAAUGCAAACAAUAAGACAAUAGUGAAAUAAAAUAACAAUAAAGUAAAAGGAUAUUUACAGGUAGUUGCGACUGUGGCUCACAUCUUCCUCUGGUUUUACGUCCAGAAAUGGCUUGAACGCCCUCUAUGGGUCGAGGAUAGGCUUCCUAUCCAGUUUUCUUAUAAACUGGUAAACAGGGUCGUUUAUAGUCAGAUUCCCGAAACUAUAUCGUGCAUGCUCUUUCUGGAAUAAUGGCCAUAACUGGAGAAUCACUCCUUGCACAUAUCCACUGGGAUGCGUUUCAAGAGACAAAAGGAUAUCAUCCAAUGACUCUUUAUUCAAGCCAUCCCUAAUGAAUUGAAUCUUAUCUUCCUUGUUAUCAGACAUCAUUCCUAAAGAACAUGGGUUUUUAUUGCAACUCAUUCUGGCACACUUAUGACAAGCAACAGAAAUUCUUCGAGCUCGUCGUUUUCUUGCAUAAUUUCCUUUACCACAACCAGGCAUGUAGGCAAUAAAUUUUGGAGGUAACUCACCUGCCGAUCGUACUUUAGCCUCGAUUAACCAACAGAUGUCAGCAGGUAUGUUAUUCCUCAUGAGUAAUCGCAUGUGUUCGGACCGAGCUUUAUAGAUCGUAAGGAGGGCAUUCUGAGGAAGUGAAGGGAAUCGCUUGUGAAGCUUCGCUAGAGUCUCGUUUUUGUCCAUACUUUCGCCUCAGAAUAUCAGUUAUUAUGGGAAACUGAAGUAACCGACUUGAUUGUCACGGAGUACCGUUAUCCGCCACUUCACCGGGGUAACAAACUAAAGCACACACACAAAAAAACAAAUUAAAACACACAAAGAAAAUUAAAAUCGUCCUCUUAUUGAAUUUACCUCAAGCUCCAACUGGAUGUCGUAAACACUUCUCUCAAUGUCUCUGAGUUGGCGUUCUAAACCCUCAACAUAGGCUACUAACUCUGGUGGUUGUAGAGCCCAAAUGCAUUGUGUUUUACAAAAUUGAAUCUGCCUUUUGAGAUGAGUUUUGACACGUUGAAGUGGUUUAAGAAUGUUCAGGAGGAACGGUCUAAGUAAGGUACUCAUGAUUAAAAACGAUAAAAGAAAACUUAAUAGUUAAACAAACACACUUAUGCAAAAAUAAUUUCAAUUAGCAGAAGAAUAAUAUAAAGAAAGAAAAAAAAUCAAAUCAACGAAAAGAAGAGAGAAAAAAAAAUCAAUUCAAAUCUGGUGGGUCACUCAAAUUUAUUUCGGUGUCUUCUCCAUGUGGUUGGUACUCUAGAUAUGGCUUUAAUCUUUGACCAUUAACUUUAAACGUGACACCGUUCUUUGGAUCCUUAAUUUCAAUUGCCCCAUGUGGAAAAACAGUAUGAACAAUAAAUGGGCCAGACCAACGAGAGCAUAACUUACCUGGGAAUAGGUGCAAGCGAGAAUUGAAUAAAAGCACUUUUUGACCUGGAGUGAAUGAUUUUCUCAUAAUUUGCUUAUCAUGGAAGACUUUCAUUCGUUGCUUGUAAAUCUUGGCAUUUUCGUAUGCAUCAUUGCGAAUUUCUUCAAGUUCUGCCAGCUGUAAUCUUCUUUCUGAGCUGGCUUGCUGCAUGUCAAAAUUGAAUUUCUUGAUGGCCCAAUAUGCACGAUGCUCGAGUUCCACAGGUAGGUGGCAAGCUUUUCCAUACACUAGCAUGUAGGGUGACAUCCCAAUCGGGGUCUUGAAAGCCGUUCUAUAUGCCCAUAAGGCAUCAUCAAGUCUUAAUGACCAAUCUUUUCUGUCCAGCCUCAUCGUCUUUUCUAAUAUGUGCUUUAUUUCUCGAUUGGAUAUCUCAACUUGGCCACUGGUUUGCGGAUGAUACGGGGUCGCCACUUUGUGUGUGAUUGAAUACUUUGUCAAAAGUGCUUUGAAUGCUUUGUUACAAAAGUGGGCACCACCAUCACUGAUUAUUGCUCGAGGGAAUCCAAAGCGUGAAACAAUGUUGCUUUUCAAAAAUGCUAUCACCACCUUGUGAUCAUUGGUUCUACAUGGAAUUGCUUCUACCCAUUUGGAUACGUAGUAAACAGCAACCAAUAUGUAUUGAUGGCCAAAAGACGGGGGAAAGGGUCCCAUGAAGUCGAUACCCAAUACGUCAAAAAUCUCAACCACUAAAAUUGGAUUUAGUGGCAUCAUGUUCCUUCGUGUAAUGCUCCCCAUUCGUUGACACCUAUCACAUGAAGAACAGAAAGUGUAAGCGUCUUGAAAUAUAGAUGGCCAAUAGAAACCACAUUGUAAAACUUUAGUCGCUGUUUUCUUAGCAUUGAAAUGGCCUCCACAAGCUUGUUCAUGACAGAAUGAAAAGAUAUUCUGAAUGUUCCUUAUUAAUACCAAUUAAAUCAUGAGGGGGGAAUCCACACCUCAUGAACCACGCUCUAAUCAAUAUGGUGCUAAGGGCUUAUCGUGCCAAAUAAUAAUAACCUUAUACUAGAGAGCCGGUGUAACCAAGGCGGUAUCUAGACAAGAUUAUUAUUAUUUGUCGACGAGAAGUCAAAACAUCCACAAAAAUUAGAGGGGAAGAGAAAAUAAAUUUACCAAAUUAAGCCCAUGACACAUGUUGAGACUUCACCUUCAACCUAAGCUUGAAAGAAAAUUAGCCACUCAUAAUUGAACUAGGGGCAAAAUAGGAAUUUAUUAAAAUAUGAAGAAAAUACAAGAUGGAGAAGGAAUUACAUAAAAUGGAUCCCAAAAAUGGAUUCAGAGAUAUCAAAUUAGGGGGGAGAGGCCCCCUUUUUAUAGAUACACGGAGUAAAUCAUGGCCAUCGGAUUAAAAACAGUUUGGACGCUCAGGAUUGCGCCACGUCAUUAGUCAACAGUCCACGGUUUGACCACGCAGAUGAACAGUAACACAGUUUGACCUGACUUUGAACAGUAACACGGUUUGACCCGGAUGAACAGUAACGCGGUUUGGUUGAAAAUAAUCCUGUGUGAUGCAUGCACCGUAUGCGAUAUUUUUCGUCCACUGAUAUGCUGCCACGUCACCAUCAACAGUAUAUAAGAAUUUUAGUCCAACAGGAUCGUGACACCUCAUCAGUCAAUGCCACGUCAUCAGUCCGUCUAUGUGAACAAUGUCGUGAACAGUAACGUAUACAAUACCGUACAUGUGAAUAGUACCAUACAUGUGAACAGUGCCAUUUUUCCUUUUAUGCUCCUCCUAAGGUUUUCGACCGUCCUGAGUUCAAAAGUGAUGUCCGUUUUGUCAUCUGAUUUCUCAUUUAUUGUGAAAUGACUAUGAUGCCCCUAAAAUACAUAAAAUACUUAAUUAAAAUAAAACACAUGUAAUUAAAUCACAAGAAGGUUAAAUACAUAAAAGUAAGGGUUGUUAGUAAGACUUGAAAUGUAAAAUGACGGUUUUCUCCUUUAUAAAUAUGCAUUUUCUAACACUCAACAAUGGCUAUGAUUUACUCAAUGUAUCUAUAAAAAGGAGACCCCCCCCUAAUUUGAUAUCUCUGAAUCUAUUUUUGGACUCCAUUUUCUGUAAUUCCUUCUCCAUCUUGUAUUUUCUAUGUAUUUUUAUAAAUUUCCAUUUUGCCCCUACUUCAAUUAUGAGUAGCUAAUUUUCUUUCAAUUUUGGGUUGAAGGUGAAGUUUCAACAUGUGUCAUGGACUUUAUUUGGUACAUUUAUUUUCUCUUCCCCUCUAGUUUUUAUGGAUGUUUUGACUUCUCGUCGACAAAUAAUAAUAAUCUUAUCUACAUACCGCCUUGGUUUCACCGGCUCUCUAGUACAAGGUUAUUAUUAUUUGGCACGAUAAGCCCUUAGCACCAUAUUAAUUAGAGUGUGGUUCAUGAGGUGUGGAUUCCCCCCUCAUGAUUUAAUUGGCAUUAAUAAGGAAUAUUUAGCCCAUGGUGCAUGUUGAUACGGAUCCAGAUGCCCAAGUACAUCAUUUCAAUAGAUUUCUCUUUAAUUUAUUCUCGCCAUUUCAAUUCCAAUUUUAGGAUAAUCUAAGUCACUUUCACUACAAAUCCAACCACCCUCAUACAAAAUUAAUUCUAGAUAUAAUUAAAAUCCACCUCCUUGUGGGAUCGACACUCGUCACCAUUAAUCUAUUCUACAAUAGAUUCAUGCACUUGCGAGUUCAAUAAAAUUUACACAACAUAUAUAUAUAUAUAUAUAUAUAUGUAUGUAUAUAUAUGUGUGUGUAUAUAUGUGUGUAUAUACAUAUGUAUAUAUAUAUAUAUAUUGCAUAUUCUUUAGUGUUAUUUUUGUUUCUUUAAGUUAUUCUUAAAUUUUAAAUUUAUGUAGAAAGUCAUAUGCUAAUUAACUAUUCUUGAGAUUUUUAUUUACAUCUAUUUAACUAAAAAUCAUAUUUUGCCCUUGAAAAAUUAUACAUUAAACUAUGUGUAAAUUCACAUAAGGGUAUUUUCUACUACUGUUUGAAAAGUAGAGAUAAAAUAGGUCAUUGUUUAAAAUAUAAGAAUGAUAUGGGCUAUUGCAUCGAACCCCAGGGUAAAAAAGACAUUUUCCCAUAUUAAAGAGAAUAGAAGAGAAAGAUAAAGUAUUAAUGAGAGGAAUACUAAUAAAAUUAAUAGUUUAUUAUUUAAAAGGUAAAGGUGAAAUAAGCUAUUGUAACGAACCCUAGGAGUAAAAAAAUAUUUUCUCAUAUCAAAGAGAAGAGAGGAGAAAGAUAGAGUAUUAAUGAAAGGAAUACUAAUAAAACUAAUAAAUCAUGUCAUCAAGUCUUGACCUUUAAUUUUUUUUUCUGAUCCACUAAUUAGAAAAUUGUGAUUAAAUUUGUGUAUAAAAGUUGUAUCCCUUGAACCUACCCUUAUAUUUAUAAUUUAUUUGUCAUUAUUGUCUAAUUGCAUAAAGUAGAAAAAAAAUAAUGGAUUUUUCAAUGUUUGAUCGGAAAGAAAGAAAUAUAUUUCGAUAAGUAACCUAGUUUGCCAAAUGUAAAUUUUUUAGUCUCUUCUGUUUAAGAUAAUCCUUUUGAUCUUGGUUAUGUCCAAGAGAUUCUCAUGCUUACACUUGCAUGUCUAGUAAGUCAGAUGGAAAUUUAAGUGAAAUCUCGAAUUCUUUUACCAAAUCUUCUUAGGUUGCUUGCAAAGUUAUUUUUCAAAUUUUAUUAUACUUGCAAGUGCAUGAACCUAUUGUAGUAUAAAUUAAUAGUGAAGAGUGUUGAUCCCACAAGGAGGUAGAUAUAAUUAUGUAUAAGGUUAAUUUUUCAAUUUUAUAUGUAAAUUGGUUGGAUGUGAAUUCUGAAUAGUACUGAAAUUUAAAUUAAAAAGAUGGUAGGAAUGAAUUAAAGAUGAAACAAUUCAAAUUAAAUACCUGAGUCUCUAGAUUUACACUCAACACUUUACCAUGAUCUUAAUAUUCCUUUCUAGCUUUAAUUAAUUUAUGGGGGAGAUUAUUUUUCACUUUUUAUAAUCCUCAUUCUAAUAAAUAUAGUAUCAAGCACUCAAUGUUCCAAGGGAAAAUAAUCUUCCACUAAAUGUGGUGUCAAGCACAUGUUGUGCCAGGCAACAAUAAUCUUACUGUCGACAAUAUUGUAAGACUGUCCACUAAACAACAUAGAUGCAUUCUCAGUUAUGAUCUUACUCUGAGGAGCCAAUACACCAUGUAAAAAUUAGAUAAGAUUAUUAUUGUCUAUUAACGAUGAGUUAAAAUAAGCCAAAUAAAUUAGAAAGAGAGUUAAUAAAUUUACCGAAUUAAACACAUGGAUCAUGUUGACGCUUCACCUUCAACUAAAUAUUGAAACUUGAUUAGCCACUCAUAUUAAACUAGGAGUAACAAGGUAAAAAUAAGAUGAAAGAGAAUUAUAUGAAAUGACGAUCAAAUUUGGAUUUAGACCAUCGAAUUAGGGGGGCAGUCCCCUAUUUAUAGAUACAAUUGGUAAAUCAUGGCUAUUAGAUGAAAACAACUCGAAUGCUCAGGAGUGCACCACGUACCAAGCUUUGAUUGGAUAGGACAUGUCACCAAGACUGCGAUUCGGUGAAUUGGAUAUGACGUAAACACAUUUUUUCAUGUUGCCAUGUCACCAGUUAAGGCAAAAAUCAACUAGCAUUGAUUGAGUGUAUUGCAUGUAUCGUAAGCUAAUUUUUUGGCCCAACAGGAUACUAUCACAUCAUCAGUCAACGCAACAGGAUGUUGCCACGUCAUUGGACAGUGCCAUGUUAGCUCGGCCAACCAAAAUCCUAAAAUUAUGAUUUUGCCUUUUAUGAACUUCUUACGAUUUUGAGCUAUUCUAAGCUAAAAAAUGGUAUCUGUUUUGCUAUUUGAUUUUAAUCAUGAAAUGACUAAAAUAUCCCUAAAAUACUUAGAUUAUAACAAAAUACACAAUCAAAGUUUAAAGGGCUUAAAUACAUAAAAGUAAAAAUGUUACAAGACUUGAAGUGCAAAAUAAGGAUUUUACCAUUUUUAAAUAUACAUUCUCUAACACUUAACAUAAGUUGUUAUAUUUCUUAAGAAUAAGGCAUAAGGGCACAUUCUUGCAUUAAAAGCAGAUGGUUAUAGGAAUCAAUAAACACAAAAAUUAUGAUUCUUUUCAUUAUAUUGAUACAUAAACGAGUAUUAACUGUUUUGUACUUUGUCUUUUACAUUAAUUUAGAAGAUCUUAUUAAUCUUUUGAUUGAAAACCUUUUUUUCCACAAUAAAUGCUUUUGAUUUAAUGUCUUUCUAUAAAAUAUUUGUUUGGAAAUCUAAAAGCUCACUUACUAAGCUGAGUUAUUGUCACUAUGUAUCUCUUACUUGAACUCUAAUAAUGGUGGCAAAAAACAUAUUGUUAGCUAGCAGAUAGAUCUAUGUUAAUAGGACUAAUUGUACUUUAGAUGUUAUUUCACGAGUAGGGUGGGCGGAUAACGUUUUGGAUACUAAAUCCAUCACAUAACCUAUUCUUAUUUUCUAAACUAAUCUUAAUGGGAAAAUCUAGUCAAAGACAAAGAAUACAGUGCACAUGUACCAAUUUAGCAAUUAAAGUUAUUUUCUCAUUAGAAUUACACUCUUUAACCAGCGUUCCCUUUGAUGAUCAACUCGAUAGUUUGUUUAACUGGCACAUUUUGAUGCCAUGUACUAUAUUAUCAAAUAUUGAUGUGGCUAGAGCUUUAGUAAAUGUAUUUGUAAAAUUAUCUAUGCAAUGUAUCUACUUGAUAUUGAUCUUCUUAUUUUGUUAGGGCACAUGAAUGUAGAAGAACUUCAGUGAGAUAUGCUUUGUUCUAUUUCUUUUAAUAUAUUUCCCCCUUAGUUAUUUUUCAUAUAUCAUCAUUGGGAUGUUCGCACUUCAAGAUUAUUUAUUAGCACGCUGGAUUUAUUGGAUGAUGGACUAAGUAUACGCAUUCUCUACUUGUUUCAUGCAGCACAAAGAUCUCAAAGUGAUUGGAGCACGUAGAUAUAAGACUUUACUUUAUAGAUUUUCAAGAAAUCACUGUUCUACUUUAGCAAAAACAUAUUUUGUCUAUGAACAAGGUUUAUAAGAAUAAAUAACACGCAUAUGUAUAACCAACAAGACCUAGAUUUAUGGUUAAUGUCAGAAUUAUGCCAAUGAUGGGCUAGUUAGCCCAACAAAAGAAAACAUUUAGAAGUUUUUUUUAAUAGAGUUUCAUAUGACUAUUGUAAGUCUAAUCGAACUCCAAGAGUUAUGAAGUAUUUUAGUUAAGUUACUUAGUUUACUUCAAUCACUCUUAUUAGCUUUUAUAUAAACACACUUAUUGUAUCUAAAGUAAAUGUGUGUAAUAAUAUAUUAGAGAAUCCAAAGAUUGAAAACAAGAGAAAAGGCGGUGGGCUCUUACAAAGAGAUCUAAGGGGAUUUUCUUUAAUUAUGAUUAUCCUCUUACCAUAGGCAUAAAGUGGCAAGAGGGUUUUCCAUGAGAUUAUCCUCUGUCUUUACAGUGACAUAACCUUGUUGUGUUUUACUUUACAUUCAAAGGUCAAAAGAUAUGCUUUUGGAUCUCUCAUUAAUUGUAUGUUGAAUAUGAAUGAAAAUCAAUUUUAGUAUCAGAGCCAGAUUAGGUUAUAUUCUGUUUUGAAUGUAUUUGCAUCAGACAUGCCAUGUUCUUUGAUGAAAUAUGUUUUUGGUGUGUAGAACAUAGUUUAAUGGUAUGUAAUGAAUCACUCAUCAUUAGGCCUUGAUUUUUGGUUUACAAUCACAUGAAUAAAUGUAGAUUAAAUCUGGAUUUUUGUAUGAAUUGAUAUGGCCCAGCUUAUAAGAAAACAAAAACCCUAAUUCAUGAACCUGUAGGAUUCGUUUACUUACAACUUUUGAUACAAUCAUUAAUUCUCUAUAACUUGAUGUCAUUAGAAAGAAUUGAUAUGGCCUAGCUUAUGAGAAAACAGAAACCCUAAUUCAUGAACCUGUAGGAUUCGUUUACUUACAACUUUUGAUACAAUCAUUAAUUCUCUAUAACUUGAUAUCAUUAGAAAGAAUUGAUAUGGCCUAGCUUAUGAGAAAACAAAAACCCUAAUUCAUGAACUUGUAGGAUUCGUUUACUUACAAAUUUUGAUACAAUUAUUAAUUCUCUAUAACUUGAUAUCAUUAGAAAGAUUAUUAAGAGAUCUUUCCAAUGAUACAUUGUGCGCAUAAUUUUGAGUUAUAUGGAGAGAGAACAAGCCAAUUGAAUUUCUAGUUUGAAAUUUAAAAAUUUGGAUAAUGCAUAAGACGAUGAAUAGUGCUGGAUCCACCAUAUCACCCACCAUGAUGGCGCGUGAAUCACAGGACUAUACUAUAUCAGAAACCAAUUAAGAUAUAAAAUUAGCGCAAUAUUCUAAGUCGAAAGGUCAUCAAUUGUCACUAAACAAUUACUAACAAUAGGUCCGUGUAUUAUAGCGUUAGUAUCUGCAAAUAGAACAAGUAAAACACUGUAGAGCUAGCUGGUUAAACCAAGUGAGCCGAUAUGCCAGUGUGAGCGAUUUAAACCAGCUUGCCGGGCUUGGUCAACGCAUCAUUGCUUGGUUGCAUUUGACCCACUUUUGUCUUCGGAGAGUGAGAUACAUGCGCUAUCUUCUUAACUUCUAUUUUGGCGCUAUUUAUGGUAACGAUCUUGUAAUUUUAUCGUCUUUUAUUUUGUGAUCUAGAAAACAUUUAUUGCUUAUAUUAAAUUUUUUUGAAUUAAAUUCUUUUGAAGAUGUUUAAAUAAAAAAAUAAUUUAAAAGUGAGAUAAAAUUUGAGAAAAAUAAAUUUUUAAAUAUUUUGAGAUGUGAUUGAUAGUGUUAUGCUUCUAUGAGAUCUGUUUCAACACGAUAAUAUAUGUGCUCUCCUAAAAAUGCAUAUUGGUAAAUUAUCUAAUACUUGUUGAGAUAAUUUAUAUUGUUUGUUUUAAGACAAGCAUGAUUGUUUUAUUAAUCCAUAUGAUGAUCAUGAUGAAUUGAUUUAUGAAUUAUGUUUUUAUGUCAAAUGUAAUCAUGUUAAUGAGAACACAAGAAGAUUAAAAUUUAUUGGGAUUUAUAGGGUAGUAUUGUUAAUGUAUGAUAUAUCUAGAAACAUUUGGUUAAAAAGACGAUAAUAAUCUAAGAAAAUUGGGUAUUUAAGUGGGACUAUUAGACCCCACCGAUUUCCUAGGAAAAUUUAUGGUGUAUUAUUCACAUGAAUAAAUGUAUGGAGGCUACUUUAUUCCCAUUAUAUUUAUAAAUUCAUAGUGAGAGUUCGAAUAUUAAGAUUCUAUGAAUAAAUAAUAAUUGAACUAAAUGUUUUGAGCAAUAAAAUAUAAUUACGUUGAUUUAAUGUUUGGAAAAGAUGAUGAUUGAAAGCCUCGAAGACUUUUUGAUUCCACUCCUCAUAUGAAAUUUUCAUUAAUUUGGUAUAUGGUUGUGGCAAAAUAUAUUAAAUGUGUAUCAAAUGAAUACUAUAUAACAUUGAUUGACUUUAUUUUAUGAUUUGGAAUUAAAUCAUGAGACUUUAAAUAAAUACUAAUUUUGAACUGGUGCAUACCACUUCUCUUUAGAAGAUAGGAGCAUUCUCUCAUCUUAUUGCCGAGUAACAUAUUUUAUGAGCUUAUUAAUAAGUCCAAGAUGUAUUAGGUUGCUCAUAAAAUAGAGCUCAAAUAUGCUAGACACAUUGUAAAUGUCAAUAUUAGGUCCAGGCAAUAAAAUGUCCAACCCCAAUAGUUGGGACAAUAUGAGAAUUUAUAUAAUGCAUAACCUUAAGGAUUUGAAGAAUGGUGCCAAUAGACUACUAGAACUUCUAAUCAAAUAUACAUAGAAAUGGGCACCUAGAGACAGCUAAUACUUUUAGCAAACAUCAUGUGAUUGAUACUUGUUUGAGAAAAUAAGUGCAUAGAACCAGUAAUGCUUUCUAAAUCAACUUAACAAGAAAGAGUUUAGCUUGUGGAAAGCUUCAAGCUUUGAGCAUAAGAGAAAGGGUAAUCUUUCCUAGUGGGAGUUUAGGACUCAAUCCUCAUCUCAGCAAUCUAAUGAUAGAAAUUACCAAAUGAGGCAAGCAUGCUUAGAAAAUAGAAGGACAAUACAUAGAUGCUUACUCACCAUGUAUUUCAAUUACUCGCUCGUGAUUGCAUUGAACAGAAAUAGGCUAAGUAGCCAUGACUUGGGACCAGAGAUAACAAAAAGGUUUUGAAUUUUUGUUCUUUUGUAAUUGUCAAAGGAAAGGAAAGGACAAAUGGAAAUAUACUCGCUGUAGAACUUAAGAGUAUAAGCACCUGCAAGUUGGUAUUGCGCGGUCCUUAUUUUUCCAAUGACAAAUAUACAACAAAAACUUAGUCUUUAUCAUUAACCAUCUAAGAUUUUUACUUUUGAGUGUUUUUUAACCACUCUUGAAAAGAGGUUUUAUGAAAAGUUGAACAUUAUGCAUCAUUUUAUGGUGAUAAUGUACAUAUUAAAAUUUGGCAUAUUGGACUGAGACAAAUGGCUAAGUUCGCUAGAAAGAGAACAUUGGGCUCACUCGCUACAAUGAUAAAGCAUAUAUGGAAUAGUUGUUUAAUAUAGAAGAAUAACUUGGAAAAUAGUAAAUGUCCAUUUUGACACUUAUAGUAAAAAGAAUGUAAAGGCUAAGAAUGAAGCCUUUAGUGAUUACAUUUAUGCAUAUAUCAAGUUUAAUCUAAUCUUUAUGAUCUCCUAUAAAUUAGUUAUAUUACGUUACUUCAGGUUUUUCUUGAAUAUGGUAAGGAAUAAACAUGAACCGAAAUAUGCAUAUCUUUCCAAGUAAUUCAGAGCAUUAUAUAUAAGAAAGAUAUAGAUAGAUAAUUUAUGAUUCUUAUAAUAACGCACUACUUGGAGUAGUGGAAAUUAAGGGAUAAGGCAUUAUGAGAAUUGAUAAAGUAAUAGUAGCACAUAAGUUUUUCCAAUAUGUUAUUUGGAGAUACUCUAUUUAAUUGUAUCUUAAAUAAUUAACUAAUUUCUCAUAUAAUGAGUCACUUAAGUAUUCCAGCUAUAGGUAAAGUUACUUCAAAAUUCAAAAUUCAAAAUUCAAAUAAGCAAAUAAAGCACGUGUUUAAUGUUAAAUGAAUGGCUAAGAUAGUGGCUGGAUUCUAAAACCACAAACUUGAAAAUUUUGAAUUCCUAAGCGUCAUAGAAGUUGAUAAAGAUAUAUCCUAAAUUUUGAUUUGGAUUAUCCUUUUUAUGAUAUCACUUUUGAGUUAAGAAUUGAGUAUAGGUUAGAUUUACUAAGAAAUCUUGAUUCUAGUAUGAACAAACACCUAAUGGGACCAGAUAACUCAAUUCAAUGGAAUAAUUGAAAAAGAAUCAUAUAUUAUCUUUUAGAGACUGAAAGGAAUUUCUUAACAAUUAUUUCAUAUUGUGGUGAUAAGUUAGGAUUAUUUGUGUAGAGCUGUCACUCUAAAUGCUAAGGAACUAUAGAUAAAAGCAAUUAUUAAUAGAUAAAGUCAUUAAAUGACAAUUAUGUCUGAGUCACAGUUGGUCAAUUGUUGAAUAAACCAUUACAAAGAAUAAGGUUGUGCAUGUGUAAAGCGAUAGGCAUAAGUACAAUAUGGACUGUUAAAAGUUAUAUCUAAGGAGUUUAAAUUAGAAAGAAACUUUUGGCUAAAAGGUUUCUCUAAGGCAAUUAUUUCUAGUCAACUUUCACAUGCAUUCAUCGUCAUAUCAAUAGAUGUAAUUAAUGCAUCUCAGUAGAAAAUCAGAGGAAGAAAUAUAUAUAUGGAACAAAUACUAGGUGUUGUUGCUAAAGCUUUUAAACGCAUAGUUGCACGCUCGAAAUAAUGUUGCCAAAAAUUUUAAGCUCAUAGUUUACUUGCUCAAAAGAAUUUUAUUAAUGAUUUUGAGUGCGUAGACUGUAUGCUCAGAAGGCUUUCGCUAAAGACCUUAAGCACAUAGUCGGGUUGCUCUAAAAAGUCUAUAUAUCUAUAUUAUCUAUGACAUUCUCUUAAAAAUGGAAUCUUAAUUUUCAUCAAGCCUUAUUUAUUUACAAAUAUUGGAUGAUUUAAGAUAGCCAAUGCAUUUGUACUUGUAGAUGAUAUUUUUAGAUGACUAGAAAUUAAAGAAAAAAGAUCUUGUCAAAACCAUUGGUAUUGAUUAUCCAAUGAAAUAUGGGCAAAGCUACUUAUAUUUCAGGAAUUUAAAUACAAAUAGAAUCCUUUAAGAAAUUUUUAACAAUAUCAUAAGAGUGAUAUUUAGAUUAGAAACAUCCUUAAAAGAUUCAAAAUGAUAAAUUGAAAGCUAAAUGGAUACUCUUGUAGAUAUGAAAAAUGUAUGGCCUUGAAGAGUCCUUUACAAAAAAAUAAAAUGUCUAGUGCUCUUUAUUUCAAUGCCAAUAAUGGUCUCAGGUACACUGAGAUGCACAACACUUGAUAUGUGCUAUGAGAUUGAUAAGAAAUACUAAUCGAAUCCUAAAUAAAGCAUUGAGUUUGUUAAAGAGGUAUUUAGCAUACUUUUAUGGCACUGUGAACUACACUUUGUAUCUAUGAGAAAUUUGCGCUUGGAUACCAACAAGUAUGGCAAUCUAGAUGAGUGAAAUUUAACCUCAAGAUAAAUGCACAUAUCUUAGGAAAACAUUAGUGCUAUUACAUGUGAUAUUAAGAUAAUAAACAUGCAUGGCUUUGUCCAUAACGAGGAUAUUUCUAUACGCAUAUUUUGUUUAGUAGUCUUUAUAAUAUCUUGAGAUAGUCAUAAAUACUUUGAGACUAAUGAUUGGAAAUGAUAAACCAAACAAAAAGGUUUUACAUAUAGAGGACAUUGAUGUACCAUAUUGAUAAACAAAAUAUUGCAGUUUUAUAAUAUAUAUGCAUACACAAUAUGGUAUAGAUCAGUAGAAAGGUGUGAGUAGAGAUGUUUAGUGGUACAAGCUUGACCUAUUAUCGAUUCGCAGGCUUAUUGUCAUAUAUUAAGAAUGUCAUUGCUAGAUAUUCUUAUAACACCAAAUUGUUAACAAUGAAGUACCCAAUUAAUACUUAAAAUGCGUAGUUAGCAUAACCACAUAUAUUAGGUUGGAAAAAGAUAUGUCGUCAGGUUAAGACAAGCUAUCUUACACGAGAGUUCGCCUCAUUUGCUAUAGCAGCAAGCUGGGAUGAGACAUAUAGAAUUACAAAACAAUUAGAUAUGUGGUAUAUUGUCUUGGAGUUAUGUAAUUCUAAAUAAUGUGUCGCCUCAACUAAGUCAAGAUGAGGUCACAUUAAGUAAGUUAUUAGACCAACUACAAUACACUCCAUUUUCAUGGAAACUUGAUUUAAACUAGAUAUAAGUUUAACACCUUGUGAAGGAAAGUUUAUUAAAAUUCAAGCCAGGCACUUUUAGUGGCGACUAAACAACAAUAUGUACAGUGAAUAAUUAGACAUAUGCUCUUUAUUAAAAUAUAAUUCAUUAUAACCGUGAUUCAUAUCAUGCACGCUUAUUAUGGUAUUAUAACCGUGAUUCAUAUCAUGCAGGCUUAUUAUGGUCAAUAGGGAAAAUGAGUGAAGAAAAAACUUAAUGAAUCCUUACUUCCUCAUUAUGUAAGUUCCUUCGAGGUAAAUAUGAACCUUGGUUGGUAUCCUUAGUCACCGUCAACUAUAUUUUGAGGUAAAAUAUUAAUGUCUGCUACUUUAGAAUGUUAUCUAUGGCUCUAAUGUUAUGCUGCUUGUGAAAAAUGUCUAAGAAAGCAAUUGGUUUAGAAUUUUCAAAAUGUGAGUAGAAUCAAAAGUUUUUUUUUCUUACAUCUGACUAGUGUAUUCACCAGUCGCCCAGUAGUAAUCCAUAUAGAGAUAGUUACAAUUGUGGAUAUAUAGAGCUUAUUGAGUCAACCAUAUAUUUACUAAGGGAUAAAAUAUGUUUAGAUUGAAGUAAUAAAAAUAAAAUCUAGGAUACAUAAAGAACAAAUUUUCUAAUCUCUUGCAUUUGUUUACAAUUAAUAUUUCUUAAUAUUUUAGCUCCAACUUGUUGUUCAUAGGUUACAUGUUGCAUUUGCCUAUAUGAUACUGUAUUUAAGGCUUCAAACCUUAUUACUCUCGUUACUUUGUUUAUAGUGUCACCUAUCACGUGCGAGAGAGAUGUUGGAAUUGGCGCCCCAUAAUAGGGUAGAUUGGCGCUUCUAUAUCAAUAUACCUAUUGUAUCUAAAAUAAGUAUCUAAGAGGAUUUUAUUUAAUUAUGAUUAUCCUCCAACCAUAAGCAUACAGUGGCAUGAAAAUUUUCCAUGAGAUUAUCUUCUAUCUCUAUAGUGACAUAACCUCAUUGUGAUCAACUUUUGUAAUUAGAUAUGAAAAUUUACACUUCUAGAUCUCCCACUAAUUUUAUGUUGAAUAUGAAUGAAAAUCAACAAUUAGUUUAUUAGAAUAAAAUAAACCCAAAUAAAUAGUUCCACAAAGAUAAGGAAAAAUAUGUUUAACACCAUCCUAAUGUUGUCUAGUUAGUUUAAAACUAAAUAUGUCUAGUCUAGUACAUUGGGCUAAAUACAUUAGAGCGACGUUCAACUAUGGUAAUUUAGGACUAAGUACUUGUUCAUCAUCCUUUUUGGGACAAAAUAGGUCUUUCUUAGGACAAGAAUUAGACUCUCAUUGGGGUACUUAAUGGGUAAGCUUUAUUCAUAUUGAAGCAUUUUAAUAUCUUUUUAGUAUACAAUGGAAAAAGAUACGAUGAGACAUGUGCUCGGUCUAUAUCUCUAAGUAGUAUCUAGUUGUUUCUCAAAAUCUUUCAUUUUAAACUCUUUUUUUCAAAUAAUCAGUAGUCUUUUGGAAAUAUCUGAGAAUUGCAAUUAAAUUCAUAUCUUCAACAUAGACUGCUAUGAUAGCAAAUCAAGAAUUUAGCUUAUUUAUAAAUAUGCAAGGACAAAUAAGAUAAUUUACCACUACAAAAAAAAAGUGGUUUAUAUGUCCUUUGUUUUGCCAUCACAUAUGACCUCUUGUGACCUCUUUGAGAUGGCAGGUAGCACUGACAUAUAUGAGUCUCCUAGAGUUUAUAUUACCAGUGACAUGGCAUCACAAAGUGUCUUUUGUGACUGUGAACCUACCACCACGAAAGAUAGAAUGGGUCACCAUAUUUUAUGAUGACUUUAAGCAAUCACAUAAAUAACUAAAAUUGAAACCUACAAAUAGAGCUUUAAGUAGUCACAUAAACAAUUAAAAUUGAAACAUGUCAGAAACCUUUAAGUAAUCACACACACUAGUAGAAAAAUGGCCUUCUUUGAUACUAUUUCGGUAUCAGUAACGGUUUUUAGUGACACCGAGUUUAAUGUCACUGAUCAUGGUGCAAGAAAUUUUCUAACAUAUAUUUUUUGUAUCAACGAUUCCACGACACCUUAGUAUCAAAGAAAUGCCUACAUUGUAACAUCAUAUACGCUUUGAUGUUACAGUGUCAAACAAUUUGUGAUUCGAUAAUAUCAAAAUAAUUGUGAUUCUAUACAGUCAUGCAGAUAGUGAUUCUAUGGUAUGAAGCAUGUUUUGAUGCGCUAGUAUCAUUUGUUUUGUGAUUUAAAAAUAUUAAUAUUUGUAGAUGCUAAAAUGGUGUCAAUAGAUUUUGCAAAUUUGAAAAAAUAAUAAAAUUUUCAUUAUUACAAUUACCAAUAGCCUAAAAUUAAAGCCAUUAAACAACAAUUUUCAACAAUAGUUAUGGAACAAAUGUUGGAUUCAAAACCCAAUAAUAUUUCAUUUAACAAAUUCCAUCAAGCUCCAUUCUACAUUUAACAAUCAACAUACAAUUCACCAAAUUGGUUCAACAACCGAAUUCAUGAAAUAUAGCUUGAAUGGCAUAAUACUAGCAAAAACCACAGUUAAUUUUGAAACAAAGAAAACAUCUUGUUUUGGCAACAACUUUAAUAGCAGUUAAUAAGGCAAAUAGAUUAGAAUAAGAAGCAGCAACAGCAACAUUGCUCUAUCCCUCGGCCUGAGUAGUAGCAAAACAUUGGAGGCAAAUGCAUCAAAAGAAAAGGCAACAGCAGCAUUGCUAUCUUCAAUUGCCUGAGUAGCAGUAGCAAUAAGAGACAAUCAGACUUAUGAUUAAUUCCAACAAAAUCAAACCAACAUAGGCACAUUGCAGCACAUUAAUCAUGAACCUUUCCAAUUGCAGAUUAUAAAUACCAUCCUCUAUUUCCUUGAGUUGUCUUUCUAGAUCUUUCACCUGGGAUAAUAACUUUAGUGGUUGUAGAUCCCAAAUGGGAUGUGAUUUACAAAAUUGGAGCAAUUUCCUCAGGUGAAAUUUUACAUGUAAAAGCAUUUUAAGAUGAUCGAAAAGGAAAUUUCUCAUGGAGGUACUCAUGAAAAAUAUAAAAAUUUGGUGAGCUAAAACACAAUUGUCAAACAACACACAAUUAAAGACAAUGCAAUGCACUCCAUUCAAGACAUGGGAAAAGGAAAAAAAAUCAAACAAUUCAAACGAUAAAGUAACAGUAAAUCAAAUUCACAAAAAGUUAAAAUGAAAAGGCUUAAUCAAAAUUUGGUGGGUCACUCAAAUUGAUUUCGGUAUUUGCUUCACGUGGUUGGUAUUGCAAAUAUGGUUUCAAUCUUUGGCCAUUAACUUUAAAUGUGACACCAUCCUUCGGAUUCUCGAUUCUACGGCUCCAUAUGGAUACACAUUUUUACAACAAAUGGACUAUUCCACUUUGACUUUAACUUCCCUGGAAAUACAUGAAGACGAGAAUUAUAAAGUAACACUUUUUGACCAAUUUCACAUGUUUUCCGAAAAAUUCUUUUGUCAUGAAAAAAUUUGGUUCUUGCCUUAAUAUUUCUAGAAUUCUCAUAUGAUCAUUCCUUCAUUCCUCAAGUUCAUUUAAUUGCAAUUUACGUAUAUUACCAGCAUCAUCAAGAUUUGAAUUAAAAGCUUUAAUGACCCAAAAUGAUUUAUGUUCAAGUUCAACUGGUAAGUGGCAAGAUUUUCCAUAAACAAGCCGAUAGGGUGACAUUCCUAAAGAUGUUUUAAAAGCAGUACGAUAUGCCCAAAGUGCAUCAAUUAGUCGAAGAGACCAAUCUUUACGAUUUGCAUUAAAUGUCUUUUCUAAAAUUUGUUUUAUCUCCUUAUUUGCUAAUUCAACUUGACCACUUGUUUGAGGGUAAUAAGGGGUAGCAACUUUAUGUGUAAUUCCUUAUUUCUUCAUUAAGGACUCAAAUGGCUUAUUACAAAAAUGCUUACCUCCAUCACUGAUAAUGGCUUGAGGUAUUCUAAAUCUGCUCAAAAGAUUUUCUUUUAAAAAGCGAAUCACAAUCUUGUGAUCAUUAUGCCGACAAGGAAUCGCCUUGAUCCAUUUUGAAACAUAAUCAACAGCAACAAAAAUGUAUACAAAUCCAAAUAAUGAUGGAAAAGGGCUCAUAAAAUCAAUUUCCCAAUAAUUAAAUAUUUCAAUGACAAGGAUGGGGUUUAAAGGCAUCAUGUUUCGCUUUGAAAUAGACCCUACCAUUUGACAAUUCUUACACACUUUACAGAAUGCAUGUGAAUCUUUAAAUAAUGUAGGUCAAUAAAAUCCACACUGUAAUAUUUUUGCAGCUGUCUUUUUUGAAGAAAAAUGGCCACCGCAUGCUUCAGAAUGACAAAAUUGAAUGACCUUACUUACCUCAUCGUUUGGUAUGCAUCUUCGAAAAAUUUGAUUAGAGCAGUACUUAAAUGGUUAUGGAUCAUCCCAAUAAAAUCUUCUCACUUCUGUUAAGAAUUUCUUCUUGUCCUUGGAACCCUAGUCACAUGGCAUUUCACCUGUUGCAAGAUAAUUAACAAUAUUAGCAUACCAAGACAUUUUGUUUAUAGAAAAUAAAAAUUCAUUAGGGAAAUAAUCAUUGAUGGGUGUUGUUUCAAUUGAAGACUCAUUCGUAAGUCUUGAAAGAUGAUCUGCAACAACAUUUUCAGUGCCCUUUUUGUCCUUGAUUUUCAAGUUAAAUUCUUGAAGUAGCAAAAUCCAUCGUAUCAACCUUGGUUUGGCAUCCUGUAUUGACAUUAAAUAUCUCACAACAACAUGAUCAGAAUAAACAAUAGUGGAUGAACCAAUUAAAUACAAACGAAAUUUAUCCAAUGCACAUAUUACAGCAAGUAGUUCUUUCUCAGUUGUAGUGUAAUUCAUUUGAGCACUAUUAAAAGUUCUACUUGUAUAAUAGAUGACAAAGGGCUUACCUUCCUUUCUUUGACCUAGAAUAACACCAACAACAUAAUCACUAGCAUCACACAUUAGCUCAAAAGGUAAAGACCAAUCAGGGGGUUGCAUUAUCACGGCAGAUAUCGAAAGAGAAGUUAUUUUUUCAAAAGAUUGUUGACAAUCUUUAGUCCAUUCAAAAUGUGUGUCUUUUAUUAGGAGGUUACAAAGUGGUCUAGAUAUAGCACUGAAGUCUUUUAUAAACCUCAUAAAAAGGAACAGACUUCUCUAAUUGUCUUUGGUGAGGGUAAUUUUCAAAUGACUUCAACUUUGGCUUUGUCAACUUCAAUUCCUUUUGAAGACACAACAUGGCCAAAGACAAUUCCAGAAGUGGUCAUGAAAUGACAUUUUUUCCCAAUUUAAAACUAGUCCUUUUUCUUUGAACCUUUCCAAAACUUUUUUUAGAUUAUCAAGACAUGUAUCAAAAGAAUUACCAAAUACUGUUAAAUCAUCCAUAAAAACCUCUAGACAAUUUUCAACUAUGUCACUAAAAAUGCUUAGCAUGCACCUUUGAAAUAUUGCAGGAGCAUUACAAAGUCCAAAAGACAUUCUCCUAAAUGUAAAUGUUCCAAAUGGGCAUGUGAAUAUGAUUUUUCCUGGUCUUCUAAGGCUAUAGAGAUUUGAUAAUAGCUAGAGUAGCCAUCAAGAAAGCAGUAGUAGGGAUGUCCAGCCACUCUUUCGAGAAUUUGGUCUAGAAAUGGAAGGGGAAAAUGAUCUUUUUUAGUGGCAUCAUUUAAUUUUCUGUAAUCAAUGCACAUGUGCCAACUAGAUGGAAUUCGUGUUGGGAUUGGUUCACCUUUUUCAUUUUUUACAACAGUUAUUCUAGAUUUCUUUGGUAUUACUUGUGUUGGACUUACCCAUUUACUAUCAGAGAUAGGGUAGAUAAUUCCUACAUCCAGUAGUUUAAGGACCUCAUUUUUUACCACUUCUUUCAUAUGAGGGUUUAAUCUUCUUUUGUGGUUGACGGGAUGUUUUGGCAUUUUCCUCUGAGUGUAUUCAGUGUGUGCAAAUUAAAGGAUUAAUGCCUUUUAUGUCUUUUAAAGUCCAACUAAAUGCAGUUUUAUGCUUUUUUAGUACAGAUAACAACUUACCUUCUUGAUCAUGUGUGAGCUGGGAAUAAAUUACCACUGGAUAUGUCUGCUGUUCUCCAAGAUAGACAUACUUCAAUUCUUUUGGUAAGGGCUUUAAUUCGAGCUCUGGUGCUUCCUCUUCGUUUGGUUCUUCAGGUUGUAUUAUAUCUUCAAAGUUUGAUUGGUCAUCGUCACUUGCAAGUACCUGCAUAGAAUCAAGUGUAGAACAUAUGUUAGCAGUAUCACAAUUUAAUUCCUUACUUGAUUCAAAAGAACCAGCAAAAUAAAUUUCUACAGAGUUUGUAAAAUUCUCAUCCUAAAUAAGUUCCUCAAUGAUUGGCUUGAUGAGAUCAAUCUCCUCAUUCUCGUUAUCAUCAUCCUCUUGGUGGUGAGGUUGUUUACACAUGUUAAACACAUUGAGUUCCAAUGUCAUGUUACAGAAAGAUAAAUUCAUUAAUCUAUUCCUGUAAUUAAUCAAAGCAUUAGCAGUAACUAAAAAUGGUCGACCCAAUAUAGCAGGAAUUUGUUUGCAUUCAUUAGCAAUUGGUUCAGUUUCCAAAACAAUAAAAUCCACAGGAUAGAUGAAUUUAUCGACUCAAACUAAUACAUCUUCAAUUAUUCCUUUUGGAAACUUAAUCGAUCUAUCAGCAAGUAAAAUAGUGGUAUAAGUUGGUUUUAACUCAUCGAGAUUGGGUUGUUGGUAUACUGAGUAAGGAAGCAAAUCAACACUGGCACCAAGAUCAAGUAAAGCAUGUCCAAUUUUAUGAUCCCCAAUAGUGCAAGAAAUAGUUUGACAACUAGGAUCCUUAUAUUUCAAAGUACUAUUGGUUGAGAGAAUGAAACUUACUUGUUCUACUAGAAAAGCUCUCUUUUGCACCUUAUGUUUCCUUUUCAUCAUGCACAGAUCUUUCAAAAAUUUAUUAUAAGAAGGUACUUGUUUAAUGACAUCUAGCAGAGGAAUGUUGACCUUUACUUGUUUAAAAACUUCGUAAAUUUUUGGACUAUAGUUUGAUUUCUUCUUGAGGAAAUGGGGGUAUAGGAGGAGAGUUGGUUAUUUCUUCAUGGGUUAAAGGUUUGACAGACUCUUCUCUAUUUUCUGAACUUGAAUCUUUACUAGUUUCAAGAGGGUCCACAAUAUGUUUUUCAACCACUUUACCACCACGAAGGGUUAUAACCAAUUUGACUUGACUCAUAUUUUGGUUUCUUGAAUUUCCCAUUUGAGGAUAUUGUUGACCCUUGGGGUUUGGUUUAGGUUGAGCAGGAAACUUUCCUUUUUCAUGCAUGGUUAGAGCAGAUGUUAGUUUGGAGAUAGUUUCUGUCAAAUUGGUUAAGGUUUGCAUCGUUUGGUUAUUAAUCGACUAACAUCUGCUCUAACCAUGUGUCUUCCAGAGUUUUUCUUGGUGGUGGGACAUCUAGUGGGUAACUUUGGGAGUUUUAGAAAUUUGACACAGAGGAACUGAUUGUGAAGGUUGUGCAUGAUUGUUAUUUCUCCAACUAAAAUUUGGGUGGUUUCUCCAACCAGAGUUGUAAGUUUGGGAGUAUGGAUUUGGAUUUGGCCUUUUGAAAUUGUUAACAACAUUUAAUUGUUCGUUUAAACUUUCUCUCAAAGCUGGCAAGGUUGGACAGUCCUACGUAGAAUGGUCAGUAGAAUCGCAAACAUAACAUGAAAUAUUUUGAACAGACUUUACAUGAUCAUUCUUUUUUAACUCUAAUGCUUCGACUUUUCUAGCUAAUGAUGCAAAUUUGGCUUGAAAAUUAUGGUCUUCCUUAAGGUUAUGCAUGCCUCCACCAGAUAGAGAUGACUAGGGUUUACUUGAUGACUCAUAAGACCCAAUUGUAUCCCAGUGUUGUGCAUUCUCUGCUAUAUAGUCAAGAUAAUUUAAUGCAUCUUCAGGACUUUUAUCUUUAAACUCACCAUUACACAUCAUUUCAACAACUUGUCUACCUUAGGAUAUUAAUCCUUCGUAAAAAUAAGACACUAAUCUCCAUGUUUCAAAACCGUGGUGUGGGCAAAUGUUAAGUAGUUCUUUAAAUCUAUCCCAACAUUGGUAGAGGGUUUCUCCCGAUUUUUAAGUGAAAGUGGUGAUUUGUUCUGUGGGGUGGGAAGAAUUUUUUCAAAAAUUGUGCUUGCAUUUCAUCCCAAGCUCUGAUGGAUCCUGACCUAAGAUUUUGUAGCCAUGUUUUAGCUUUAUCCUUUAGUGAGAAAAGAAAAAACUUAAGCAUGAUUAUAUUCAUGCUACAAUUUUGAUCAGUACAUGUGUUACAGACUUCCUCAAACUCCCUUAAAUGCAAAUAUGAAUUUCAGACUCAAAACCAUGAAAAGUAUGAAGAAGUUGAAUGAUGCCAGGUUUGAAAUUAAAACGUGACGCAUCAGGAGGGAAAACUAUGCAUGAUGGUGACCUUGUUCUAGUAGGAUGCAUGAAGUCCCUAAGGGUCCUAGGCUGUUCAUGAAGAUUUUGCAAGGCUUGGUCAUUUUUGUGCUCCAAAAAAUUUUCAGCUCCUAUGUCAGCCAUAUCUAAGGGUGGUGAAGGUGAUCUUCUAAUUAAUCUGCCAUUAUUUGUACCAGACCAACGACGUAUGCAAUGCUAAUGAGGUGUGCUAAACCAAUGAUGCAUAAAAAGCUAAAUGAAAAUUGCAGGAAAAAAAACUGGAAAUUAAAUAAGCAAAAUAAAUGUAAAAUAAAAAUAAACAAACUGAAUUAAAUAAAAAAAUAAAUUAGGCGGUGAAACCAGCCAUAAACAAAGAAAUUAAAAGAAACAAUUUAGGCAAUAUUUUAAAACCAGCCAUAUAAUAAAACAUAAAAUUAAAUAAAUUAAUGUACAAGAAUAAAUAAACUGAAAUUAAAAUGUUUGGCAAUAGAACCGACCAUAUAAACAAAAAUACAUAAAUUAACAACAUUUAAAUAACAGUCAGGCAGUAGAAUCGACCAUUUAAAAUAAAUGCGGAAAGUAAAUUGCAGAAAUUUAAAGAAAUAAAUUUGAUUUGGGGACUGAUUUGCAAAAGUUUCUGGGUUAAGAUGAAGUUUCUCACAAAUUUUAUGGAUAAUGUUAAGGUUUAAAAAGAAGAGGGGUGCUGACUGAAGUUUUGUAAAAAGAGAAUAAAAUAGAAUCACGGAAAGAUAGUAACGAAAAAAAAAUAAAAAUAAAGUAAAGACAAAUUAACACCAAAUUUAGAAAACUCCCCGGCAACGGCGCAAAAACUUGACACAACUCAAAAGUGUAUUACUCCUAAGUAUAAGAGUGUCUAGUUAUAAUAUAACCCGGUGAGUCCGAGGUCAAACCACAGGGAAUUUUAAAUCUAGUAGUCAAUUUAAAACUAAGAAAAUUAAUUGUGGGGAAAAGAAAUUAUUUGAAAUCAAUUUUAAAAUAUGCUAUGGUUUGGGAUCCACUCUCUGCAUACAAACUAUAAUUUUAAUACUCUCAUUUAUAUUUUACCCUCACUUUUACUAGUUAAUUAUUAUAUCAUUGAAUUUUAUGUGUGUGGAUAAAUAUGAAAUAAAGUACCUAAAGUGUCACACUAUAUUAAUGUGUCGACAUUAUGUCAAAAUACCAUACAGAUCCAAAGAAAUUUAUAAAUUAACAUGACAUAAAAAUAAUUAGAAAGGAAUAAAAUAAACUUAAAAACUCAUUUGAGAAAAUAAUAAAUUUUAUAGUUUGAAACAUUGAGCUUCACAUUUCACCUCAACUUAGUAAAAUUAGCCACUCAUAGUGAAAGAAAACACAACACUCCUUUUAUUUGAUAAACUUUUGAAAUAUAUUACAAGAAAAAUUGAUACAAAAGAAAACAAGAAAAGAAAAGAAAGAAAGACAGAAAUUCUUCAGUUCCCUCUUGGCUACAACUCUCUCUCUCGGCUUCAACUUUUUCUCCCCUCUCUGGCUUGCAUCCCCUUGCCUUUUAUAGGCAAGGGAAUCAUCUUCUUUUCUUUUCUUUUAUUAAUAUUAAUAUUUUAUUUUAUUUUUAUAUUAUAUAUACAUAUUGGAUUGUGUGAUGGUCAGGCGGCAUGAUGGUCUCUUGACCAUCACCAACAUGCUUGCCAAUGCUUUUGUUCUUUUUUUGUUUUUUUUGUUUCUAUUAUUUUUUAUUAUUACGUCUCCUCAAUUCUACUCCAGUAGCUCUUCUUUCUUCCCGCUUUCAAUUCCAAUUCCAUCUUUAUUCUUGAAAAAGUAUUUACAAGAUAAAAAUUAACAUUUUGCAAAUUAAUUUAACAUAAAAAUAUAUUUGGGGAGUAUUAAGAUAAUUUAGAAAUGAUGAGCGCAUUAAUCGACACAAUAAGUGCAAAACUAAUAAUUUUAUCCUUAUUAAAUAUACACUUUUUAUUGUCAAUCACUGGUCCACAUAAUCGGACUUGGUCAACAAGAUGCACCGUUAAGUGGACCAUUAUGUCAAAAAAAGAAGGUUGGAAGAAUUGCUCAAACAAGCACAUAGUGACGUAAUGUUGUUUUUCCAGUUUUUCAAGAGAUUUUGUUUCUAUCACCUUACUACAUAAUGCAUUGAAGUAAAAGCACAUCCUAAUGAUAGCUUUUCUAACAUUUUCUGGCAAACAACCACGGAUUGCUAAGGGCAGCAAUUGUUGCAUCAAAGUGUGGCAGUCAUGAGAUUUAAGACCUUGAAGCCGAAAAUCAUCCAAGUUUACAAGACUCCUGAAGUUGGAAGAAUAACCUUCUGGAACUUUGGUUUCAAACAAAGUUUGACAGAACAUUUGUUUCUCUUUUUUACUCAAGGUGUAAGGUGCUGCAGGUAUGGAAUUUUUAUCAUUUUCACUAGGAAUUAAUUUGCCCCUAAUUUGUAAUUCAAUUAGAUCUCUUCUAGCCUUGACCCCAUCUUUCGUCUUUCCAGAUUGAUGAAGUAAUGUGCCAUAGAUGCUCUCACAAACAUUUCCUCAAUGUGCGUCACAUCUAACACAUGGUGAACUAAUAAAUGUUGCCAAUACUCUAAAUAAAAAAAAAUGAUUUUCUUUUGAGUAAUUUGUCAAUAUCAUUAUCACAAUCAUCACGCUUUCGCUUGCUGCCUCUAUGCUUACCACUCUUAUAGUUAAUACCAUCUACCUGUUUCAAAAUUUCUUGACCAAACAAAGUUUUUGGAGAUUUAUCUCACUACAACAAAAACAGUAUGUNNNNNNNNNNNNNNNNNNNNNNNNNNNNNNNNNNNNNNNNNNNNNNNNNNNNNNNNNNNNNNNNNNNNNNNNNNNNNNNNNNNNNNNNNNNNNNNNNNNNUGUUGGUUAAUGAUAAAUGCUACCAAAAAUGAAUGGUAGCAUUUUGAACAAUGCUAAGUUAGCCGGUGUAACUAAAAGUAUUACACAUUAGUAGCAUUUUUUACAUGCCACAAAUAUGAUACAUAGCAUUGAAUUAGUGGAAUGCAAUUAGCUUUUGUCGCUUUAGGUGAAUGCUAUCAUUGUUCAAAGAGAGCAUUUAGAAAACGCUACCAAAUCGUGUACAGUUCCCUUGCAAAUCUCCAACAUAACUUUUAUAAAAUGCUAUAAAAACAUUAACAUCAUGCUAUCAUAGCAUUUCAAUGCUCUUCAUUCAAUUCAUGAAUUCAAUAAAUCAUUUUAGUCAUUCUAUUGAUUAAAAAGAAAUUAUUCUUCAUUCAAUUCAUUAAUUCAAUACAUCAUUUUAGUCUUUGAUGACAAAGAAAUUAUACAUUAUUCGUUGAUAAAAUAAAAAUACUUAAACAUCCAUAAUCAUAUAUUAAACUUUCAACUACAACAUUUACAAAAAAUAAGUAUGCAGCUAUCAGACUUCUAUACUUUCUAGUGACCUUUAAACAAAAUAUUAGAUAUUAUCUUCAAUUUCUCCUCACUCUUCAAUACAUUUUUGCAGAAUAUCCUUGAUCACCUGCAUUAUGAAUUUAAAAAUAAAUAAGAAUUUUAUUCUGUUAAUAAAAAAGAAACAAAAUAAUGCCUCCUUAACAAACUUUUCCCAUAUAAGUAAAUUAGGAAAAUUAAAGUGUACUUAACUUCAAAUCACGCUUACAUUCAUCCAAACCAUCAACUUUGACAUACAAUCCAUAAAUGCUAGGUCAUUAAGGAUAUAAUAAGUAUAUGGAAAAAGGAUAAAAAUAGCAAUACCUAGUACAAAAUGAAAAUCAAAUGUUGUAAUAAAUCAACUCAAACACCAAUAAAGAAAUUCUAUAACUUUAUUUUGUAAUUCGCUUGGAAGCCAUUUUAUUUUUCUUCACAUUCCAUCUACCCAAUUAAUCUUCUGCAGGAGUUUGUACCUAUGUUAGACAUAAAUUUAAGAAUAUGAGCGAACUACACAAACGUAAGGAGCAAUUAUGAUAACUUAUUCAUGCCUUUGUAUCAAUUAAAUAUCGCCUUAUGCAACAAUUUUUUCUUCUUUUUUUUAGUACUAGUGCAUUUAAUUUAACCUACAAGAAUUAUGUAUUAAUGCUAAUCAUAUAAACAAAACAUGAGGCUAUCACGGAUUUUGAGAGACUUUUGAGAACUUUCAGCAUCUAGUCCUUUUGUACGGGCACAAUCUAAAUAACCAAGCAAUAUGGGCUUAUUGAUAAUCUUGUUUGUGUCUAAUGACCACUUUAAUAAGUUAAAUUCAAGUUUUCUAGCUUAACAAAUAAAACCCAAACACUACCAAGAACAAAUAAAUUUAGAUUAAUUUAAGUCUUCAUUUAAACAAAACAAAAAGAAAACCAUGUGCAUGAGACUAAAUUCGGCAAGAUAAAUCUUCACUUAUGGAUCUCACUUAAGCAUCAAUUAGUUGGAAAAAUGCAACAACAACCAUUACCCUAACCAUAAAUAAUGAGGCAUCAUAAAGAUCUACCUCAAUUGAAGUCUUCCCUCUUUUAAAAUGCCAAUGCAACCCAUAAAUGUUGUAGCUCAGGACAAAAUUCUGGCUGUUAAAGAUCUACAAGUUCUAAUUAAAUUAGUACAUAUUCUCAAACUUAGAAACUACACAGAAGUUGUAGUGCCAAGUUUUUAGAAACUGCACAUCAAUCAACUCAUUUCUUUCUUUCACAAUAUCACAAUAUUGAUGUAAAACUUUAUCUAUAUACACUAUCUAGCUGGAAACCGACAGAAUGAUUCUCUAAUCACCCUCCCUAAAGAAAUAUUUACUAACUAAAAAGAAAUAAUUAAGAUGAAAAAAACCUAUUAUGUGAUCGAUAUACAAAAUUUCGGAUUGUUAAUGCAUAAAUGAGAUUUUUCAUAGUUUUUGAUAUAUUACUUCUAAAUGUAAGAAAAACAAAUGAACCAAACAUAUAAGAAAUUGCUCCAUAUAAAAUGGAAUCAACAUAAGAAAUCUUAUAGUGACAAUUGAAAACCCUAAAUUUGGUAAAUUAAAUUAAAAAAUUAAAGCUUACAUGUAAAUAUUCAUGUGAAAGAUUUGAGGGAAGACCCAACAACAACAAGCCUUGAGACAAUAAAGAUUAAGGAUCAGAACUUUUUCAUUUUGAGAGAUCUAGCUNNNNNNNNNNNNNNNNNNNNNNNNNNNNNNNNNNNNNNNNNNNNNNNNNNNNNNNNNNNNNNNNNNNNNNNNNNNNNNNNNNNNNNNNNNNNNNNNNNNNNNNNNNNNNNNNNNNNNGCCGCCCCCCCGCCGGAUUGUCUCUUCAUCUACCCCAGAUAAAGCCAGAGAUGUACCAUCAACAAGUCAUACAAUAGUUCCAGUGGCUCAAACUAGUGAAAUUAAUGUGAGGAUUCAAAAAGCAAAAAAUUUUGCAGUAGCACAAGCACAGCAAGAGGGCUGCACCGGAAACUUCAAAAUUUUUGAUUCACCAUUUAGGAAUUUUCUUAUGCCUGUAAUUCCAACUAGAAAAGAACUAGCUAGAUAGUUUCAUAGUUCUUAUCUUUAGUACUUUGUAAGCAGUUAGGAGACUGAAUGCCAUAGGUUCACAAGCUUGUAAAAAAAAAAGGUUAUAAAAUCAGGCAAACAAAAGAAAUUGACAAAAGCAGGGGAUUUUAGGCAGAAUCUAGAGAAAGACAGAAAAAGAAGGGAUGUAGGCUUUAGAUAUCCUAUUAUAAUAUUAAAUUUUGGGAAAAGAGAUGCCCACGUGUUUCUAAUCUUGGCGGUAGAUUUAUUUACUUGUUUUUUUCUUUUCGCAGCAUUUUUUAAAUGUUACAAAGGUGUGUUUUUUCGUAGCAUUUUAAAAGACCUACGUUUGUUAAUGUAAUAUAUGACAUUUAAAAAAAUGUUAUUAAUAAAAUAUAAAAUGCUAUAAAAAGUAAAAUGUUAUUAUUAAUGAAAUAAAAUGCUAUAAAAAGUAAAAUGUUAUCACUUAGAUAUUUAAUUAUAGCGUUUUUUAGAUUAAAUGCUAUUACAUAAUGCUACUAAAAGUGAUUUUUCUUGUAGUGUCUCUUUCUGCCUUAUUAUUGAAAACCUUCUGCAGUGAUCUAAAUGAGUGGUCAUGUGGCAAAAAUCGACGGUGCCCUAAAAAUACACAUUUUUUACUAUGUGUAAGCCACUGUGACUUUUUGUCUAGGUCACAGACUGGACAAGCAUAGUAACCUUAACAGUACAACCUGAAAGAUUCCCAUAUGCGGGAAAGUCACUAAUAGUCCACAUCAAGACAGCCUGCAAAUUGCAGGUUUGCUUUUUAAAAGUAUCAUAAGUUUCUACACCAAUAUUCCAAAGACUUUUCAAAUCAUCAAUUAAGGGUGCUAGGUAGACAUCUAGAUCAUUCCUUGGUUGUUUAGGUCCAUAUAUCAAUAAAGACAACCUAAUGAAUUUUGUCUUCAUGCACAUCCAUGGAGGAAGAUUGUAAAUGACCAACAUAACUGGUCGGCAACUAUAGGUAGAACUAAGAGUGCUGUGUGGAUUAACCCCAUCAGUUGAGAGAGCUAGACGAAGAUUUCUAGGUUCUUGGCCAAAAUCAGGCCACUUAGAGUCAACUAAAUGCCAUACUGGUGAAUCUGCUGGAUGGCAAAGUUUGCCAUCUCUAGUUCGGUGAAAAGCAUGCCAAGUUAAGUUCUCGGCAGUUUGGGGUGAUUGAAACAUAAGUUUAAAUCUAGAAAUAGGAGGAAAAUACCACUACUUAUUUUGACAUUUUUUUAUUUUUCCACUUAGACUGUCCACAAGUAGGACACUUAUUCAAAUCUGCAUACUCUUUGCGGAACAGAAUGCAAUCAUUCUUGCAUGCAUGUAUUUUCGUUGUUUUUUUGGCCUCAUACAUCGACUUCAGAACAUUAUUCUUUUUUGGAAACAUGUCAGAAAGAACUUCUAACAAAGCAUUAAACCCUUGGUCAAACCACCCAUACUUCCCUUUCACAUUAUACAAUUUCACUAACCUUGACAACUUAGAAUACUUUGAACCCAAAUACCAAGGCUUCUCAGCAUCCUCAAGUAUAUCCCUAAAACACUAAGGAUUUUGAUCACAUUGUUCAUAUGCAUCAUGGAUCAUGUCCUCAACAUUACUGUGAUCUUGGAACCUAAAUUCGUGAUUUUCAUAAUACUUUGGGCAACUUGCAGAGGCUGCAUUUAAAUCAACCUAUCCAUGUUUAUCCCAAACAAUAUAUGUUGGCAAAAAACCAUUUUGAAAUAAAUGACCCUUUAUUCGUUCAAGAGUAUGGAACUCUAGGUUGCAACACUCAUUACAAGGACAUCUAACUAAUCUACGAUAUUCAGAAUUAAGCAUAACAAAAUUCACUAACCCCUGCACUCCAUCUUCAUAUUCUUUGGACACUCUUGCUGACCAUAUCCAAGAUUUAUCCAUUUUAACAAGAUACCUGUUAAUGUAAAAUUUUAUUUAAAUGAAACAAAUAGUGAAAUUAAGUUGCCAUGCAUCAUUCUCAACAUACACUAAAUUAUUAAAUUAAGCAAUCACACGUCAUUCCCAACAUACACCGAAUUGUUAAAUUAAGCAACCAUGCAUACCUUUCUCACAAGUAAAGCAACAGAGGACAAAAUAAGACAUUUGAUGUCAAUGAACCCAUUAUCAUAAGUCACCAAUGUAUAGCUAAAGUGAAAAUGUAUCUAUGUUAAACAUGUAUUCAUACCUUCAGCAAUGAAACACCUUCUCGUAAUUUUGUAGAAGAUUUUUAGCAUAACAGCAAAACAAUAAUUUAUAAAAUUGAAUUAAUCGAAGAAACUAUCUGCCAACCACAUGCAAACUAUGACAAUAUCAAUACUUUUAUCAGUAAAUAUAUUAACCAUGGUCAGAAAGGUAAAUCAAACUUCUGUAUCUUAGAACCAAUAUUAAAAACAUCUUUAAAAAAUCAAUGUAGAUUGUAUUCAUAUAAUACCAGUUUCAAAUGACAGACUGAUAAGUUUAUAACAUAAAUUGGAAAGAAACAAUGAAAACACCGCAACCAAUAGAUACAGUUCUCAUAGUAUAUCCAGGAUGACCAGGAAGAUAAACUAAAUUUCUAGAUACUACAGUCAAAUUCACAAAAUCUUUAAAAAUUCAAUACCAAGGCUAUUCAUAUGAUUCCAAUUACAAAUGAAAGACUGAUAAGUAUGAAAAAAAUCAGAGCCAAUAAAUACAGUUUUAGAAGCUUAUCCAACAUGGUGAGAAAGGUUAAUUAAAUUUCUACCUCUUAUAAGUAAUUUUAGAAAAUCAUUGCGAAUUCAAGAUGCUAUACAUAUAAUACCAGUUGCAAAAUAAAGCUUAAUUAAUGUAUAAUUUAAAAUAAAAAGAAAAUAAGCAAAUAGCUUAUCCUUAGUACAAUAAUCAAUAACUCAUACAUUUUGUCAAAUACCUUACAUGCACAAUUUUGUAUCAUCUUCUUUUGAAAAAUCUUGUUUUAAAUUCUACCCGCACAAAUACAAUACCCAACAAGAGAAAAACAUGUAAAUGUAAAAAAACAAUACUCAGCCUAAAUUGGAUAAAAUAAAAAAUAGAACUAGCUCCAAGUGUUUCAAAUUGAUGUUGUCUAUUAUUGGGCAUGGUUAUUUUGACAAAAGAUUGAAGAAUAAAGUAACAGAUAAUCAUAAGUUUGUUUAUUAGUCAAUACAAAAUAGGAAUUGAUACAUAGACAAUGAAAUCUAUCUCUCUAGGAUCUAAUGCCUCUGCUCUUUAAAAAAUUACAGCAAGUCCAAAAAGAACCCAAUGCCUGGUCUCUCUCAAGAAUCUGUAGAAAAUAGUUAGUUGAAAAAAUAUAAGUAAUAUUAAAUACAACCAAUGUCCAUGAAUAAUAAGAAUGACUUUGGGAAGGAUUAAGAAGAAAUUAUUAGACUGUGAUAUCCAUGCAGUUUAGUACAAUGAUUUUAUACUCUUCUUUAACCUUGAUCAAUUGAGUUUAGAUAUCUAAAGUUAAAGCAAUAGUGUAACUCAACAAAAUCUAAUCAAGUAAAUGCAUAAUGAGAUUCAUUUCAUGCUCUAAGUUCGCAUAUCAUCACGUUUAUUUAAGAAAUGUUUAGCAAACAAGUAAUUGAGAGCAAAUAUAUAUCAAGUAAUCAACUAAUAAAAUAUUUAGAAUUAGACAAAAUAUAAAAAAGGAAAUAUUAAAAAUACAAAGUUACCUAUAACUUGAGGUCGUAAUUAGAACUAGCAACUAUAUUAUGAUGAUGCGCAUUGGAUGUGUAUGGAACCUAUUAACAAAAAACACAUAUUAAGUAGAUUGCGGUGUAAAAGAUUAUAUUAGUUAAAAUAGUUAUACCUGAUCACUUAUGAAUUGACUCAUCCCUAUCAUCACAAUAGUUGAAAUAGUGCUGUAAAAAUGAACAUAGUCUAUCAUACUUGACCUGCAUGUCACUAAUUCGAACUUACCAUAACUAGAUUGCAAAUCAAGAUAUUUAGAUUGCAAAUCACUAUAUUUGGAUUGCAAGUCAUUGUAUUUGGAUUUUAAUUCUUUGCUAUUCGACUGGAGAAGAAUUAACUUAUUUUGUAACAUUUGAUAACUGUGAGUCACAUUUUGACGUGAGACAUAUGAAGUUGAUGGACUUUGACCAUAAGUUCAAGCAUAUCCAUGGCCAUCAAUUCUCAUCACUUGAGUGAAUACUUGCUCUCUCAUAAAUUGUUUUUGUUGCUUAAUGGGUAUUUUAUACAGAUUUUCAUUGAAAUGACCUUGUAAAUUGAUAAUGUUGAAGUGUGAGCUCUGAAAAUGAUUUCCAGAGAAUCAUACGACAUGUCAGCUCAUGGUUGUACUAGCAUAUGACAUGUAGGUUGUGGUUAUUCAAAGCCAUAUGACAAUGUUACUUGGUCAUCUAUUUAUAGAUAAGUAAAGCACGUGAUCGUCACAUGUUUUCACUUAUCAACACGACCUAUUCAGUUUUCAUUUUCGAACCUUCAUUAAAUGUGAAAAAAACAUGUGGCUCAGGGGCUGUUAUAUUCUAUUACAAGGGCGGGAAAAUUCUGGGUUUUGGUUACAAAAGUUAGCUGACUAGUGGGGGAACUUUCUAGGGUCUCUUAAGCGUGUAUAUAUAGCCAGGGGCAAAGUUUAUUAUGUUCCCGCCAUAUAGGCGUCUUUACUUUUUAUCACAUCAAUAAAUCAUGUUACUGCUUUUCAGUAGUAAUUAAUUUUCUCCAAUAUUUAUUGUUAUUGUUGUCGUAUUGACAAGUUUAUUAUACAUUAACAAGUUCAUUAUGUAUUUUAGUGUUUUAUUGUAGUUUAUCAUGGUGUCGAAAAGAAAUAGAGGUUUAUCCAUGGAUAGCUUACUUCAGCAGCAAGCAGAAUAACAAAAACAGUUAUGCUCCUCUUCUCGUUCGCAUUCACAUGCACCACAAGAUGAAGGUAUAUAUUGUCAUGUAUUCUAACAUACAAUCCUUUUUUUUUACCCUUAUAUUAAUGCAUCUUGUGCUACUUUUUUGUUUUUUAUGUUUUUGGAUAAUGUUUCUAUUAUUCCUAUUUCUUCAUUGUUUUUUUACUAUUUUUAGCCUAUUUUUUCUUGUUUCUGGGGUAAUUUAGAUAUUAUAUUUUGGUUAAUUUUGUAGUUUGGAGUGAGUCAUCAUUAAUUAGGCAACUCUUGUCCUGCCCUUGGUCUAGAUAUAUUUGGAAGGAAGUAAAGUUAUGUAAUGCGUACACUUCAUUGUUCAAGUCACUGUUGCAAAAAUAUUAUUUUUUUUUAACUAUCACUAACCUAAUUUGGCUUUUAUGUGUUGCAACAAUAACUAAUUACUCCUUUCUUAGUCUAACCUUUUUAUUUAUUUAUUUUUUUCAAUGUUUUAACGGUUAAAGUUAUAAGACAAUAACUUAUUUUGUAUUGAAUUAUAGGAGAACAUUGAUGCUCCAGAAGCCUAUAACUUCAUUGUUUAAGGCACAUUAGUAAACUAUGGACGGCUUGGAAGUCUAGAGUGAAGACUGACUAUUAUACUGCUUAAACAAAUGAAGAGUUUCUUGCAUCUAUUCUUGAUAGGGUUAUUGAAGAGCAGUGGAGGAGACAUGUAGCAUAUUAGGAUAAUGAGGAAGUUAAGGUAUAUGGUUAAUAACAAUAAAAUGAUAAUACUGGUUUAUUGGGAUAGUAAUUUAAGAAUGUACUUCAGUAGUAAUUACAUAUAUAGUAUUUACAGGCACGUGCUGAACAGAAUAAGAUUAACCAUUCACAACUAUCUUCCCUUCUUAGAACAAUUUGAACUUCAUUUGCCCCAAAAAAGAAAAGAAGAAGAAAUAAAAAAAGGUACCCAUUUUCUUAAUAUAAUGCUAGAUUGUGUUCUCCUUUUUCAAUUUAUCUUUAAGCAACAACUUACUUAAUAUAAUGCCAAAUUGAGGUUGUUGAUAACUUGUAGGAAUCUGCACUUAUACUUAUUUUAUAAUCUAGAUUUAAAUUCAUGUGUAUGAUGGAGCUGAAUCGUUUUUGUUUCUUUAGGAUGGUAAAUGAGACAUUGUUUUCACUAAAAUUAUUGUCAAGAAUUUCUUGCCCUAACUAUUUCUAUCUUAUUGCAUAUUUAGGUAAUUUUUUUUUAAAAAAAAGAAAGAAAAAAGCAACAACUGACAUGUGAAUCUUAUGUCUAUUAUGAAGAGAUAUAAGCUUAUUUGUUACUCUUAUGUCUAAAAUUUUUAGAUGAAGAAAAUUUGGAAAAAGACAGAUCGGAUAAGUGUGUUUGUAGAGACUCGAACAAGAUCUUAUGGUAGCAUAAGUGAUGUGAAGAGUGAACAAAUAAUUGCAAGUUUCUUUUUUUUUAAGUAUUAUAAUUCCUUACUUUUGUAAAUGCUAUAAUUAAUAUUAUCUGUUAGACCUUGAUCAAAAUUAAUCAAUCAAGACUCCCCAAGAUUAGCUAAACACUAUAAUAUUUGCUAAAGAAAUACCAAGUAGUCACAAGAGAAACAGAAGCAAAACUAAAAACACCAAUCAACAAAGAACAUAAUUAAAGUGGUUCGGCCUGGAGAUGGCCUACAUCCACUGAAGAAUAGAGCAGCAAUCUUUAUUCAAUCACUAGGAACAAGAUACAAGUUUAUAGACGAAGUUACAAGCUUCACACACGUUGAUCUCUUUUCUCUUAAGGCUAUAUAUACAUGCUUAAGAGACCCCAGAAAGUUCCCCCACCAAUCAGCUAACUUCUAUAACCAAAACCCAUAAUUUUCCCUCCCUUGUAACAUAAUAUAACAGCCCUUGAGCCACGUGUUUCUUUCACAUUUAAUUAAGGCUCCAAAACUGCAACUCAGCAGGUCGUGUUGAUAAGUGAAAACAUGUGACGAUCACGUGCUUUACUUAUCUAUAAAUGGAUGACCAAGUAACAUUGUCAUAUGGCUUUGAAUAACCACAACCUACAUGUCAUAUGCUAUUACAACCAUGAGCUGACAUGUCGUAUGACUCUCUGGAAAUCAGUUUCAGAGCUCACACUUUAACAUUCUCCACCUUGAGCUUGAAAUCCUCAUGAUCUUGCUACUCUUCUCUUCUCUUCAACUACCUGUCACUUAUUUUUGACAUAUUCCUGCUAAUUCUAAGCAAAGCUUGAACUUAGCAGUUGUAACUGGUUUAGCCAGCAUAUCUGUAACAUUCUUGUCUUUAUGAAUCUUCUGCAGCUUUACUAUUGCUUUUAACACUUCCAGCCUUAUGAAAUGCAACUUGAUAUCGAUGUGCUUGGUCCUUUCAUGGUGUGUUUGAUUUUUUCUCAAACAUAUAGCACUUUGGCUGUCACAAUUUAUCAUCAUUGACCUCUGAUCGACACCAAGCUCUUUAAGCAUUCCUUUAAGCCAGAUGGAUUCUUUAACCGCUUUUGCAGCAGCUAUGUACUUAGUUUCUAUUGUUGAAAGUGCCACAACACUUUGCAGUUGAGCCUUCCAAUUGACAGUACAAUUGUUGAAUGUGAAAAGGUAUCCAAUAAGUGACCUUCAACAAUCCCCAGCAUAAUAAGAAUCCACAUAGCCAACAAUCUGACUACUAUCUUGUCUUUGUCCUCCAUACAUCAACCCAUAUAUUGCUGUCUCAUUUAGGUACCUGAGAAUCCAUUUUACAGCCCUCUAGUGUUCCUUACCAGGGUUUGCCAUAUACCUGCUUACAACACUCACAGCAUAUGAUAAAUCAGGCCUAGUUAAGACCAUAGCAUACAUUAAGCAGCCUACAGCACUUGCAUAAGGUACAUUCAUCAUCUCAGACAUUUCAGCUUCUGCUUUUGGACACAACUGAUCAGAUAGUCUGAAAUGAGGUGCUAAGGGUGUUUGAACUAUCUUUGAGUUUGCCAUUCCAAACUUAUCAAGUACCCUUUUGAUGUAUUCUUCCUGAAUAAGAAACAGAGUUCCAAUAUUUCUAUUCCUGUGUAACUGUAUUCCCAGAAUUUUCUUUGCUGGACUAAGAUCCUUCAUGUCAAACUCUCUUUUAAGCUUCUAUUUCAGGUCGUCAAUUAAACUCAUACUCACACUGGCAAUAAGCAUAUCAUCUACAUACAAUACCAAGUAAACCAUCACCCCUGAAUCCUCUCUAAAGUAAACACAAUAAUCCAAGUUACACCUCUGAAAUUUCUGCUUUUAACAUUAAGCUGUCAAAUCUGAGGUACCAUUGCCUUGGGGGACUGUUUAAGUCCAUACAUAGACUUUUUCAAAUGAAAAACCCAGUCAGCCUUUGAUUCAUCUAUGAAGCCUUCAGGCUGUGCCAUUACAAUAUGCUCUUGUAAUUCCCCAUAUAAGAAUGUUGUUUUUACAUCCAUUUGUUCUAAGUGCAUGUUGUUUACUGCCACCAGUGACAUGAUGAUUCUUAUAGAGGCAUGCCUCACUACAGGUGAAAAUACCUCAGUAAAGUCAAUGCCCUUAUUUUGAGUGAAUCCUUUUGCAACAAGUCUAGCUUUGAAUCUCACUGGUUCCACUCUUGAGAUGCCCUGCUUGAGUUUGAACACCCAUUUGCAGUCUAUCACUUUUUUCUUAUCUGGUUUUCUCACAAGUACCUAGGUGUCAUUCUUAUUCAAAGAAUCAAUUUCUUCCUUCAUGGCUUCCAAUCACUGGUCUUCAUUCUUCCCUGAAACAGCUUCCUUAUAGGAUUUAGGUUCAUCAUAGUCCAGUCCAUGACUUACUGUUAGUGCAUAUGUAAUCAGAUCUGCAUAUACAUACUUCUUUGGUGCCCUUAUAACUCUCAUUUCACUAUCCUUGGCCAGCUGAUAAUCUUGCAAUGUUGUUUGACUUUCUAAAGUUUCAUCAGAAUUAUCUACAUCUCUUCCCUCAUCUUCUGAUGUCUCAUAUGAAGUUGUAUCCCCAGAUUUUCUAGUAAGCUCCACCUUAAUAUGAUCUUUCAGUAAAUUAGUGUCAUUGUUUGAGUCUUCAAGCUUCUGUGUAUAGCUCUUAAGCAUUUCUUGUUCAUUGAAGACCACAUCUCUACUGACUAUACACCUGGGUGGCUUUAGAUCAGUACACCAAAGCUUAUAGCCCUUCACACCUUCUGGAUAUCCAAGAAAAACACAUUUCAGAGCCCUAGGCUCAAGCUUUCCUUACUUCACAUGUGCAAAUGCUGGGCAGCCAAAUAUCUUUAAAUCAGAAUAAUUUGCAGCUCUGCCUGACCACAUUUCUAUAGGUGUUUUAAAGUCUAUGGCACUGGAUGGACUUUUGUUGACUAAGUAACAAGCUGUCAUCAGAGUUUCAGCCCAUAAAGAAUGAGGAAGUUUUGAGUGAAUUAGUAGACACCUUACUUUGUUCAUGAAAGUUCUAUUCAUCCUCUCAGCAAGUCCAUUUUGCUAUGGAGUAUGCCUUACUGUCUUGUGUCUUACAACUUCAUUCUGAGCACAGAAAUCAUCAAACAGUUGAUUGCAAAAUUCCAAUCCAUUAUCAGUCCUUAGCCUUUUGACUUUUCUACCUGUUUGUGUUUCUACUAGUGCUUUCCACAACUUAAACUUCUUAAAGACUUCAUUUUUACCCUUCAAGAGAUACACCCAAACCAUUCUAGAAUAGUCAUCAAUCAAGGAUAUGAAGCAUUUAGCUCCACUUAAAGAAGUUGUCUGUGCUGGUCCCCACAGAUCAGAAUGGAUAUAAUCUAAAGUCCCUUUGGUCUUAUGCACUGUAGUUUUGAAGCUAGUUCUAGAGGAUUUACUUAGGACACAUACCUCACAGAACUCAACAGGGCCUAACUUAUCAUCCCUUAAGACUCCCUGCCUUUCUAAGAUCUUCAUCCCCUUCUCACUCAUAUGCCCCAAUCUCAUGUGCCACAUUAGUGUUUUAUUUAGAUUCUGACUUGUUGAGACACUAACAUCCCCAAAAUGGUUGUCUCUUACAGCACAUACAAGCUUAUUUUUUGCCCUCUUUAUUAUCACAAUAGACCAUCUAAUUAUCUUCAUAACACCAGAUUCCAUUUUAAUGAUACAACCCAUUUUAUCAAGAAUUCCUAGGGAUAUUAAGUUUCUUUUUAGCUCAGGAACAUGCCUAACUUCACUUAAUUCCCUAAUCACCCCAUCAAACAUUUUAAGCCUAAUGGUUCCAAGACCAACUAUUUUGCAAAAUGAGUUGUUUCCCAUCAUGACUUCCCCACCAUUAAAAAGUCUAUAACUGGAAAAAAAGAUUUUUAUCAGGGCACAUGUGAUAAGUGCAUCCAGAAUCUAACACCCACUUACCAUUGGUUUGAGUUCCAGUGGCCAGAAGAACACCAGCUGAGUCAUAGCCAUCAUCAUCCUUUUUUUUUCUAAUGCAACAACAUUUUCAUUAUUUUUGGGUCCAUUUUUUCCAUUGUUCUUUCUUUCUGGACAGUCCUUCUUGAAAUGUCCAUCUUUGUGGCACUGGAAACAUUUCAGAUUUUUAUUCUUUGACUUAGACUUGCUGCAUUUUUUGUUCUUGUUACUGAAAUCCUUCUUCUCUAGUUUACCCCUUGCUGUUAAGCCUUCUCCAUCUUUUGUUUCUGACUUCUUUGUAACCUAUUUAGAACUAAGAGAAUCUUUUACAUCAACCAUGGUUAUUGAUUGCCUUCUAUAUAACAACGUGUCUAUAAAAUGUUCAUAGGAAGGUGGGACAAAUGAUAACAAGAUUAUAGAAUGAUCAUGUUGUAGUUAUCAAUGUGAUUUGCCAGAGAGCUACCCUCAUCUAUCUGCAAUGUAUACAACCUCUUCUUGGUGCAUAGUCUCUUGGUUAGAGAUUUCUUCGUAUAUAGGUCUUCUAAUUUCUUCCAGAGGCCUGCAACAGUUGUUUGAUCCCCCACUUCCCUCAGAACUUCAUCUCCCAGACUCAAGAUUAAGGUACUAUGAGCCUUGUCCAAUCCCAAACUUGAUUAUUUUCAUAUAACAAAUGGUUGAAAUUCCAUUGUAAAAUUAAACUCAUUAAGUAUCUUUCUGAGUCGAUCAUCAACCAAAUCACGCAUUAAAAGAACGAACUUCAUAUCAUUAUUAUAAUGAAUUUCCCAUGAAAUGUAACUUUGCCCAAGUGAGGAUUUUUAUCCCUUGCAUCGAUAUAGCUCAUUGUGUCAGCCUUUAAUACAACACCGAAAUUUUAUGUUGUUUUAUUCAUAUCAUUAUCUUUUGUGCAUAAUCGACAGCUAUUAACAGUGUAGCCUUUGGAUCUUUGUGCAAACUUCUUUGGACCGUUGGCUAGAUUUAAAAUUUCUUCGAAGAAUUCUACAAUUGACGCUCGUUGCAAAGUUUUAACCUAUAAAUACAUAUUAGAAAUAAAAAAAAUUGCUAUUACUUGAAACAAAAAUUCACAAUCGCAAUGUUUGAGAGACUUACAAGAUUCGAAAACUAUGUAUGAAAUACUUCAUUGUGAACUUUUUUAAUGUGAUGUUUUGCACCACGCAAUAUCUCUCGCUUGAGAAUUGCUAGAUGUUGCCCUAUGUCAAUUCAAUCAUUACUUAGUAAGUCACUGGAUAAAUGAUAAUUAAAAACUAGAGAUAAAAAUAUUUGAACAAAAAAUAUACACUACAUACUCGGUGAAAAAUGGUUACAGUACCUGUGUUGAAUAACACAUAUUUGUGUACCUGAACCCAUGAAACAUUAUUAAGACAUAAUUUAACCCCUUUACUGCCAGGACACCCAAAUUUGUUACCACCAACAUCAUUACAAAAUGGUUGGUUACUUUUGGUUUCUACCUUGUCAAUGUAACUUUAACAAAAAUUCAUACUUUCCUCCAUAAGGUACCCUUAAGCAAUUGAAGCCUCAAGAAGUGCUUGAUUUUGCACAUACUUUCAAGGUCAGUAGCUCCUUAUAACCAAAAGAUAUGAAGAAUAUAACAAAAAAUGUAAGACAUAAAUAUAGUAAAAAAAUACGAGUAAAAACAUUGUUGCAGUACCUUUCAAUGAAAAACAGCCAUUGGCAUUGAACAGGACCAGCAAUUAAUGCCUCUUUAGCUAGAUAAAUAGGUAAAUGCUCUAUCAUAUCUAAAAAGAACAUUGGAAAAAUCUUCUCAAGAUGACAAAGGGAAAGGGAAAUUCUCUCUUGUAUUUUGAGUAAGUCUUCAGAUACGUUCACUUUGAGCAUAGUUGACAAAAAUAAUUGCUUAAUUCAAUCAAAGUUUCAACAAUAUUUGUAGGUAAUGCUCUACGUUAGCCAGAGGAAGUAAUAUUUGCAUCAAUACAUGACUGCCAUAGCAUUUAAGACCCCAAAUGCUAAAUUCUUCAGUAUGGACACAUCGAGCAUUAAGUAUAUCAUACAACUAAAAUUUACACUUCAAUUCCAGAUAACCGGGAAGGUCUUAUCCCCACUUCUUUAUUUUAUCAAAAAAAAAAAUACUUUGUCUUUCUGAAACUGAUGACAUCUUGGAAAAAAAUUAAUAGAGGCCCAAGUAAAAAUAUUUUCUGAAAAAUCACUGAUAAUCCAUAACAGUGCUACAUGUAAUUUUAACAUUUGAUUGCACGAAACAUCAUAGCUAAGUACCCCUUUCAGCCUAUAAUUCUUUCAACUUCUUAAUCAAUGGUUGCAAAUAAACAUCAAUCUUGUUACCGGCACUUUAGGUCUAUCAAUAAGCACAUAUAAAUAUUAUGAAUGGUUGUUUUGUGCACAUCCAAGGUGGAAAAAUGUGUGGAAUUAAAACUACAGGCCAUUUACAAUUUGAUACAGACAUCGUUCUAAACUGAUUCAAACUAUUACUUUCUAAUCCAAGCCUAACAUUACGAAUAUCUAGAACGAAAUCAAUAUAUGUUUGAUCAAAUGAUUUCAAUGCAGGAUUAUCAGUAGGAUGCCUUAGUACGCAAUCAUUAAUGCAUGAUUUAGCAUGCCAUCUCAUAAAAGAAGAAUUCACAUCAAUUUUUUAUAUAUAGAUGCAUAACAAUGUUAGUACAAAUUCAGACUCAUUAACAUAAUAUUUGAGUGUAAGGACUGCCUCAUGUGUUAGUACAAAUUUAUCUAUCCCAUUAUGAGCUAAUAUAACACAAUUAAAGAUUAUAUUUGUCCACAAUAUACUACUGUAUAGGGUAUGUCAAAAUCAGACUCAUUAACAUAAUAUUUGAUCACUUAAUAAAUGAGUUUGUCAAAAUUGCUCCUUAAUAUUUGACAUUAGUCACGUAUUAAUUCAGUAAAAUAUAGAAAACAAUUAGAAUGAUUUAUGCCAGUCCACAAAAUGUGAGAAAUAAAACUAACAAGAAGUUGAUGGAUUUAAAUGAUUUCUUCACGCUCGUAAGGUCAAGUUCAGGUUAUCAGACGGCUAAGAACAGGGUGUUGAAAAGUCAUGCACGUGACAUUCAAAUUCAAAAAUGCAUGCAAAAUUUCAAAUGCCUACCAAACAUUUGAAGAAAAAAUAGAAAGUUGGCAAAUUUGUCAAAUUUGCCAAAUGGACACCAUUGACUAUUGGCUUAGGUUAGGUGGAAUAGUAAAGGGGCUAGUGCAAUAGUGCCAUUAUUUUCCUUAUAAAUAGAUGGCGCUUCUUCCAUUCUUUUGGAUCCCAAAAUUAUUAAGCUUAUAAGUUUCUAAGCUUUUGAGAGAAGUGAGAGAAGUGUGUCUGGAGAAUUUAUCUUUCCUGCAGAGUGUGAGAGUACUGGGUAUAUUUGGGUUUCUGGGAAGUGAGAUUCGUUACUCAAAUAUUGUACUCUAUUAAUUGUUAAAUAAACAAUUAUUCUUUCUUGGCUCCAUGGAUGUAAGUUUAAUUACCGAACCACGUAAUUCUUGUGUCCUUUAUUUUUCUGUAAUUAUUUUGUACGCUUGAUUUCGCAUUCCGCGCACAACAAGUGGUAUCAGAGCCGAAGGUUCGUACUUUGGGGGAUACGGCACUGUUCACGUAUACGGUACUGUUCACAUACGGUACUGUUCACGUAUACGGUGGAGACAACCAUUUGUACUUGGGAGAUAGUCUAUUGUAAAUAGUGUGUAUUUUUGCAUGUCUAGGAAAGUUCUGUCAACAAAGGCGAUAAGAGUCUAAGGAUUCUGGGUUUUAAUUAGGACCGAGUUACCGUCUAGUUUCUUGGGAACUUUCCUGGUGCAUUUAUUCAUGCGAAAUUAACAUCAUAGAAACUGUUUUUCAAGUGGAAAUAGUUCGUUGAGAAAAUGGUAGAAGGUGAAACUUCCAGAAUUGGGGAGAGAUCUACCGAGACUAUUUCAGGAGACACUUCAUGUGGGAGGCGAGAUUUGUCAAAUCGCUAUUCAGCACUUGUUAUAGAAGGCCAGAAGAUCGAUGUUGAAAAGUUUGAUGGGAAAAUCAACUUCGGCAUGUGGAGGCGCGAAGUUAUGGAUGCCCUUAUUCAAAUCGAUCUCGAUGCUGUUCUGAAAAAUAAAAGACACUUGUAUGAUGAAGAAAUUUGGGAUCGUAUGAACGAGAAAGCUUGUGGUCAGAUCAGAUCUUGUUUGACCAAGGAGGUGAAAUACUUGGUGAAAGAUGAGGAGUGUGCGGUGACUUUGUGGCGUACAUUGGAGGAGAAGUACCUGGUGAAAAGUCCUGAAAAUCGCCUUCAUGGAAUGAGCCAAGUAUAUGGUUUUCGAAUGAAGCCUGGGGUGUCAAUGCACGAUCAUGUUUCAAGAUUUGAAAAGUUAUUUGCUGAUUUGAAGAAUCUUGAUGAAGAUAUUAAGGAUGAAGUCAAGGCUAUGAUUCUGUUACACUCACUACCAGAGGAAUAUAGCCAUUUUGUGACUACUUUGAUAUAUGGGAAGAGUGUGAUCGUCUUUAAAGAUGUUUGCACAAUAUUGACUAGCUUAGAGAUUCGGAAUAAUGAUAAAAAUUCUGAACGAGCAUCGUCUGAAGCUUUGGUGAGCAGAGAUUGGGAGAUGGAGAAACAGAAGAAGCGUGGUGGAAAGAAUUCUCGAUCCAAAUCGAGAAUUAGAAAUAUAGCCCGAGAUGAGUGUGCCUUUUGUCAUGAAAAGGGCCAUUGGAGGAAAGAUUGUCCAAAGGCUCAAAAGAGAAAUAAGAAGAAACCAGCAGCAGCAAACAUGGCACGGAAAGAUGAGGGCUCUGAUUAUUCACUAAGUAUUACUCCUGCAGCAUACGUGGCUAGUUCGAGCGAGUGGAUACUUGAUACUGGAUCAACUUAUCAUUUGUGUCCUAUUAAGGAAUGGUUUAUGGAUUUUCGUAAUUUGGAAUCCGGUGCAGUUGUGAUGGGGAAUGAUCAACCUUGUCGCACAAUGGGGAUAGGAACAAUUCGGCUCAAAAUGUUUGAUGGAAUGGUUAGAGAACUCAAAGAGGUUAGAUUUGUUCCAGCUUUAAAGAAAAAUCUAAUUUUUGUGGGUGCUUUGGAAGCUAAAGGCUACAAGGUUACCAUUGAAGAUGGCACAAUGAAGUUUACGCAUAGGGCUAUGGUGAUUCUGCAAGGGGUUCGGCGUCACAAUUUGUACUAUUUGAAGGGAGGUACAACUGAUAAAGCAAAUGCUGUUGAGACACACAGUGACACCACCAAGCUAUGUCAUGUACGACUGGGACAUGCUGAAGAGAAGUCUUUGCAAACUCUGAUGAGGCAUGGACUUUUAAAAGGUACCAAAACCUGUAAAUUAAAUUUCUGUGAGCAUUGUGUAGUAGGCAAGAAAACAAGGGUCAAGUUUGGUACAGCUAAUCACGAUACUCGUGAGAUCCUUGAAUAUAUUCAUAGUGAUGUAUGGGGACCAACCAAGACUGCAUCAAUUGGUGGAAGCCAUUAUUUUGUUACAUUUGUUGAUGAUUUCUCUAGAUGUGUGUGGGUGUACACCAUGCGAGCAAAUGAUGAGGUUCUAGAGAUUUUCGUGAAAUGGAAGAAAUUAGUGGAGACUCAAACUGGCAGAAAGAUCAAAGUAUUACGAUCUGAUAAUAGGGGUGAAUAUGCUUCUGAUCCAUUCUUGCAAGUAUGCCAGAACGAGGGUAUUAAAAGACAUUUCACGGUGAGACAUACUCCGCAACAUAACGGUGUGGCUGAGCGUAUGAAUUGUACUUUACUGGAGAAGGUACGGUGUUUGUUAUCUAAUGCUGGUUUAGAUAAAAAGUUUUGGGCUGAAGCUGUGAGCUACGCAAGUCACUUGGUAAACCGAUUGCCUUCUGCUGCAAUUAGAGGUAAAACUCCUAUGGAAAUGUGGUCUAGAAAGCAUGCACAAGACUAUGAUUCCCUUCGUAUAUUCGGGUGUCCAGCUUAUUAUCAUGUUAAAGAUGGUAAACUGGAUCCUCGUGCUAGAAAAGCUAUCUUUGUGGGAUUCAAAGGUGGAGUAAAGGGUUUCAAGCUUUGAGAUCUCGAAGAUAAAAAGUUUGUGUGUAGCAGAGAUGUCACAUUUGAUGAAGCUUCAAUAAUAAAAGCUUCAAGUUCUCAGCAGGUGGAGAACAAAACCGAAGAGGUAUUGCAGCGGGUGGCGUUUGAUGCAACUCCAUAUGUACGAGUUAGUUCUACAUCAAAGAAGAGUUCAACUAUGGAUGUGACACCUAAAGUUGAAGAACAAGUUGUUUCUUUUGAUGUCCCACAAAAUGAAGAAACAAUUGAUGAUGUAGAUAAUGAUGAUUUUAUAGCAACAAGGAGGCUAAGAAGAGAGACAAAGAAACCCGGAUGACUUACUAAAGAUAUGGUGGUAGCCUAUGCACUUCCAGUUAUUGAUGAUGACAUCCCCAACACUUUCGGUAAAGCAUUACGCAUCAGUGAAAGUGAUCAGUGGAAGCUAGCCAUGGAGGAAGAGAUGAAAUCUCUCCAUCAAAACCAUACUUGGGAACUUGUAAAGUUACCAAAGGGGAAAAGGGCUAUUGGCAAUAAAUGGGUCUACACCAAAAAGCAAAGAUCUCCGAAUCAAAUAACUCCUCGAUACAAGGCAAGGCUCGUGGCAAAAGGUUUUGCUCAAAAGGAAGGUAUUGACUACAAUGAAGUUUUCUCUCCAGUUGUAAAACAUACUUCCAUUCGUAUCCUACUUGCCUUAGUUGCAGAAUAUGAGUUAGAGUUGGCUCAGUUGGAUGUUAAGACGAUGUUCUUACAUAGAGAUUUGGAGGAGGAAAUCUAUAUGAUUCAGCCCUGUGGUUUCAAAGUUGCUGGAAAGGAGAAUCAUGUGUGUAGGUUGAUUAAAUAUUUGUACGAACUGAAGCAAUCGCCAAGGCAGUGGUACAAAAGAUUUGAUCAAUUUAUAUAAGGGCAGAAAUUCACCAAAAGUGAACACGAUCAUUGUGUUUACUUUAGAAGACUACCAGAUGGAGCUUUCAUCUAUUUGCUACUCUAUGUCGACGAUAUGCUUAUAGCUUCGAAGAAUAGAGAUGAGAUCGAAAGAUUAAAGAAGCAGCUGGCUUCUGAGUUCGAGAUGAAAGACUUGAGUGAUGCACAGAGAAUACUUGGGAUAGAGAUUCGUAGAGACAAGAAGAAUGGGAGCGUGUGGUUGACUCAAAAGUCUUAUUUGAAGAAAGUGCUAGAAAGAUUCGGUAUGGAUAAUAAACCGAUAUGUACACCUCUAGCUCCUCAUUUUAAAUUAAGCUCUUCUUCAUGUCCUAAAUCUCAAGAGGAGCGCGAUUACAUGGCUCGUGUUCCAUAUACUAGUGAUGUGGGUAGUCUUAUGUAUGCUAUGGUAUGCACAAGGCCCGAUAUAUCUCAAGCAGUAAGCAUGGUUAGUAGAUACAUGCACAGUCCGGGUAAAAAUCAAUGGCUUGCAGUAAAAUGGAUUCUCCGAUAUUUGUAUGGGACAGUUGAUGUUGGGUUAUUAUUCAAGAAGGAUUUUGGUCAACAAUGUGUUGGGUAUUGUGAUUCGGAUUUCGCUAGAGACCUUGACAAGCGAAGAUCAACAACGGGCUACGUAUUCACAUUGGGUGGAGGUCCGGUUAGCUGGAGGUCGAUUCUACAAUCGACAAUUGCUCUGUCCACUACGGAAGCAGAGUAUAUGGCAGCAACUGAAGCUGUAAAAGAAGCUACCUAGUUGAAAGGCUUGUUAGGUGAUUUGGGAGUAAUCCAGGAGAACAUUGCGGUCUUCUGUGAUAAUCAAAGUGCGAUAUUCCUUACGAAGAAUCAAACAUAUCACGCUCGGACGAAGCACAUAGAUGUGAAAUAUCAUUAUGUGAGGGAGAUUAUCAAGAGCGGUAUCGUGUUGUUGAGAAAGAUCGAUACCAAAGAUAAUCCAUCAGAUAUGUUGACGAAGGUAGUUUCUGGAGUUAAGUUUCAACAUUGCUUGAAAUUAAUUCAAAUCCUUCGAUUGUGUUAAGAUAUGUCCUUCGGGAAUUAUGAACUAUGGUUGGCUUGAUCCCAAAUUUUGGGUACGUAGGCAGUCGAAUCGACACAGCCAUUCUAGAUCCUUAUUGAAGGAUCAGUUUGGCGAUGAGGGUUCAUUGGUAGUCGACUCAGAUUUGGACAAAUUUUCGCCGAGUUGGAGAAUUGUUGAAAAGUCAUGCACGUGACAUUCAAAUUCAAAAAUGCAUGCAAAAUUUCAAAUGGCUACCAAACAUUUGAAGAAAAAAUGGAAAGUUGGCAAAUUUGUCAAAUUUGCCAAAUGGACACCAUUGACUAUUGGCUUAGGUUAGGUGGAAUAGUAAAGGGGUUGGUGCAAUAGUGCCAUUAUUUUCCCUAUAAAUAGAUGGCACUUCUUCCAUUCUUUUGGAUCCCAAAAUUGUUAAGCUUAUAAGUUUCUAAGCUUUUGAGAGAAGUGAGAGAAGUGUGUCUGGGAAAUUUAUCUUUCCUGCAGAGUGUGAGAGUACUGGGUAUAUUUGGAUUUCUGGGAAGUGAGAUUCAUUACUCAAAUAUUGUACUCUAUUAAUUGUUAAAUAAACAAUUAUUCUUUCUUGCCUCCGUGGAUGUAGGUUUAAUUACCGAACCACGUAAUUCUUGUGUCCUUUAUUUUUCUAUAAUUAUUUGGUACGCUUGAUUCCGCAUUCCGCGCACAACACAAGGGUGUUGAGCUUUUGACAGACAAUAUGAUGGAGAAGUUUAAGGUUGCUUGGAAUGUAGAUGGCCAGGGUUAAAAGAUUGCUUCGUUUCCAGUUUACCCGAGAAUUGGAAAAGUAGGAAAUUAAUAAUAGUUGAUUUAAGCUUAAAUUAAUAUAUAUUGUUGAUGCUAAACUUUAGUCGAGUUGAUUUGUUGGCUAGCAAUCAGACCUCAAUGUGAAUAUUUAAAUUUAUAUAUGGAAGAGUGGUUUGCCAAUUUUUUAAAUUUUCAACAUUUCAAAUUCUUAAUUAAUACAUAUUGUUGAUGUUGAAAUCUAGUCGAGUCAAUUUGUUGGUUACCAACUAGACCUCGACGCAAAUAUUUAAAUUUAUAUGUGCGAGAGCAGUUUUUCAAUCUCUUGAAUCAGCAAGAAUCCAUGAACUCGAGUAAAUUCUCCACUAACACCUGCAAUAACAGAAAGCAAUAAGAGGCAAUAAAAAUUUUUCUACCUUUAACCCUUCGAUGCCCAAUUUAUUUUUUUGGGUUUAUUAGAAAAAUUAAAGUAGUGUCUGGUUUUUUAAUGUAAUAGAAAUAGAAAGAAAAAUCUCAACGUAAAGAGAGUGAAAAAUAAAAGGUAGUCUAAAGACGAAAAAAUUGAACCUAUUUUGGUUUUCAUAGUUUGUUUUUAUAGAGGUAUGAAUCCUUUUCUCCAUUGACUUUACUUGUCAAAAGUAAAAUCACAAGUCGUCCGCCCCGAAAUCCGCUGCAUUGAAUCACUUUAUCGAAAUUUAACUGCACAGGAAGGUGUCUUGUUGCUUCAUUUCAUCAUCCAUGACGCAUUCUCUGUAUCAGUUCCAAUUUUAUCCGAUGCUGCAAAGAGACCAUGAUGAAUCCUCUGAUCCCAUUAUUAGUAAAAUUCUUUACAAAAGUGAACCAUAAAGUAAGACAGCUUGGACCAACAUUUAUAAAAGUUGAAGCACAAACAAAAAAGGCAAGCCCAUAACUAUUUAAUCUUUUGAAAUUAAAAGGUUAAAAAUGAAAAAUUGGGGUCAAAAACUCUUUCUAAUGCUCUCCAAGUUCAACUUGGCUUCGCCUGAUAACUCCUACGAUAUUGACCUCUUAAUUUUAAUGGUAUAACGUCACAGCCAACUUUAGUUUUUAUUUAUUUAUUUAUUUUUUAAUGGCCCCCAUCGAACCAAAACCUUGGAUUGGUACCUAACCUAAUUUUAUAUUUGGAUGCAAAUUUUCAGCUAGCUAGGACGUUCAAAAGUGGCAUGGGCACGGGCACAAGCUCCAAACAAUUAGAAUUUGCAACAAAGCCACCCAACGAUAGAUAUCAUCUUACCACACCAGUUAGGGUCGGUUCUACCAGUUCGGAGACCUUAAUGAAUUUUUUUUCGAAGGCCUUUUUACAUUAAACAAUAUGUGCUUAGAAUAAUUAGAAUGAUAACACAUACAAAGUUGACUAGUUGAGAUGAAUAUGAUGAUCAAACGUCAGAUGAUAAAAAUGAAUUUUAUAGAAAAGAUCAGAAGAAUUUUCUUUAUAGAUACGAGAGUAAAAAACUUUAGGUUGUUGAUUCAAUAUCCAUUAGUGAGGUUUUAAAUAGGGUUAAUAGGAUCCUAAAAGUUUUAAAAUCUAACAUUAAUAAUUUUAAUAGAGUAAUUAUUUUUUUGGAAAGGGAAAGCAUUGGAUUUUUUUCUUGUAAUUAUUAUCAAAAUAAAGUUUCAAAGUGUUAAAAUCAUUAUUAUACAGUAAAAAUUGUAUUUUUAAUUAAAACAAUUACUUUUAAGGUAAAGAUUAUUAAACAUGGAGUUGAUGAUGAAUGACAGUAAUAAUAAUGAGAUGCAUAAAAAUUAAAAUUUUCUAUAGUAUAAAUUUAACUUUAAAAAAUAGAAUCUUAGAAUAAUUAUUAUAAUUGUAUUAAUAAAUAAAUACUCAAAAUUAUUAUUUUCUUAAAUAUGAGACCUUAGCCGACCACUUAAUUUGUCUAGUCCUAAAGCCACCAACAACACCAGUCAUGAUCAAUGUUCAUAGCUAGAGAAAUUCUCAAAUACAUUAGAGGCAGCAUGUCAGCCAUACAAUAAGCAAAUUAUGUUAUGUUAUGUGUGCAUUUAUUUUGAAAAACUAUCAUGCAAGUGGUGGAUAUAUUUAAUUCAAUUACACAUGUCAUGCAUGCAUCAAUUAGUUGUAAUACAUCAUAAGUAUUUUAGAAUUUCUCCAAUACCAAUCGUGGCAGGCAGCACAAUCAACUGUAGAUCUAGCGACAAUUAAUGCUUAAGCCAUGCACUGGUUCGACUUGCCUUAUUUCUACAAUCAAGUCCCUAGUGAUGUAAUAGCUAUGUGGUGCUACACUGCUUAAAUUAGUGGACAACAAGUACAUGACAGUUAAUUUUCCGUUUGAGCCUGCGGAUGAAGCGGAUAAUACAGGGCCAUUUGCUCAAUUUGUUAUAGAGAAAAUGAUGGAUUUAGGGAGUUAUUUUACAAGAUUUGGACCCAAUACUAAGUUGAUCUUGUGCUCAAAUCUUCAUAAUUUGUUGUUAGAUGUAUGUGUAUAGUAAUAUAUGGUUAAGAUUUAAUUAAUUUUAUAUUCUUAUCCAAAAACUACCAAUUGUAUUCUUCCAAAAAGUUAAUAAAAAAUUUAACUUAACACUGAAUCUAAAUCCUAUUUUACAUAUUUAAAGUUAGGGUUGGCGUAUCAUACUGCUAAGGAUAAGGGUGUUGAGCUUUUUACUUAAACUAUGAUAGAGAAUUUUAAACGUGCUUGGAAUGAAGAUGCGCAGAGCCAAAAGAUCGUUUGGCUUCCGAUUUACUUGAGGAAUAGUAAAGGGGGUGAUUAGUGUUAAAAAUUAUAUGUUUAGUAAGGGAUAAAAAUUUUAUUUUGUGCUUAUAAUAUAAUUUACAUUUGUAAUUAUGUAACAUAUUAUGAAUUUCUAAUUAUUUUUCUAAAUAUUUGAUUUUUUUGUGUUUUUAGGUAAAAACAAUAAUUUUACGCAAUUUGAGGCUUCAAACAAAUGUACAGAUGUUAAAUUUGGAUUCUAAAAGUCCGAGAAAUUAGGUAUUUGUCAAGGAGGAUUUGCGGCUUUUGUUGUAAAUUUAUAAUUUUUUACCAUAGUAAAUAAGGUAAUUGUGAAAUUAUAAGUUUUUAAUAUGUUAGGUGCUGUAAUUGUUAGUGGAAUGUGUUGGAUGUGAUUGAGUGGAUUAAGUUAGGUUUAUGUUUUGUUAGUGGGACAAAUGUAUGACUAAGAUGCAAUUAGCUUUAUUUAUUUGUGUGGUGUGAAUUAAUCAUAUAUUAGUGUAAAUAGAGCGGGGUAACACACCUCUCCACACAUUUUCUUCUCUUUUUUCCCCUCAAUUGCUUCUUCUCAUCUCUCUUUGUAAUAUAUUUUUAAUAAAUAAAAUUAGUUUUAUUUCCUAUUUUCAAAUACCAUUUUUUUAAUUAUGUAUUUUUCAAUUUUAAUAAUUCCAUUUAUUUCAAAUAUGUUUAGCUAAAUACUAAUAGUUAGGGUAAGUGAAACUCUUAGUAGAAAAAUAUGAUUUAAUUAAAUUUUAUUUUUAAUUAUAUAAAUUAAAUUAUUUUCUAUUUAAUUUUAUCCAUAUUUUAUAUUUUUAUAUUUUGAUUUAUUGUAGACAAACGUGAGAGUUUAGCAUAAUGAAUUCUUAAUAUCUUAGUAUAAAGUAUGGUAAAAUGAUAUUUUGACUUAUUGUAGACAAAUUAAGUUUUGGCACAGUAAGUACUUAAUCCAUAAUAAAAUUAAUGGGAUAAUAAUUGUAAUUUAUACAAUUAAUAUUUUGAGCAAUAAAAUAAUUUUUUUAUUAAAUUAUAUUUAUUACUAAAAGUGGAUCCAUAACCCUAACUAAUUUAAUUUAAUAGUUUUCACAAAUUAAAUUGCAUAUAUUUAAAUUUUAUUUUCAUUCUUUAGAUAAACUUAAAUAAACAAAUUAAAUCUUUUUUUGUGGAUCGACCUUGGACCCACCGAGUUAUAGUAUAACUAGGCACUCUUAUACUUAGAAGUAAAUUAAACACUUUUAAGUUGUGCCAGUGGGAAAUGAUAUUAUUAUUUAAUUGAAGAUUGUAAAAUGGAAUAAAGAUUGAAGGGUCAAUAUUAUAUGAUUUGGAUUAUUAAUUUUAUUAAUAUUUUUUUCUCUCUUCCCUUUGAUAUUUAAUUUUCUUAAUUUUUACUAAGAUUUGGAGAAAUAAUCAUGUAGACCUCUAUAUUUUCAAUAAAGGACACCAAGACCCUCUUUUGAUAAAAUACCUUUUGGUUCUAUUAACUCAAAAAUUUAACUCCAAAUAAAUACAAUUAUAAUAUUAAAAUAAAUAUAACAAUAUAUAUUUUAAUACUUUGCAAUCCUAUAUUAAACUAAAUUUAUUUUAAAUAGAAAAAUAAUAUUAAAAUAACUAAAUAAAAAUUUAAAUUAAAUUCAAUAUUAUAUAAAAUAAUUUUAAUGUUAUUAAUACAUGAGAUAUGUUUUAUUAAUUGUAAAAUCUAUUUAACCCAAAUAUUUAUUUAAAAUAUUUAUAAUAAAUAUAUUAUUACAAUAAAUAUAAUAAUUUACAUUUUAAAAAUAUUUUAUAUAUUAAAAGUAUUCUAAUUUUAUUAGUCUACUAGACAAAUUAAAUUGUUUAAAUAAUAUUUAUAUUAAUUAAAAAAUUUAAAGUUAAUUUCUUUAGUUACAAUCUACUAAGGAUAUUAUAGUCAAAAGGGGCCUUGGUGUCCCUUAUUGAAACCUUUGGGUCUACAUGAUUAUUUCCCUAAACUUGGUGGGUGUAGGUGCCUUUUCUCUUUCUACUUUUCUUUUUUCUCUCUCUUAUAAAUCUAUAAAUGGAAACAUUAUAGAUCAUGAUUUCUUGUGAGACGCUGGGAGUUACUGGUAACUAAAGGCUUGCAAGUGGGGAGACUAAGAGAUCUAUCUUAUGAACAACUAGAUUUAUAUAUUUUAAUAAAUUCAUAAUAAUCCCCUUGGAUGUUCAUUACAAAAGAAAAUGCCUCAUUAAGACCUUUACUUAACAAAAAAAAAAAAAAACCGUCAUAGGAAACAAAUAUUAGUAAAGGAAAAAAAGUACGUCAUUUGUUGAUGUCUUGACAUAUAUGAUUCUUGAAGAUAUGAAGUUAUCUCAUUAAAAUCUUACUAGGAAAAAUGCUAUUGGAUAAAAACGGAUGGAGCUACUUAAACCAACCAAACUACUUAUUAAACUCUCUUUUAAAAAUAAUUUUAUGAUUAAAAUAUCACUAAAUUAAAUUACAAUUAUGCACAUUAAAAUAUAGUAAAAAAUAAUUUUUUUUUUACUCUUUGAACCUAUCUUUACAUUCAAUACAGUUUUGCUAAACCCCAAAUAUAUUUUCAUUAAACUUUAAUAGACUAGAGACAAUAUUCUUCUUUCAAGCCACAUAUUUUUGUUAAGUGGGCAUAUGUGAUUGGAUUCAGGGUAAUAAAGUUGGUGGUUAUCUCUUUGUUUGCAUUUGGCAAUGGGCAACAAUCAAGGACAAUUGUUGUUGACGGCAACAAUUCUUAUAAUUUGAUGGAUAUUGACUUUGUGGAGGAACAAUACAAUAUUAACAAUAAUUUGAAUCACGAACAGUAUGAAAUUCUUUAAUUCAUAUUUGAUUUUUGGGAUUUUUUUUUUCUAUUCGAAAUUGAUAGAGAGGUUUUCCAAAUGUAGCCUAUAGUUUUAGUAACCAUAUUCGAAAUGUAACUUGUAGUUUCAAUAACCAUAUUCUAUUAUAUGCAAGAUAUGUUUCCAUCAGAUCUAUCAAUUCUGAUACAGAUUCUGUGAUGGAUUAUAACAGUGAAUUUACAACUUAUGAGGUAACUUUAGAUUAUAAUCAACCUUGCAUUAAUGUUUAUGGAAUUUUAUUUAACAUCCAUGACAUUUUUGCCUAUCUAGACAUUCAAGAGUAGAGAACCAAUAAUUUAGUGAACUUGUGAUGUUAGAAAGAAAAAUGGUAUAAUGGUUGUCAUCAAGAGAUCUAAAAUUGGUCACAGUGGUAAAAGAUCAAGGAUCUUAUUUGGUUGUGACACAGGUGAAAAGUAUAAAAAUAAAUAAAUAAGAAGAAAGACAACAAAAAAGAUUCAAAAUAGAGAAUAACUGGUACAAAAGAUACGGAUGUCCUUUAAAAGUUAAACAUUUAUAACAAUUGGAUACUAAAUAUAGUGCGUUGAGUGCAUAAUUAUCCAAUUUUAAAAAUCUUGAACGUUACUCAUUUGCAGGGAGAUUAAUUGUAGAAAAAAGACCAAUAUUAGUUGACAUGUCAAAAAAUAUAGUAUAACUAAAAGAUAUUUUAGUCACUUAAAAAAAAGAUGUUUUUAAUGUUUCUACAAUGAAGUCAACAGAAAAUGUACUAUAAAGAUAUAAAGUGAUUGAGAUGGCUGGCAGAUCACAAAUGCGGCAACUUUUAAAUAAGUUAUCUGAAUUUAAUUACAUCAAGUGGGAUAGGUGUUAUGACAACAUAGACAUUGCAAAAGACCUAUUUUAGGCGCACCUAAGAGCAUGGAGUUGUUACACACAUUUCCUAGUGUUCUAUUGAUGGACUGUACUUACAAACUCAAUAAAUAUUAUCUUCAUUUUUUUUGAGAUUUUAUAGGAAUGGCAUCAACUGACAUGACUUUUAAUGUUGCUUAUACAUAUAUGAGUUCUGAGCGGGAAUAAAGCUACACAUAGGCUAGACAGAUUAAGGAGUUUAAUGGACAAUGAUUUUUUAUCUAAGGUCAUUCUCACUGACAGAAAGUUGGCUUUAAUGAAUGCCAUUGAGAAAAUUUUUCCUAAUGCAAAGCAUUUUUUAUGUAGAUGGCAUAUUGGUAUUGAUGUCAUAGCAAACUGCAAAAAGUUAUUUGCAGCAAAUGAUAAGUGGGAGAAGUUCAUAAUGAGUUGGAACUUAUUGGUAUUAUCUUUAAAUGAAAUUGAAUUCAUUGACCACUAUAAAACCAUGCACAAAUAUUUUGCAUAUCUUUUUGGAAGUGAUGCAAUAUGUAACAGAUACAUGGUUGAACAACUAUAAAGAAAGAUUUGUUUUAGUGUAGACUAGGAAUGACAAUGAAGAGGGGUGGGGGUGGGGAGCCAUACCCCAUUCCCUCCCUCCCCCAUUAAAAAUUUUGCCUCCAUUUCCCACCCCGCCCUUUAAUAAAUUUAGUGGGGCAGGGAUAAGAAAUUCACAUAUGGGGAGUGAUUUCUCCAUCCCUACCCCAUUUCUCAUUUGUUUAUUUUAUAGCAAGUAUAGAUAAAUAUCGAAUUUUCUUUUAGUUAUAACCUAUUUAUAUUAGGUAGAAAUAAAAAGAAAAUUUAUUAACUAACAUUAUAAUUGAUAAAACAAGAAUUAUUGAAUAAAAAUUAAAAAAAUUAUAUAUAAUAAGGAUUGGGGUAGGGGUGGUGUGGGAAGUACAAAAUCAAAUCUCACCCUAUUAAUAAUUUGAGAUUAUUUUUCCCCAAUUCCUUAUCCCAUUCCCUAAAAAUUAUUCAAAAUUUACCCCAUUUGGGGUGGGGCCUCAUGGGGCUCUAAACCCAUAGAAGAUUUUGCCGUCCCUAGCGUUGACAGCUAAAAGUAUGAUCUUUGGAAACUAGACAACAUAUAUAUAUAUAUAUAUAUAAUUUUAAUUUUACCAUUAACUUACUCAUCUAAUUUAUUCAUAUAUUAUCAUCAUCAUUAUCAUCUUUUUAAUAGGGUUAAAAGUGCACAAUCAAGGUUGAAGAAGUAUCUUUCCAUCAUUAAAGGAAAUUUUAAGACAUUAUGGGCAAAGAUACACAAUUUACUUGAGCUAUAGUACACAUAUAUUAAAGCAUCAUUUGAGAAAAUUUUGACAAUUGUGCAACAUCUAUUCAUGCCUAUGGAAUUCAAACAUAUCGAGGCUUCAUAUAUGUAAAUGCAUUAAGUAUAAUCCUUAGUGACCUGAAACGUGUUAAUUUAUAUUAGGGUUGACCACUCUGUAUGCAGGUUUGUUGUUUGCCAAAUGUAUAGUUUACCAUGUGCUCAUGAGGUUGCAGAAUACAAAAGAAAAUCACAGCUUAUUCUGCUUGAGGGAAUUAAUCUUCAUUGGAAAAAAAACUGAUUUAGUAGUUGUUACUUAGAAGCAAAAGAUGGAGUUAAGUUGUCAGCCAAAGUUUGCGUUAAUUUCUAAGCAGUUUAAUGAGAGUUCUAUUUAAAUCCAGUUAGAAUCCUAGGAGUAUCUUUCUUUUAGAUCCAAAAGUGAAGACAAGAAUACGAGGUCGACCAUCUAUCAAAGUUGAUACUUCUACCUAUCAUGACCCAUUUGCUUUUACGUUAGUAUCAUAUGGGCAAGAAAUUUGUUCAUUUACUGUGAAGAGUAAUUCAGUUCCAUUUGUUAAAUCAAAAGAUGAGGUUGAACAUAGAAAGAGACUAAAAACAAAGGCAAUACAAAUUUCCACUUAAGUUACUUAGUAAGUCAUUUAAUUUAAUUUUUUUAUUAUGUAUAAUACUUAUAUUUGGACGUUAACAAAAGUAUGUUAGUCAAAUCAACUACGUUCUUAAGUUAUUUUUGGAAGUAAGUGAUGUUUUUAAAAUUACUGGAGCAACACAGGAUACUUUAAGACUAAGGCUUUUUCCUUACUCCUUAAGAGAUUGAGCUAAACUAUGGUUAAACUCAUUACCAUCUAAUUCCAUCACUACAUGGAAUGACUUGGCUGACAAAUUCUUAAUGAAAUAUGUUCCACCAAUCAAGAAUGCAAAAUUGCAGAAUGAGAUCACUUCCUUUCACCAACUUGAAGAUGAGAGUUUGUAUGAGGCUUGUGAGAGAUUUAAAGAGUUGCUCAGAAGGUGUCCUCUUCAUGGCAUUCCUUGCUGUAUACAGCUAGAAACCUUUUAUAAUAGGUUAAAUCCAAGUAUGAGAUUGAUGGUUGAUAGUUCAGCAAAUGGAGCUCUGUUAUCUAAAUCUUACACUGAAGCCUAUGAAAUUUUAGAGAGAAUUGCCAAUAAUAAUUAUCAGUGGCCAUCAACUAGACAGACAACAGCAAGAAGAGCAGCGAGGGUACAUAAUAUAGAUGCAAUUACAACAUUAUCAGCACAAGUAACUUACUUGACUAACAUAGUGAAAGCCAUGACUUCUGCUCCUACAGCGGUAAAGCAAGUUGCUGAACUGUCUUGCGUGUAUUGUAGUGAGGAACAUGUAUUUGACAACUGUCUAGGAAAUCCAGCAUCAGUAAGCUAUGUGGGCAAUUUCAACCGACAGCCUCAAAACAACCCAUACUCAAAUACUUACAACCCUGGAUGGAAGCAACGCCCAAAUUUCUCAUGGAGCAAUCAAAAUCAAAAUGCUUCAACACUGAGUGGACAGAACAGAAAUACUCAACCACUUGGUUUUCAUCAGCAGAAUCAACGGCAAAAACACAUUAGCCAUGAUCCACUUACUUCACUGGAAACACUUAUCAAGGAAUACAUUGCGAAGAAUGAAGUAAUUGUGCAAAGUCAAAGUUGUAUCUCUAAGAAACUUGGAAAACCAAAUUCGACAGCUUGCCACAACAAUGAGUAGCAGAUCUCAGGGAAGUUUGCCAGCAAUACAGAAGAUCCAAGAAGAGAGGAAAAAGAACAUUGUAAAGUAAUCAACCUAAGAUCUAGAAAGAAUGUUGAUAUCCCUAUUGAUGUGACUAAAAAAAAGUUGGAACUUAACUCCUAAUAAGAACCACCUCAAGAUGAGAGCAUGUUACAACAACCCAGCCAUCAAGAUAUUGGUGCUAAUGGUCAAGCUACAACAACUUUGGAAGGGAAUCAACCAAUAAAUGCUGAAGAAGAAGUUGCAACACCAAUGGUGAACACUUACAAUAAAUCAAAUGAGCAGAGAUUGGUACCUCCUGAAGUUGCCCAGCAAUUUAAGCAUCCACCCCCUUUCCCACAGAGAUUCCAUAAAUAAAAACAAGACAAACAGUUUAGCAAAUUACUGGAAGUACUGAAGCAGUUACACAUCAACAUACCUUUCGUGGAAGCAUUGGAGUAAAUGCCUAAUUAUGUGAAAUUUCUAAAAGAUAUCUUGGCAAGAAAAAAAGGUUGAAAGAAUUUAAAACGUUGUUGUAACACAGGAAUGCAGUCACAUGCUUCAAAGUAAGAUCCCUAAAAAAUUAAAGGAUCUAGGAAGCUUCACAAUACCAUGUUCCAUUGGAACUAGGUACAAAGUCAAAGCACUUUAUGACUUGGGAGCCAGCACUAAGCUGGUGCCAUUAUCUGUAUUUAAGGAAUUGAGAGUAGGAGAGUUCAGGGCAACAACAGUCACUCUACAAUUAGCUGACAGAUCUCAUGCAUACCCUGAAGGAAAGAUUGAGGAUGUAUUGGUGAAGGUUGACAAAUUCAUCUUUCCUGUGGAUUUCAUUGUACUAGACUUUGAGGCUGAUAAAGAGGUACCAAUUAUACUUGGGAGACUUUUCCUAGCAACCGAGAAGACUCUGAUAGAUGUGCAAAAAUGAGGGUAAAUGACCAACAAGUCACCUUCAAUGUAUUAGAAGCCAUGAAUAACCCUGAUAAGGCAGAAGAUUGUAAUUUCCUGAGUGUUGUGGAUCUUGCUGUAGCAGACAGAAUAAAUAGAUGCUGCAGUAACGCGGUUAAUGAAGCUGCAACCUUUGAAAGCUUUGAAGAAGAAGAUGUUGCAGCAAAUUAGAUAGAUUGGAUGGGAGAAAGGCAAUCUAACAGACAUAGCAGAUUUAUUGAACCUUUAAAUCUUUCAGACAUGGAAGUAAAGACAACUUUACCAUCUAUUGAAUCACCUCAUACUCUUGAAUUAAAAUUGUUACCUUCACAUUUGAAAUAUGCUUAUCUUGGUCAAAACAAUACACUUCCUGUAAUCAUUUUAUCUACUUUGGAUGCAGAUCAAGAAAGGAGCUUGAUAGAUGUGCUUGAGAGAUACAGAAAAGCAAUUGGAUGGACUAUGGCAGACAUUAAAGGGAUCAACCCAUCCAUAUGCAUGCAUAAAAUUCUAUUAGAGGACUACUGCAAUAAUUCAGUAGAGCAACAGAGAAGGUUAAAUCUCAUUACGAAGGAAGUUGUGAAAAAAAAAUUUAUCAAAUGACUGGAUGCUGGGAUCAUAUACCCGAUAUCAGACAGUUCAUGGGUAAGCCCAGUUCAAUUUAUUCCAAAGAAGUGAGGAAUAACAGUGAUAGCAAAUAAAAAGAAUGAACUUAUUCCCACAAGAACAGUGACUGGAUGGAGGGUAUGUAUGGAUUACAAGAAGCUCAACAAAGCCAUACGGAAGGAUUACUUCCCACUUUUAUUUAUAGAUCAAAUGUUGGAUAGACUUGCUGGAAAACAAUAUUAUUGUUUCCUAGAUGGGUAUUCAAGCUACAACCAAAUUGUUAUAGCCCUAGAGGAUCAGGAAAAGACUACAUUUACAUGUCCUUAUAGAACUUUUGCCUUCAGAAUGAUGCCCUUUAGUUUAUACAAUGCUCCAGCAACUUUUUAGAGAUGUAUGAUGUCUAUUUUUUCGGAUAUGGUGGGGCAAACAUUGGAAGUCUUCAUGGAUGAUUUCUUAGUCUUCAGAGAGACAUAUAUUGAUUGUUUACACAACUUGGAAGAAGUUCUUAAAAGAUGUGAGGUGACUAACUUAGUACUCAAUUGGGAAAAAUGUCACUUCAUGGUGCAAGAAGGCAUAAUGUUGGGUCAUAAGGUGUCUAAGAGUAGCAUAGUGGUAGAUAAAGUGAAAAUAGAAGUGAUCGAUAAAUUGCCACCUCCCACUUCAAUAAAGGGGAUUAGAAGUUUUUUGGGUCAUGCUGGAUUUUAUAAAAGAUUCAUAAAAUAAUUUUCCAAAAUAGCUAAACCAUUAUGCUCAUUGCUAGAACAUGACAAGCUUUUUCAUUUUAAUAAAGACUGUCUUCAAGCCUUUGGAGAAUUGAAGAAAUCUUUGAUCGCUGCACCGGUGGUUAUAGCACCAGAUUGGACUCUACCAUUUGAGCUGAUGCGUGAUGCCAGUGACCAUUCUGUUGGGGUAGUGUUGGGGCAGAGGAAGAAUAAAGUUUUCCACUCUAUAUAUACUACGCCAACAAACCUCUUACUCAAGCUCAGAUAAAUUACACCACUACAGAGAAAGAGUUGCUAGCAAUAGUAUUUAUUUUCGAUAAGUUUAAAGCUUACUUGGUGGGUACUAAAGUGACAGUGUACAUAGAUCAUGCAGCCAUUAAGCACCUGAUCUCAAAAAAGGAUGCUAAACCGAGAUUAAUAAGAUGGAUCUUAUUACUUCAUGAGUUUGAUUUGGAAAUUAAAGAUAAAAAAGGGACUGAAAAUCAAGUAGCAGACCAUCUGUCUAGGCUAGAAGCAGACGCAAGCACAUUGAUAAAGAAAGACAUCACUGAAACUUUUCCUAAUGAACAACUGUUAGUAAUACAACAGGCAUAGAUGCUGCAGCAAUCCAAAUCUCCAAGGUAUGCAAAUUUUACUAACUACUUAGUAAGUUGAUUGCUACCACCCGAGUUGAAGUUUCAGUAGAAAAAGAAAUUUCUUCAUGAUGUGAGAAGUUACUAGUGGGAUGAGCCAUAUUUGUAUAAGUUAUGCUCAGAUCAAGUAAUACGAAGAUGUGCUUCAGAAGAAGAAAUUCCUUUUAUACUGGAAUCUUGCCAUGUUGUAGCAUAUGGAAGACAUUUUGGUGGUCACAGAACAGGUGCUAAGGUUCUGCAAUCAGGUUAUUACUGGCCUUCUAUUUUUAAAGAUGCUUAUGAGUUUGCUAAAUAUUGUGACAGGUUUCAAAGGACAGGAAACAUAACUCAAAGACAUGAAAUGCCAUUGACGAACAUUCUGGAAGUGGAGAUUUUCGAUGUAUGGGGAAUAAACUUCAUGGGUCCUUUUCCACCAUCCUUUGGGAACUUAUAUAUCCUGGUUGCUGUGGAUUAUGACUCCAAAUGGGUAGAAGCUGUAGCAUUACCUAUUAAUGAUGCUAGAGCAGUAGUGAACUUCCUUCAGAAAAGAAUCUUUUUCAGGUUUGGCACUCCACGAGCAAUUAUUAGUGAUGAGAGUACUCAUUUCUGCAACAAAGUAUUUGCUGCAGCUAUGGUGAAACAUGAAGUCGAGCAUAAAAUAGCAAUAGCAUAUCACCCACAAUCCAAUGGCCAGGCAGAAGUGUCUAAUAGGGAGAUUAAGAAGAUCCUUGAAAAAGUGGUGAAUCCAUCAAGAAAUGAUUGGUUAUUGGGCUUACAGAAUAGCAUACAAGACACCACUAGACAUGUCUCCCAACUGAAUUGUAUAUGGGAAAGCUUGCCACUUGCCACUCGAGCUAGAGCACAAAGCAAACUGGGCACUGAAGCAAUUAAAUUGGGAUAUACAUGCUGCAGCAGAGCAAAGAAAACUUCAACUAUGUGAGCUUGAUGAAUUACCGUUAUUCUCAUAUGAAAAUGCAAGAAUCUAUAAAGAGAGAACAAAACACUAGCAUGACAAACACAUUCAACACAAGAAAUUAAUCCAUAGUCAAUAAGUUCUGCUCCAUAAUACGAGGUUAAGACUAUUUUCAAGAAAGCUGAAAUCUAGAUGGUAUGAACCUUUCAAGCUGCUCAGAAUCUACCCUCAUGGAGCUGUUGAUCUCUUAGAUGAAAAGACAUACCAGGAAUUCAAAGUUAAUGGGUACAGAGUUAAGCAUUACAUGCAUUCAGCUACAUAUUGUUCAAAGGAGGUCUUACUCCUUAGAGAACUGGAAUUAUGAGCACUCAAGUAAGGUCAGGCUAAAGAACCUUAAAUCAAGCGCUCGAUGGGAGGCAACCCAUUGCUGAGGCAGUCGUUUCUAAUGAGAUGGAUCCUCCAUGGCUUUGUCAUAGAAUUUUUUUCUUUAUUUAUUUAUUAUUAUCUUUAUUUAGAAUGGUUUAACUUUUAUCUUUUCUUGUUUUGUUUUUUUCUUGUUACUCUAAAAAAAAAAAGUGCCAAGUCACACUUAUUAAAGUUAGAUUCAAUACUAACAAUUGGGGCUGUAAUGUUAACAGAUUACAGAGGCAAGCCACGUGUUAGCAGCUAUUUACGGAGAGUGUGUAACCGUUGCUAGAGCACACAAUUGGGUGCUGCAGCAACCAAUAUUACCGUUACAGUAACUUAAUCAAGGAGCCUCCCACUUUACCGUUGGAGAUAAUAUGUGAUAGAUGGUUGGGUUUUGGAUAGAAAUUGAGGAAGAAUAUCCCUUAAAUUACUACAUUAAUUUCUCUUGCCUAUUUUUAUGGGAUAUGCUUAAUAAAUUUAAAAAAUUAUUCCCUAAUUUAUCUCUUUUACUGAAUUUGUUUUCAUUUAAUUCCACCUAUAUAAGGGCGUCACUGUGCAUAUUGACCUCUAACACUAUUUUCUUUCCCCUUCGCAGUUCCGACUCUAAUACUUCAUAACUUUUUCUUCUCGUUUCACUUUUGGCAUAUUACCAUCGAAAUCUUACUGUUAUAGGAAUGUCGAGGUACAAAAGGACAACUAGCCAACUAAAAGAUCCCUACGAUUCCAAAGUUACCAUGCGGAAGAAAACUAUGAAGAAUUUAUUGAACUGCACAAGAUUAUGAAAGAAAAAGGGUUUUAGUUCCCAACUCAACCCUUAGGAAUUAUGCAAUCAUUAUACAAUGCUACAGCAAAGCGCUGGUGGUUGGAGUUUUGUAACCACCCUCGAGGCCCUGUGUUGCCAUUGGUGAAAGAAUUUUACGCCAAUUUGGUAAGCUCUGGUCAGCACAAUAUUUAGGUAAGAAACUCGCUUAUUCCAUUAGAUUCUCGAGUUAUAAAUGCUUUCUAUAAUUUACUUUCUGAAGUUAAUUGCGAGUAUGCCAAAUUGCUUGACAAAUUAACCCCACAAAGAUGGAACAAAAUUUUGACAACACUUACUGUAAAAGGUGCAUCUUGGGCUAAUGAAGAAGGGCGUGUGAUUAAUAGGAUAGAUUUGACACCCAUUGCUAAGGUGUGGGUGAAAUUUCUAAAAUUCAGACUUAUGCCAACCACCCACACCACUACUGUUUCACAAGAAAGGUUAGUAUUGUUGUAUGUUAUUGUUAGAGGGUUACCCAUAGAUAUGGGAAGCAUUAUCGAAAAAGAAAUUCGGGACUGUGCCAUGAAAAAUCACAAAGCAGCUGCCAUACUAUUUCCUUCACUCAUCACCAGCAUCUGUGUGGUAUCAAGAGUUCGCCUUGAUACAAAAGAUGAGCAUGUCAAGAAUAAUGGUGCCCUCACUGCACGCACUAUCGAAAGAAUUGAUGGUGAAGUUACUGGAGCCCCAUCUGAACCAGCUGUUGUAACAGGGGCAAGAAUAGUUAUUGGGUUAGAACAGAGAAUCUAAGCACUGAGCACCAGCAUCACCCAAUGUGCUGAAGCUCAGCAGAGGGAAAACAAUAGGUUUUGGAGCUAUUUGUAGCAUUUGGAAAACCACCUACACCAAUUUGCUGUAUAUAUGAAACGUGCCCACCGAAAUUUUCCUGAUUCAUUACUCCAACAAUACAAUUUUGAAACCGCCACUACAGAGGCUCCAACAGAAGUCAGUGAAGAAGCUACUGACACAGAUGAACCAGAGGAAGAAGCUACAGUAGAAUCGCAAGCAGAGGUCGAAACAGAUGCUGAUGAUCAAUCUGACCAACUCGAAGAAGAGGGUGUCAAAUCUGCAACUGAUAGUUCCCUGACAGAGGAAAAUGAAGAGCCUGAGAAAGAGCUCGAGGAACCCCUAGCCAAGACCUCCUCUAAAUCCAGAAAAAAGCAUAUCAUACAAGAAGAGGACGAUGAACCAAUAGAAGAGCCUCUUAUUCCAGUCAUUUCUAGAAAUGGUAAAAAGAAAGUAAUCACCCCUCCUGCCUUUGAUGAUGAAGCCGAGCAAAUUGAUGCAGAGCUGGAAGCUGCAGCAGCUAGAGUUACUCGUACACCCGCAGAGAUAAAGCAACUGCUUGAUAUCAUUGCCGCAAUUAUAGAUGAGGGAUAUGCAGCCGAAGCCCCAGCUCCAGCUCCUUCACAGCAAACUCCCAACAAAAAAAAAUGGGGCACUUCUGGAGGCGUUGCUGCAGCAGACAUACUAGAAAAAAAAAGGACCAGAUCUAUUUCAUCCAGGCAGACUGCACCAACUACAACUCCUCCCACUAGCCCGUUAUAGAAAAAGAAAUAGAUGUUGCCAGCUACCGCACCGCAAGCAUCCCCUAAAGAAUGGCUGCGGAGCGCAUAAAAAAAGCGCUGAAGUCACUGUACCUUGCUGUAGCAUUACCCCAGCAACAGGGGAGUACCCCCUACCUGCUAGUUUCCUUUAAUUUUUUUUCUUUUCUUCUAAAAAACUUGUCUUGCAUCUAGUUUUAAAUUUCUGAUUCAUUUUGCAUGUCCUUUUUAUUGUAAGCAUGUCUAGUUUAUAUGGUUUUCUCUUGUGUGUUUGUGAGGACACAACACCUCUCAAGUUUGGGGGGGUUGUGUUUCUAAUUACAUGUGUUUAUGCCUGUGUUGUGUGUUGUGUGAGCUCUGUUAUCUAAUAUUUGUGUAUGGAUUUGAAGACCUAAUGAAGAUAAAUUGAGUGUUCAUGAGAGUGCCAAGCAGAGAUAGCUAUAGAUGGAGGUUGAAAUUCUAUCCUGACACUUAGACUUUGGUUGAGUUUUAUGAGAAUGUUGUAGCAAAGCCAAGAAAACAAAAAGGAGUAGGAAAUAUCUCAAGUUUGAGGGAAAAUUUUAGUUGAAUUGUACUCAUUAUUAAAAUAAAUUUGGCUCCAAUGGCUCAAGUUGCUGAGUAACCAGGCCUGAGUAUGUACCCCAUAUGCAGACUUGAGUCCAAAGGCAACAAAAGUUAUGAGCAUUGCUGUAGCAUCUAUGGCGUAAAAAAAAAUCCUUUGUCUAGGAUAUUGAGUAGUCAAGUCUGUUCAUGAGCCUCAUGUUCAGCCUUGAGUUAAAAGAUAUCUUUAGAUAAGACUAUGCUAUGAGUAUUGCUACAGCAACUCUGAUCUGUGCAUUGAUUGAGUAAUUAGGUGUCAUCAUUACAAGUGAUCGACAUUCACAUGAAAAAUAAAUGUUGCAGUGACGAGGGUUAGGUGUUCUUAAAAAAAUAUUUUUUUUUGUUUUGUUAUAGCACAGUUUGAGUAUAUGUAUGAUUUCUGCUCCCCCAUAUGUGAAUAUAUUUGUGUUCUACCUCUGAAUUAUAUGCAAUGUCUUUGUAAUGUUGUAGCACCUCUAAAACUUGAUCAAAGUGGCACACACACACUCUGGACCGAAUGAGGCCUAAGUCUAAAACUUGAACUGCUGUGGCAAUUUUAUAUGAUUAAGAAUGUGAUCUAAGGGUAGACGAAUCCUUGCAAAAUUCAUGACAGAGCUAAGUUAUUUGUUGCAUGAUUGUGUAAUUGAAGAGUGAGUGUUGUUGUCAUUACUUGAGGACAAGUAAUGGUUUAAGUUUGGGGGUGUGAUAACUCUAUGAAAUGAGAGUUAUCAUGGCACUUUUAGACUUAAAUCAAUAAUACUUAGAGAGUAAAUGAUAUGUUUUCAUUGUGGUUUUGUUAUAUUUCGCAUAAACAUUCAUUUCAAUUUAGUUUUAGUAAAUUUUGCUUGAUUUAGAGUAAUUUGUGCUCAAAUUGUGUGCUUAAUUGUAGGUGUCCAGAAGCUUAUUUUUCAUGGAAGGAAUGUUGUUGCAAUAGCUCACAAAAAUGAGGAAGAACAUGACUACAUAAGAAUUGAAACAAAAAUUGGAACAAUGUGGUGCUGUAGCCGUUGUUGGAGCAGUCAUUGCUGUAGCAAUCCUGGAACAAUGAUAGAGAAAAUUUAGCGCGGGAUAUAUGCAGAAUCAAUAUCUGUAGUUUCCUAAUCUGGCUUAUGCGUGCCCUAGUUUUCCGUUUUACCCUAGUUUUUCAGAUAUAAAAAGGGCACGCAUCAUAUGAAAAAAGGUGGCGAAUUAACAUUGGAGAAAUCAAAGGGAAAAGGAGAACAAAAUCUAAAUUCACGGGAAAGCAAGUUUGCACCAGUGAAGAUAAACCAGUAGAACUAUUGUGGAUUCAAUUUUCAUCGUUCUUUUCUUGUUCUUUUACUUACUCUUUGAUUGAAUCGAUGUAUUUCAUGGCUGAUAUUUUGUUAUUUGUUUUACUUUUUCAAAGUAUGAACAAAACUUGAUUGUAGUUGAGUGACAAACAAUCUAAAUGGGUUUUUGACUGUUCUUAUGAGUUGUUGUAUGAUUUCUGUAGCAUUUUACUCUAAUAGCUAUUAUUAUAAUCGUUAUUUCGGUUGACCACCCAUUUAAUGAUUCAAGUUAAGAUAGAGCCGCAAAAGGGCUUGUCUUAGUGGAAAUUAUUAGAGUAAUACUUGAUCUUAAUUUAAGUUUCCUGGACUAAGUUUACUUAAGUCCCAAAAGGGCUAUAUUUGAGUUCAGAUUUGUGAAGACCUAGACAUAGGAAUUCACCUUGUAGGGUAAAGAGAAUGUAUGCUCAUAAUGCCAUACCGUAUGUGCAUUAACAACUAGUCAUUGUUAAGGUGCUUAAGGGUAUGAGAAAUCUGACAAAUGACAACUGAGGAUGCAAAAUAAUUCUGCCCAGUGCUGUAGGAAUUGUUGUAGCAACUGGUGUUAAUUUAGACAAAACAGUCAUCCUUGAAGAGAGUUUGAUCAUUCAGCUACCUCAUUCUCAUUGAAUUCUUCUUACGCAAUUCAUUUAAUUUUUUUUAUUACUGCAUUGAUUUGUUUUAUUUUUGUUUUUCUUUUAUUGUUUAUUUCGGUAAAAAUUCACUUUUAAUUAGAUCUUUUUUUAGAACAAAGGAAGUUUGGACUAUCGUGAUUGUUGUAGCCUUUCUAGUAACACCAAUCCCUAAGGAGACGAUCUCGAAUAUUCAUCACUUUAUUACUUGUUGUGUCCACUUACGCAUUGACAUUAAUAGCAAUUGAGUUUAUUUACCAACAUUGGGCAUUCAACUUCGGGACUUCUGGUGCGGUGGGAGAUUCAGCUUGCGGGUACGGGCCUUAUGACAGCGGCUCGGUGUCACUCAUGAGGCAACGAUUGGACAUCAAUUCAAGCGCAGGAGACUGGGUAUUCAGCAGCGGUAAGAGACUUGAGCAAUUGAAUUUUGGUGAAUUUCAAAUUCAGAUUUAGUUGGAUAUUGGUGAGUUUUAUGAAUUGUGAUUUGGGGAAAAUAAAGAUUCCUAAAUUAUUAUAUUUUUUUGUAUUUUUUUAUAAAUAUUAAUAAAAGUAAAUUUAUAAAUUAUAAUUUUUUUUUUUUUCAAAAAGCUUACCCUGGUUGCAGCCUUGGUUACCCUACCUUGAGCUUCGCCUCUGUUUUUCCCUUUUCUCAACCUCUCACUCCUAAGUAGCCUCUUCCACUGUAUAAUUCAUCCAACGAACCUUAACUAGUGGAAUGACUCAGGCUCUUAAGACUUGCUCCUUCUCAUCAACAAUCUCUAUUGGUUGUUCUUCGUAAGUCAUAUCAUUUGAUAUUUGGAUAGGUUAGUAAUCCAAAACGUGAAAAGGAUCAGUAAUGUACUUCCUUAAAACUAACACAUGAAACACAUUGUAAAGCCUUGAUAGGCUUGGAGAUAAGGCUAUUCGAUAAGCACCUGCACCAAUCUUCUUAAGAAUCUCAAAAGGCCCAAUAAACGGUGGGCUGAGUUUGCCUUUCUUCCCAAAUCGAAAAACAUCCUUCCACGGUUAGACUUUUAGGAAGACAUGGUUUCCGACCUGAAAUUCUAAAUCUCGUGUAUGCCGAUCAACAUAACUUUUCUCUCAGCUUUGAGCUGUACGGAGAUGUUAUCUGCUAAGCUUAAUCUUAUCCGCAAUAAUCUGAACCAACUUUGGCCCUAAUAACUUCCGCUCGCUAACUUCGUCCCAACAAAUGGGCAAUCUACACUUCCUCCAAAGGCAAGUGAUCUCCCCAUCUAUCUCCCAACUCCAGGACACAAGCUCGCAACAUGCCCUCAAGAGUAUGGAUAAUUCUUUCUAACUUACCAUCUGUCUGAGGAUGAAAAGUUGUACUGAAAUAUAACUUGGUACCAAAACUCUUAUGCAAGCUAGCCCAAAAAUUUACAGUAAAUCAUGGAUCUUUAUCUGAAACAAUAGACACCGGCACUCCAUGCAAUCUCACUAUCUCUUUAAUAAAUAGCUCUGCCAACUGCCAAAGUUUGCAAGUACAUUUAAUUGGUAAUAAGUGAUUUGACUUAGGCAAUCGAUCAACGAUAACCGAAAUAGAGUUUCUACCUUCUUCAGAGUGUGGUGAUCCACUUAUAAAAUCCAGUGUGAUAUGCUCCCACUUCCAUUUUAGAAUAGAAAGUGAUUGAAGAGUCCCUGCAGGUCUUUGGUGCUCAGUCUUCAUCUGCUGAUACACCAAACAUUUUGCUACGUAUCCAGCAACAUUAUUUUUCAUAUUCCUCCACUUGAAAUUUUUCUUCAAUUCUCGAUACAUCCUAGUUCUACCUGGAUAUGCACUAAAAGUUGUAUCAUGAGCCUCUCUUAUUAUCUCAUUCUUUAACUUCUCAUCAGUUGGUACACAAAGUUGUUGCCUCACCCAUAAAACACCAUCAUCAGCUACUCUAAACUCAUAGCGAUCACUUUUUACUUCUUCAACGAUCUUUCUGAGUUCAGGAUCUUCCUUUUGUGCUGUCUUGAUUCUGUCUAUCAAGGUAGGCUAAACACUCAAGUCAUAUAAAAUAUCCAUCUCACCAUGUGCAACCACUUUAAUCCUAAUCUUUCUGAGGUCCUCUAGCGUAUGGCCUUGAGUAGUAAUCAUAUGUGCCAACCCACCAGAUGAUUUCUUACUUAGAGCAUCGACCACUACAUUUACCUUAUCAGGAUGGUAAUCGAUCGAACAAUCAUAAUCCUUCACCAGUUUUAGCCAUCUUCUUUACCUCAAAUUCAAAUCCUUCUGGUGAACAAAUACUUCAAACUCUUGUGAUCCAUAUAGAUCUCACAAGUCUCAGCACAAAGGUAGUAUCUCCAGAUCUUCAAGACAAAAACUAUUGCUGUUAACUUUAGAUUAUAGGUUGGAUAAUUCUGUUCAUAAGUCUAAAUUGUGAUGAAGCAUAAGCAACCACUUUACCAUGUUGCAUCAGCACACAUCCCAACCAUUUUCUAAAAGCAUCACUGUAAAUAACAUAUCCACUACCACCAAAUGAAAUAGUCAAAACAGGUGCAAAGACCAAUCUAUUCUUCAACUCUUGAAAGCUCUUCUUGCAAUCCUCAUUCCAUUCAAACUUUACAUUCUUCCUAGUCAACUUCAUCAGAGGAAUUGCAAGAUUGGAGAACCCAUUCACAAAUCUCUGAUAGUAUCCAGCCAAGCCUAAAAAACUCAUAACUUCAGUAACGUUAGUCGAUCUUGGCCACUUUAUUGUGGCCUCAACCUUAGCUGGAUCAAUUGAUAUACCAUCCUUAGAAGCUACAUGCCCAAGGAAAAUAACAUGAUCUAGGCAAAAUUCACACUUCUUAAACUUUUGAUAAAGUUUCUUCUCUUGAAGUGUUUGAAAAACUACCCUCAAAUGGUCCUCAUGCUCUUCUAUAGUCUUAGAGUACAACAAAAUACCAUCAAUAAAUACAAUAACAAAUCAGUCAAGAUACGGUUGAAACACUUUAUUCAUCAAGUCCAUGAAGGCUGCUGGGGUUCGUUAACCCAAAAGGCAUUACCAGAAACUCAUAAUACCUAUAUCGAGUAUGAAAAGCAAUCUUAGGUAAAUCAUUUUUCACCUUAAACUACCAGUAACUAAUGCACAACCACUUAAAUCCAUCAUGCUUUUUUAUAAAAAAUACUAGAGCACCCCAAGGAAACACACUAGGGUGAAUAAAACAUUUAUCAAGAAGUUUUUGCAGUUGGAUUUUGAACUCUUUCAGUUCGAUUAGCGCCACCUGAUAGGGUGCUUUAGAAAUAGGUGCGGUGCCAGGCAAUAAAUCUAUUGAGAAUUCAAGUUCUCGAUUAGGAGGCAACCCAUGCAAAUUUUCUAGAAAAAUGUCUGGGAACUCUCUGACCACACGAAUGUCACAAAGUGAAACUUCACCACUGUCAUCAGCUACCACAUAACUAGGAAGCCCUUAUAUCCUUCGGUCAACAUCUUAUGAGCUUUUAGCAUAGAUAUCAACAAGCUGCUUCUAUUUUAUUUGCCUUGAAAAUAGAGCUUAGACUCUCCAAGAAUAGUAAGUACUUCCUCAAAAAAAUAAUGAACAUUAGCAUGAUAUGUUGCCAAACAAUUCAUCCCCAAAAUAACAUCAAAAUAUUGCAUUAGAAUUGGCAGUAGAUCAAUAAUGAAUUCUUUGUCAUGAAAACUGAUUGGGCAAGACUUAUAAACCCGAUUCACUAUCAUAUUAUCAUCCAUAAGAGUAGCAAUAGAUAGAUAACACGCAAGUGGCUCAGUAUUUCUAUCCGCAUGACAAGCAAAAGCACAUGAUACAAAAGAGUGUAUAGCACCAGAAUCAAAUAACAUUCUAGCAUCUUUAGAAAAUAAGGAUGGAGUACCUGUCACAACAUCAUUAGAUGGCUCAGUAUCCUGCUCUGUCAUCGCAAAUACACAACCUUAAACCCUGGGCUUCUUCCUCUAACUGUCAUCAUCUUGGGUACGAUUACCAUCAUUACGCUUCUUAGGACAAUCACUGAUCUUAUGUCCCAUUUGCCCACAGCAAAAACAUGCACCCAUGAAAAAAAGGUCAUUUACUUCGAUGCAUCUUUCCACAAGUUUAGCAUGGAGGAAUAUUUUUUGGAAAGGAAGAUCCAUCACCUUUCUGUGAAGACUUGUCACCCCCACUUGUACUUUUCUGAUUAUUAUUAGAGCUUUUCCCUUGUGAUCCUCCCUGCAGCCCAUGCUUCUUCCACUGUUGUUGUCUCUUCUAGGAUCUAUUAACAUGUGUCUCCCUAAAAAGGGCCCUAUCCACCAAAUCAUCAUAAUUUGUUAUCCUCAAGGGCUCCAAAGGAUCUCUAGUAGAUGAAUUUAAUCACUCAAUGAAGCGUUUACAUCUCUUCUCCUUAUUAUCAACCAACGUUGGAGCAAAUCGAGAUAAGGUAUUGAAGGUGUCCUCAUACGCCGCCAUAAACUUACUACCCUGAAUUAAAUUCAGAAACUUUCUUUCCAUCUUCUCGACGACACUCCAAGGAAAGUAUUUCUCGUAGAAUGCGUCCAUGAACAUCUUCCAAGUAAUUGUUCCUUUACAUAGGUUGUUCCUCAACAAUCGGGCCCUUCCCUCUCACUAGUGAUCCGCCUCGCCUUGAAGCACGAAUGAGGCAAAAACCACCCUUUGCUCAUCAGUACAACUGAUAGCCUCUAAUAUCUUCUGUACUUGCUUCAGCCAUGCCUCGGCUGCCAUAGGGUCAGUUGUCCUACGGAACACAUGUGGCCCUAACUUUUGGAAUUACUCUAAAGUCGCCACCAUUUUGCCUCUAGCAGCAGCACCUUACCCUCUGACUCUAGCAUUCUGAGCAGGACCACCACCUUGAGCCAUCCCCUCAAUCAACCUAGUUUGUCUCUGCAUAAUAUCAGCCAAUGCUUGAUUUCUUCAGGAAUAUGACUUCAAUCAUAAUUAUAACCACGAUCUUUAGCAUGUUUAUAACUUCGUCAUGACAAUGAUUUUGACCAUGUGUCUAUGUGAUAGAAUUUUUCUUCAAAAACUAACUUUGUGCCUUUAAGGUUAGCGCGUUUUGUGCCUAUUAGGUUAGUGAGCUCAAUAUUGUUGUUGCAAAAUCAUGUUUAAAGCAUGAAAUGUUGAGCAUGUCUUCUUUAUCAAUAAUUUUCUUUCCACAUAUCUUCAACUGUAAUGUCAUUUUGUAAAGCCCAGAGUUGUGAUAAUGGGCUAAUUUGAAAAAUUACUAUCAAAACUGAUUUUAUUUGAGUGAGGAAUUCUGUCUUCAAUUAAGACUUCAUGUCAAUUCAAGCAAUAACUUCCUUUCAGUUGGAUGAGCUUGAUUAUGUUACUGAGUCUUAUAGCUUCCGGAUGACUUAUUGAGACAUAUGGCUUCUAAUUACUGAGAUAGAAUUCAAGAUAAAUAAUUUUCACCAAAAAUACUGUAGGCUUCAAAUUCAUGCUUCAUUGGAUUUGUCAUCUUCAAUACAUCUUUUGGGCUUUUAGAAUAUUCAAAUAUGUGGCUUCAAAUGAGUAGGCUUCAGUCUUGAUACUUUAAGGAUCCAAUCAGAAUUUUUUAUGCUUCAAUCUUGGUUUUGUACGCUUUGGUCUUGACUUAUGCUUCUGUCUUGACUUAUGCUUCUGUCUUGUACGAUUUGGUCCUUACUUAUAACUUUAGAUAUAUAAAAUAAACAAGAAGAAAUACAAUAGCUAGUCAUAUUUUUUGAUGUGGAAGAUCCAAAUUAAUGACAACUUCAGAGUAUAUUUAUAAAGAUAGCUUUAUUAAUUAAAUAGAUAAAAUAAAAGAACAAGGGAUAAGAUACUUCCUGCACCAAAAUGAUAGUCAUGCUAGCUAAUAACGUGUUAUAAUCAUUGACAAUAUAUGUAGAAAGUAUUAAUUAAUAAAUACACGAUAUAAAUUAAUAAAUACAUGAUACAAAGGAAGGUGAUAUUUUUGUAAUUGAUGAGGUUUCAAUUUAGGAUACAAAUCACGAAGAGCCGUGCUCUCUAUUUAUAGGAUCCAUUAGCCAAUCAAAACAAAGCCAAGCCUUAGGGCAUGUCAUGAUCAGAACACCCACGCUUGAUUGGCAGGUAAAAACUCAUUUGGUCCCUAUAUUUUGAGGUUAGUGUCCGUUUAGUCCCUACAUUUUUAAAAAUACCUCAAAUUAUCCCUACCAUUAAAUUAUUGACAUCCUUACCAUUACUUUUUGUUCAUUUUAACUUUUUUUUAUAAUAUUACCCUAUUACAAUAAAGUUCUUUUUUUAGACAUUAUUAAAAAGAAAAAUCAAAUUACCAGUUUAAGACCAAAAAAUAAAAUAAAAACAAUAUAUAUAUAUAUAAAUUUUUGUGGAACACUCUGCUGAGGAGUUAAAAUAUUAAUUUUUCUAAAAAAUUGAUAAUUUACUUUUUUACACAAUUAAUUUUUUUGGACACACAUGAGCUUCCACAAAAAUUAAUAUAUAUCUUUUUUGUUUUUAUUUUAUUUUUGGGUUUAAUUUGAUAAUCCAAUUUUUUAUUAAUAUCCAAAAAAGAAACAUUGCUGUAAGAGUGUAAUAUUGUAAAAACAUGCUAAAAAAAAUAAAAAAUAAUGGCAUAAGUGUCAAUAUUUAAUAGUAAGGAUGUUUUGAGGUAUUUUUAAAAAUAUAAGGAUUAAAUGGACACUCAUAAUAUAGGGACUAAACAAGCUUUUAUCCCUUGAUUGACAUAAUUAGCUCUUUAGCCAUCCAAUCUCUUCAGAUGUUUUGUUGAAUGGCCAAUCAAAGCAAACUGUGUGUAUUUGAUGGUCCUGUUUCAAUUUUUCUUAGGUGAUUUUCCGAGCUUUACUACUAGCUGACUUUGCUCACCCAAAUAACUUAGCUAAUUAACUAUAGCUAGUUAAAUUGGUCUAAGCUGAUAGUGGAUAGCCACCAAUUUCCAUUACGAAUUAAUUAAAAAUCUAUACCUAAUCCAAUAAGAAGACUUAUCUUUGUUGAAUGUUGCUCUAUCUUGUUGAAAUUUUGCCAUUGAAUAUGAUGAUUAUAGAAGACAAAAGCGUAAGGACAAGCAUGCUAAUGUUGAAACCAAGCAAAUGCGGCACCUUCGGAAAAAAAAAAAAAGUAAGGUUUUUCAGAGCAUGGUAAUAGUAGUGAAACAAUGAAUGACACAUGUACAAAAAAGAAUAUAAAAGCACACAAUAUUAAAAGACAAACAAAAUUAAUUACAGGAUAAAAAAUACACCACAGGAUAAUAAUUUUUUAUUUUUAUAUAAUUUUUAUUAAAUUUUGUAUUAUUUUCUAUGCAUAUAUCAUUAUUCAUAAUCAUACCGAGUGCACGUCGUAAAAACUGCACAUGAAGAUGUGUUAUGGCUUCAUUUCAUCAUCCAAGACGCAUCCUCUUAUCCAAUUACUUUUUAAAUUCUUUACACCAGUGGACCACAAAAUAAGACAACCUGGACCUACAUGCAUUUACACAAACUGAAUCGCAAACAAACUCUGCUUUGAUCUCUUUCAUUGAACCUGAACGAGAACUGUCAAUGAUAGACAGCCAACUUUGAUUGAACUUGGACUAGAUCGAGUAAUAAUAGAGAGCCAAUUCUAAAUAGUAGCGAAUUCAAAGGAUUAAAUUACAUAAUAACAAAAUGUAAUCAAUAAUAAAAUUUUAUACAUUAAUGAGUUUGUGGAGGUUACUUUAGUAAAUUUAAUAGGGCUAAAUUAAAUAAUAGUAAAUUUGACUACUGUAAACAUUUAUUUUUUUAAUUAAAGUAUGAGCUUUUAUAUGUUUCAUAGUCAAAAUUUAAAUUUUAUAGGUUUAUGAAUUUAUAGACCUAUUUUUAUAAAUUUAACACGAUUAUUUUAAUAAAUUUAAUGGUUCUAAUUAAUAAUUCAAACAAUUAUCUCAUUAAUUAUUUUUAAAUUAUUUUCUCCAUUGGAAGCUUGAACUCCUAAUGGUCAUGAGGUGAAUCUGCCUUUAAACUCCGCCAUCUUAACCCCAUAAGAGAGCAAAGUCGUAGUUCAAUACUUCUAUAGAUACCUUUAACAGCUUAAAUUAAUGACAAAAUUAUCCCAAAAAAAUUCUCUAAGUGGAGUUGAUGUGGGCUCAUUGAUGAAGUCCAUACCAUCAUCUUUGCGAAGAAAAGGGAAUCUUUGAAAAUUAAAGGAAGAAUGAAAAGUUCGGUCAAAAUUUAACGCUUUAUGAGCUUGUCCUCGUUCUGGGCUUCCGCAGAUAGACCAUACCAAAUUAAUUUCUAACUAAAAUUUGUCUGUUCGUCUACUACAUCAAAUUCUAAAACCUAUAUAAAGAAGAAACGAAACAAGUGAUCAGUAGAUUUAUCUCAAUUCUACAUUGUCAACACUUAUUUAGAAAAAAACAGAAAAGAUGGCAGAUAUGUUCGUUAAGCAGGCAAAGCAAUACGCGGAAGCACGACCAAAUUAUCCAGAAGAAUUGUUCAAAUUCAUUGCCUCUAAAACACCCAAACACGAGCUUGCAUGGGACGUCGGCACCGGAAGCGGCCAGGCCGCUGCAUCCGUAAGUUUACUUUUCACAUCUUUAGAUUUUAUUUUUGAAUAAUACAAAAGUUCCAUAUUAAUAUUUCAGAAUUCUGAUCCCAAGCUAUAAGAAAGUUGAAUUAUAUAAUUGUUAAAUUCAGGGAUAGCAGAAAUUCUCAUGGGAUGAGUCUUGAAGGAUUUUUCCCAUUUGUGUAGGGUGUGGGAACAAUUUUAUAUCUCAAUUAAAAUUCGGGGAAUGAACAUAGAUAACUUAACACUCAAUAUCUUAUACAAGGAGAAGAUGAGGAUUCAGUGAAUUCCUCAUCUCUCUCGUUUCCCCAUUUUUUAUUUUAAUUUUUAAUUUUAAUUUUAUUUUAUUUCUGUUAAAAUUUUUAGUAAUUAUAUUUAAAAUUUAAAUUGUGAUGGUAUGGAUAUAAAUAAAAAAAAUAUCACAAUAGAUAUGAACACUUGAAGAUUGACGAAGAUAAUUUUCUUAAUGAUUUAUACCAUGUGACUUUUAUGUAUGUGUUCAACCCUGAAGUUCUAUUUUUACUUAAUUUCAUAGAUUAUCUUGUAAUUUUGAUGACAUUAAUUUAAUUAGUUUGAUGAAAAUGAUUUUAAUGAUUGAAAUUUGUUUUGAUGUAUUUGUGUUGUUAAAUGAUUUAUAUUUUUACUUUAAUAUGAUUAAAUCAAGUUAAAAAAUCAGUUGUUCGGGAUCGAGUGUCUUUGGGGAUCUCCAUCCCUAUCCUCAAGCAAUUUUAAAAAGGAUGGGGAGAGUACAAGGAUACAAGUAGAGUAUCAGAAAUAGAUACAGGAAUGUCGAUCUCCUCCCAUUGCCAAUCCCUAGUUAAAUCCCUAUUAUUUUCAUUGAUUAAUUAUGUAUGUAUUAUCUACAAAUCAAUAUCCACAUUAUCUCGAAAUUUAGUCGUGAGACUAGUACAGAAAAAUCUUAUCUAACUACCAAGGAGGGAACUAGAGUAUCCCGGCAACCUUGAGGAUGAAAAAAAAAAAAAACACAAAAACUGAGUAUGGGUUGAAAUUUCACCAUGUCUAUGGAAUUUUUAUAUAUGGCCUUCUCAAUUUUGUGUACUUUUGUUAUAGCCUCCUAUAUUUUAUAUUUUUUCUCAAUUAUAUGUCUUCAGCUUGCACCAAUCUACAAGAAUGUCAUUGCUACAGACACAAGCCCAAAACAGCUAGAAUUCGCAAUAAAGCUCCCCAACAUUCGGUAUCAACUUACUCCUCCAACCAUGUCCAUAACUGAGCUUGAACAAAAUGUGGCAACACAAUCAAGUGUAGAUCUAGUGACAAUUGCUACAGCACUACAUUGGUUUGACUUGCCUCAAUUUUACAAACAAGUAAAAUGGGUACUCAAAAAACCUAAUGGAGUAAUAGCGGCAUGGACCUACUACUGGCCCAAAAUCAACGAGUUCGUAGAUGCAGUUUUCAAGUCAUUUCACUCCGUUGAUUAUGAGCCAUUUCGGGAACCACAACCUAAAUUGGUGGAGAACAAGUACAUGAGCAUUGAUUUUCCAUUUGAGCCUGUAGAUGGGGUGGAUAAUACGGGGCCGUUUGAUCAGUUUGUUUUAGAGAAGUUGAUGGAUUUAGAUGAUUACUUAACGUUCAUACAGUCAAGUUCAGGUUAUCAGACGGCUAAGAACAGGGGUGUUGAGCUUUUGACAGACAAUAUGAUGGAGAAGUUUAACGUUGCUUGGAAUUCAGAUGGCCAGAGUAAAAAGGUUGCUCGAUUUCCACUUUAUCUGAGAAUUGGAAAAGUAGAAAAUUAAUAAUAGUUUAUUCAAGCUUUAAUACAUAUUGUUGAUGAUGAAUCUAGUCGAGUUGAUUUGUCGGCUUGCAACCAGACCUCCAUGUCAGUAUUUAAAUUUAUACGUAGGAGAGCGGUUUGUCAAUCUCUUGAAUUUUCAGCAGGAAUCCACGAACUCGAACAAAAUUCUCCACGAACACUUACUAUAACAGAAAUCAAUAAUUGGCAUUAGAAGUUUUUCUGGCGUUGAAAUUAAUUUUUUGGAUUUAUUAAAAAAAUAGAAAUAGUCCCUGGUUUUUAGUAUAACAGAAACAGAAAGAAGACACGUCCAUAAAGAGAGUGAAAAGUAAAAGAUAGUCUAAAGAGAGAAAAGUUGAAUUUGCAAUGAAUCACUUCAUUUUUAUGAAAAUUUAGAUACUAAGCUUGGAGUAUAAGUUGUGAAAACCGAACGUCUUGUUGCUUCAUUUCAUCAUCCAUGGUGCAUUCUCUUCAUUCUCUGUAUCGGUUCUAAUUUUAUCGGAUGUUCCAAAGAGACCACGAUGGAUCCUGUGUUUCCAUUAAUAUUAAAAUUCUUUACAACAAUGAACCACAAGGUAAGACAACCCGGACCAACAUUUACAAUAAUUGAAGCACAAAGGAAAAAAGCCAAGUCCAUGCCUAUUUAAUCUUCGUAAGUUUUAAAAAGUUAAAAAUGAAAAAUCGGGGUCAAAAUUGAACACUUCUAAGGUUUCCCAAGUUCAAUUUGGCUUCGCCUGAUAACUCCUACCAUAUUAGCAUCUUAAUUUUACUGAUAUAAUGUUACAGCCAGCUUUAGUUUUUAUUUUCUUUAAUGGCCCCCCGUAGAACCAAAACCCUGGAUUGCUACCUACCCUAACUUUAUAUUUGUAUGUAAAUUUUCAACCAGCUGGGGUGUUAAAAAAUGUUAUAGGCUCAGACCCAAGCCCCAAACAAUUAGAAUUUUGAACAAAGCUACCGACGAUUGGAUAUCGCUGCACUGCACCACCAAUGUCCUGAACUUGAACAAACUGUCGCAGCACAAUCAACUAUAGAUCUAGUGACAAUUGCUCAAGCCGUGCACUGGUUCGACCGAGUCAUUUUUAGUUUUACAAUCAAGUCAAAGGGGUACUCAAAAAAUCCAAUGGUGUAAUAGCUACGGUGGAGCGGCACAGUCCCAGAAGUGAACAUAUCCAUCGAUGCAGUUUUCAAACCGUUUUACACCGUUGAUUAUGAACCAUAUUGGGACAACGUUAAUCGGUGGAAAACAAGCACAUGACAGAUUUUCGUUUGAGCCUUCGGAUGGAGUGUUGUGUAAAUUAGCAAGUGUACGUACUAGUUGACUCAACUAAAAUAAUGAAGAGUAGAGUAUCAUUCCACGAAGAUUGUAUAUCUUAUUAGAUACUGAAAUUAUUCUAACUCUAAUUUAUUUGAAUAACCAAAUAAGUGAAUUUAAAUUACAAACUUAAUAAAAUAAAAUAACUAAAAAUUAAAUAAAGAUGCAAGUAGUAAUAGAAAUCACUAAGAGAUUUAGACACUAUGACAUCUGGUUUCACCAUAACCAAUUCAAUUUAAUCAUCCAUUUAUGUUAUUAAAGAUUAUUACUCAUGUUGACAGUGAAUUUCCCUAAUUUAUUCAAUAUCAUCUCCCGAAUAAUAUCAAAAAUACCCCCACAUAUUAACUAACUAUAUCUCCAUGUAAAUUUAAAUAUGUAAAAAUUCAUUAAGCUCUAUAGAAAUUCUUAGAUAAAACUGCACGAAUCACGCUGGCGCAUCUUUGUCUUUCAUUCAAUUCACGACAUUCAUUACACAGAGCAAAAAUACAUAAAUUUCCUCUUGGUCUCUUUACGUAUCCUCAAAUCAUUCAAAUAUUGGCCAAAUAUUUAAAAGCAUUAAGCACAAUAAUGAGCACUCAAUCAUGGAAUAACAAAUUAAAAGUAACAUAGAUUUAUGAAAUUAAAUUUUCAUAGUUAUGCUACAUCGUAGCUCUAGUAAAAUAAAUUAUUUCAUAGGAAUAUAAAAGAAUUCAUAAACAUUUUAGGGAACAUUCAAGUACAACAAUAGAAAAGAGGAAAAGAAAAACUCAAGAAUUAAUCCGGCUUCUCUUUGGAUGUCUUAUAGCUGCUUCUCCUUGAUUCUGUUUGUGCGCCUGCUUUAGCUUUUGCCCUGUUUUCUUCUUUUGAUAAUACUCAAUCGAUGGCCUUUAAAUGAUUAACCCAAAAGGAUUAAAAAACAAACUCAUGAAAGUAAGCCAAGCCGCUUUUAAAUUCUUAGGUCAUCAUAUUGCAAAUUCAAAUGCCCAAGUUCACGUGCAUGCCAUAUUUGUCAACUAAAUCUUCAAUGCUUUAGUUGAAUAGUCAACCUCAUCUCACAUUGGAUUCUUCUGUUAUGUGUAAAUCGAUUCAAUCAAAAUUCAUUUUCAAAAUUUUCAAUAUCAACAGCUCUUGUAUCAAAUAAUAAACAAAGUAGGACAAACUAACCACAUCCUCUUGAUAUUUAAAAAUAAAAAAUAAAAAUGCACAUGCCUAAAUUUGUAUUUUCUUGGGAUUUCUCGUAAAGCACAUGCUUUUGCUUUUCUUAUAUAUAUAGUAAGAAGCUUUUAUCUCCACCCCUUAAGGUAGUCUUCUUUUCAUGGUAGAUUAUCCUUUACAUGUUGAUGGUAUAUAGGCCCAAAUUAUUAAAGGAUAGCUUCACUCUUAAGGGUUAUAAGUAACUAUUUCUGACUAUGGUGCCAGGAUAAACACAAGUAAUGUAGAAUCGAGGUAAACAAUCUGAAAGAAUCGAUAUAAAUGUUCAAGAUAUUUAAAUAAUCACAAUGAAGAGAAAUUAAUAUAAGAAUCAAUUAUAAACUAAGACAAUAUUCAUCCGUUUCUGAGAAUCAUAUUCAUUUUCAACCAUAUACUCAUCAUUGGCAUAAAAACAACAUACAAACAACACAAAAUUUUAUUUAUUUAUUUAUUUUAAAUGAAAGCAAAUAUUCCCACCCUGAAACUUAAAAUCAACAUUGUCCUUAAUGUAAAUAGAUAGAAAAGGAACAGAGAAACUCCCCAGUUUUGCACUUGAAGAUUUAAACUUAUACUUGAGUCGUUGAAAGGCAUGUGCAAAUUUGAUGAUCGUCGACCCUCAAACUUAUGCAGAAACCUAGAUAAAAUAAAAUAAGUAAAAGAAAAGAAUAACAAAUGAAAUGAGGAAAAAUGAAAAUACAAAAUAAAAAUAAUAAUAAGUGAAGUUUUGAAAGCUUGGGUUGCCUCUUAAGAAGCGGUUAAUUUGUAGUCAUUAGCUUGACUGUCUUUGGUCGUCAUUCAGGAUUAGACAGCCCAAUAGCUAUCUUGUGUUAAUCAAAUGAAUCAUCUAAAAGGGUUUCAAUCAAUGACCGUUGACUUGUUUGUAUCAUCAGAAAUUUCUGCCACGCCAGACAGAAAGACUUAUGUUAUUGUAAAAGGGCCCGACCAACAUGAUCGCAACUUGCCUAGGAAGAGUCAAUGUCAAGAAUUAUAUAAUAAAACCUUUUGACCAACCUAAAAUUCACGUAUGAGGAUAUGUUUGUCAUGCAAAUUUUUAGUGCAGACUUUAUAGAUUCGAGCAUUCUCAUAAGUUGCAUUGAGAAAUUCAUCUAUUUCAUUAAGUUGCAACAAUCUCUUCUCUCUUGCAGCUUGCAUGUCAAAGUUCAAAAUCUUCAUAGCCCAAUAUGCCCUAUGCUUAAGUUCAACAUGUAGAUGGCAUGCUUUUCUAAAUACUGGAUGAUAAGGAGACAUAACAAUAGGUGUUUUCAAAACUGUUUGAUUAACCUAGAGUGUAUCGUCUAGUUUUUUUGACCAAUUAUUCUGUGACACGUUUACAGUUUUCUCCAAAAUUCUCUUUAAUUCCCAAUUAAAGGCUUCAACUUGGCCACUGGUUUAUGGAUGGUAAGGAGUGGCAACUCUACGUGUAACUCCAUAUUUUUUCAAGAGGGCUUUGCCAAUUGCAAAAAUAUUUCCCACCAUCACUUAUAGUGGCUUUUGGAGUGCCAAAUUGUGAGAAAAUAUUUUUCUUUAAAAAAUUCACAACGACCCUUACAUCAUUUGAAGGCAAAGUAAUAGCUUUGACCCACUUAGAAAUAUAAUCAACAGCCACUAGAAUAUAUUUAUUCUUGAAGAAAGAUGGAAAUGGACACAUGAAGUCGAUUCCCUAAACAUCAAACAAUUCUACUACAAGAAUAUUAUUUAACGACAUUUUAUUCUUCCUUGAAAUGUUACCAGUUUUUCGACAUUAGUCACAAGUAGCAACAAAAAUGUAAGCAUCUUUAAAUAAGAUGGGCCAAUAAAAACUUGAUUGAAGCACCUUUGCUGCAGUUCUGGAUACACCAAAGUGUCCAACAACCUCAUAGGAGUGACAGUGCUAUAGAAUGCAUCUCAUCUCUUCUUUUAGGACUCAUCAUUGAAUGAUUUGGUUUAAACAAUACUUAUAUAAGAAUGGAUCUUCCCAAAAAUAAGAUUUGGCAUAUGAGAGGAAUUUUUGCUUCUGUUGAUAUGAUAAAUUAAAAGGAACAAUGAUGCUCACCAAAUAAUUUACAAAAAUUGCAUACCAUGGUGCAUCAAAAGUUUAAAGAACCAAUAACUUUUCAUUAGAAAAUUCUUCGAUAAUUGAAACCAUUACAUUCAAAAGUUUAAAGAACCAGAAACUUUACAUUAGAAAAUUCUACAUUCAAAAGUUUAAAGAACUAGUAACUUUUUAUUAGAAAAUUCUACAUUCAAAAGUUUAAAGAACUAGUAACUUUUCAUUAGAAAAUUCUUCGAUAAUUGAAACCACUACAUUAUCUUUUUGUUGUCUUUGCUCUAAUCGAAAUAAGUAAUCUGUUGAGUGUUAGAAAAUGUAUAUUUAUAAAGGAGAAAAUCGUCAUUUUAUACUUUAAGUUUUACUAACACCCUUACUUUUAUGUAUUUGAGUUUCUUGUGACUUAAUUAUGUGUGUUUUAUUUUAAUUAAAUAUUUUAUGUAUUUUAGGGGCAUCAUGGUCAUUUCAAAAUGAACGAGAAAUCAAACGGUAAAACGGAAAUCACUUUUGAACUCAGGACAGUCAAAAACCUUAAGAGGAGCAUAAAAGGAAAAAUGUCACUGUUCACAUAUAUGGUAUUAUUCAUAUGUACGGUAUUGUCUACGCUACUCUUCACGACACUGUUCAAAUAGACGAAUCGAUGAUGUGGCAUUGACUGAUGAGGUGUCAUAAUUUCAUUAGAGAAAAUUCUUAUGAACUAUUGAUUGGUGACAUGGCAGCAUAACAGUGGACCAAAAAUCGUGUGUACGGUACAUGCAUAUACACAGGAUUAUUUUCAACCAAUCCGCGUCACUGUUCAAACCAGUUGACUAUUCAAACUGCGUGGUCAAACCGUAUCACUGUUCAAACUGCGUACUGUUGACUGAUGACGUGGCGCAAUCCUAAGCGUCCAAAUUGUUUUUAAUCCGAUAGUCAUGAUUUACUUAAUGUAUCUAUAAAAAGGGGGCCUCCCCCCUAAUUUGGCAUCUCUGGAUCCAUUUUUGGACUCUAUUUUCUGUAAUUCCUUCUCCAUCUUGUAUUUUCUAUGUAUUUUAAUAAAUUUCCAUUUUGCCCCUAGUUCAAUUAUGAGUAGCUAAUUUUCUUUCAAGCUUGGGUUGAAGGUGAAGUCUCAACAUGUGUUAUGGGCUUUAUUUGGUAAAUUUAUUUUCUCUUCCCCUCUAGUUUUUGUGAAUUUUUUGACUUCUCAUCGACAAAUAAUAAUAAUCUUGUCUAGAUACCGCUCUGGUUUCACCGGCUCCCUAGUAUAAGGUUAUUAUUAUUUGGCACGAUAAGCCCUUAGCACCAUAUUGAUUAAAGUGUGGUUCAUGAGGUAUAGAUUCCCCCCUCAUGAUUUAAUUGGCAGUAAUAAAUAAUAUUUAGCCCAUAGUGCAUGUUGAUACGAAUCCAGAUACUCAAGCACUUCAAUCAUAAUAGUUUUCUCUUCAAUUUAUUCUCGCCAUUUUAAUUCAAAUUUUAGAAUAAUUUAAAUCACUUCCACCACAAAUCCAACCACCCUCAUACAAAAUUAAUUCUACAUAUAAUUAAAAUUCAUCAUCUCGUGGGAUCGACACUCGUCACCAUUAAUCUAUUCUACAAUAGAUUUUGCGAGUUUAAUAAAAUUUGGACAAUAAAUGUUUGGCACUGUUGCUGGGGAGGUAAGUUAUUUUAAUUCGUAGAAUUAAGUUUUGUGAAUAAUAUCUUUUAUUUAUUUUCUUGUAUUUUUUCUUAUUAAAAAAAGAAAAAAAGUGAAUCUACAUUUAGAGGUAAGAAUUUCUUUUCUUUUUCUCUUCUUUAAAAUUCUGUAAUUUAAUUUUCAAUUUAUUUUUCUUUGUAAUUUUUUUUGUUUAUCUUAUUAAUUUAUUUUUAGUUAAUUUAUUUAACGUAUUUUUUUAAGUGUGUUUUUUUUAGAAAGGUUGUAACAUCGUGAUAAGGUUAGUAUCGUAAUAUCUCAUUCUUGUUUAUUUUUAUUAAUUUUGUUCUCAUUUUUUUGUAUUUAUUGCAUGCAUGGUCGAAGGUCAUUAUUACCUAAUCUUGAGCCUAUAGACCUUGAACUUGAAAAAACAUUGCGCACACACAAACACAUUAAAGAUAAAAAUAAAAUGGAUUUGCAACAACAACAAGCACCACAGGAGAGGCCAUUUAAGGACUACUUUAGUCCCUUAGCUAAUUUGAGCAUAUCAUGCAUAAGAUACUCAAAUGUAGCUGCUAGGAGUUUUGAACUAAAACCUAGUGUGCCAAAUUGUCUCCCAACAUUCUAUGGCCUAGAAAAUGAGGACCCAUAUAAUCAUCUGAAUGAUUUUCAUACUGUUUGUCAAACAUUUAAAUAUGAGAAUUUUUCAGACGAUGAUGUCAAACUUAGAUUAUUCCCAUUUUCUUUAAAGGAUAGAGCUCGUUCAUGGCUAAAUACUUUGUCUGCCAAUAGCAUCACAUCAUAGGAACAAAUGGUAACAAAAUUUUUGAAAAAAUACUUCCCAGUGCAUAAAACCAAUGUUAUUUGCAAGGAAAUCUCAGAGUUUACUCAGAGAGAGGACGAGCAGUUUUUCGAAACAUGGGAGCAAUUCAAUGGGCUGGCACCAAUGCCAAUACAUUUUGGAGGGAUUCUUGUCGAAUGUGUAAGAAUGGCUAAUGGCAACAAGUGGAGGAGAGCUAAUGUCAAAAAGUGCAUAAGAGAUUUGAGAAUUUUUCCAGCGACAAGUGGAUAAUUUCCAAUAAUGGAGUCGAUCACUCAGGAAUACAAGAAGAAUUAAGGGAGUGAAUGAAGUUCACAUUGGCUAGUCAAGUUUAGAAAUUAAUGAAGUCAAAGCGAUAAUUGAAGGUCUCUCUCGACAAAUAGCAUCAUUAUCGACUGCUAAAUCAACAGAACCACAUGACCAUGACUCAUACUCAGAUCAAGCUAAUGCCAUAAGUGUAAUGAGAAAACCAUGAAAUUACAACCCAUACUCCAACACAUAUAACCCUGGAUGGAGAGACCACCCUAAUUUUUCAUGGUCUCAAGGAUUCCAACAGAAUGGACCAGUAGCUCCAGCUCCACCAAUGCAACCAAUGCCUCAAACUCCUCAAGCCUCUCAGCCACCAUUUAGACCAUACAAUCAGAACUAGAACUACUCUCAACCCAGACCAUGGGAGGAUGUAUUUCAAAAUUUCAAGAAUGUUACUCACUCUACGAUUGAACAACAAAACUGCACCAUUGAUGGACUACGAAAUGAGAUGAGAGCAGGUUUCAACUCACAAGCCCAAUCAGUUUCAAGCCUCGAGAAGAUGGUAGGACAACUUGCUUCUUCAGUUCAGACCUUGGCAAUGACUGUUGAGAAAGGCAGGUUUCUAAGUCAACCAGUGCCUAAUCUAAAGGAGUACAUGAAGCAAGUACCAGUUCACCACAUCAGCAUAGAGAGGUCAAAGCAGUAGUGACCUUGCAAAAAGGAAAAGAAGUCGACAACAAAGUAGAGAUGCCGGUGACAAAAGAAAAUCAAAUUGUACCUGUGAAUGUUGAGGACUCACCAUCGGAAGAGAAAGAAGAAGCCAACUCACGAGAAUAUGUUCCCAAAACUCCAUUUCCUCAGAGGUUAGCUAAAGGAAAGAAGGGAAAAUCCACAGGUGAGAUUCUUGAAAUUUUCAAACAGGUAAAUGUUAACAUCCUUUUACUUGAUGCUAUAAAAUAAGUGCCAUCUUAUGCCAAGUUUCUUAAAGAUCUUUGUACUAAAAAGAGAAAUAUUCAUGUUCAAAAUAAUGCAUUUUUAACUACAAACGUUAAUUCUAUACUCCAACACAAAAUUCCUUUAAAAUGUAAAGACCCAGGCUCCCCCACCAUCUCAUGUAGUAUAGGGAACCAAACAAUUGAGAAUGCUUUGUUGGAUUUAGGAGCUAGUGUAAAUCUGUUGUCUUAUUCAGUAUUUGUAAAACUUGGAUUGGGAGAAUUACACCUAACUCCAGUGGUGUUACAGCUUGCAAAUCGGUCCACGAAAAUACCUCGUGGUAUUGUGGAGGACGUGCUUAUCCAGGUAGAAAAGUUUUAUUUUCCUGUUGAUUUCAUUGUAAUUGACACUCAACCAAUACAUGAUUCAAAGAAGCACAUCCCCAUUAUUCUAGGCCAACCUUUCUUGGCAACUGUGGAUGCUCACAUUCAAUGCAGGACUGGAAAUAUGUAGUUGUCCUUCGAUAACAUGACUGUGGAGCUAAAUGUUGAGUGUUAGAAAAUGUAUAUUUAUAAAGGAGAAAAUCAUCAUUUUAUAUUUCAAGUCUUACUAACAACCCUUACGUUUAUGUAUUUAAGCUUCUUGUAAUUUAAUUAUGUGUGUUUGAUUUUAAUUAAGUAUUUUAUGUAUUUUAGGGGCAUCAUAGUCAUUUCACAAUAAAUGAGAGAUCAAACGGCAAAACAAACAUUACUUUUGAACUCAGGACGGUCGAAAACCUUAGGAGGAGCAUAAAAGGAAAAAAUGGUACUGUUCACAUGUACGAUACUAUUCACAUAUACAGUACUGUCUACGUUACUGUUCACGACACUGUUCACAUAGACGGAUUGAUGACGUGGCAUUGACCGAUGAUGUGGCAUUGACUGAUGAGGUGUCAUGAUCCUGUUGGACUAAAAUUCUUAUGUACUGUUGAUAGUGAUGUGGUAGCAUAUUAGUGGACCAAAAAACGCGCGUACGGUACAUGCAAUACAAGGGAUUAUUUUCAACCAAACCGCGUAUUGUUCAAACCGCGUGGUCAAACCGCGUACUAUUGACUGAUGACGUGGCGCAAUCCUGAGCGUCCAAACUGUUUUUAAUCCGAUGGCUAUGAUUUACUCAAUGUAUCGAUAAAAAGGAGACCUCUCCCCCCCUAAUUUGGCAUCUCUGAAUCCAUUUUUGGACUCCAUUUUCUGUAAUUCCUUCUCUAUCUUGUAUUUUCUAUGUAUUUUAAUAAAUUUCCAUUUUUCCCCUAGUUCAAUUAUGAGUAGCUAAUUUUCUUUCAAGCUUGGGUUGAAGGUGAAGUCUCAACAUGUGUUAUGAGCUUUAUUUAGUAAAUUUAUUUUCUCUUCCCCUCUACUUUUUGUGGAUGUAAACUUUUCGUUGACAAAUAAUAAUAAUCUUGUCUAGUACCGCCCUGGUUUCACCGGUUCCCUAGUACAAGGUUAUUAUUAUUUAGCACGAUAAGCCCUUAACACCAUAUUGAUUAGAGCGUGGUUCAUGAGGUGUAGAUUCCCCCCUCAUGAUUUAAUUCGCAUUAAUAAGGAUUAAUUUAAUAGAUUUUCACUUCAAUUUAUUCUUGUCAUUUUAAUUCAAAUUUUAGGAUAAUCCAAAUCAUUUUCACUACAAAUCCAACCACCUUCAUACAAAAUUAAUUCUACACAAUUAAAAUUCACCUCCUCGUGGGAUCGACACUCGUCACCAUUAAUCUAUUCUACAAUAGAUUCGUGCGCUUGCGAGUUCAAUAAAAUUUGCACAACAAGUUUUUGGCACCGUUGCCGGAGAGUUAAGUUAUUUUAAUUGAUAGAAUUAAUUUUUGUGAAUAAUUUCUUUUAUUUUUUUCUUGUAUUUUUUUUUAUUAAAAAAAAAGUGAAUCUGCAUUUAGAGGUUAGUAUUUCUUUUCUUUUCUCUUAUUUAAAAUUCUGUAAUUUAAUUUUCAAGUUAUUUUUUUUGUAAUUUUUGUUUAUCUUACUAAUUUUAUUUUUUUUAUUUUUAGUUAAUUUAUUUCAUGUAUUUUUCUGUGUAUUUUUAUAGUAAGGUUGUAAUAGCGCGAUAAGGUUAGUACCAUAAUUUCUCAUUCUUCUUUAUUUUUAUUUGUUUUGUUCCCAUUUAUUUUUUGUUCCUUACAUGCAUGGUUGUAGGUUGUUAUUACCUAAUCUUGACCUAUAGACCUUGAAUUAGAAAAAACAAUGCGCACGCACAAACACGUUAAAAAUAAAAUAGAUUUGCAACAAGCACCACCGGAGAGGCCAUUUAAGGACUACUUCAGUCCCUUAGCUAAUUUGAGCACAUCAUGCAUAAGAUAUCCAAAUGUAGUUGCUAUGAGUUUUGAACCAAAGCCUAGUGUACUAAAUUGUCUCCCAACAUUUUAUGGCCUAGAAAAUGAGGGCCCAUAUAAUCAUCUGAAUGAUUUUCAUGCUAUUUGUCAAACUUUUAAAUAUGAGAAUUUUUCAGAUGAUGAUGUUAAACUCAGAUUAUUCCCAUUUUCUUUAAAUGAUAGAGCUCGUUCAUGGUUAAAUAUUUUGCCUGUUAAUAGCAUCACAUCAUGGGAACAAAUGGUAACUAAAUUUUUGAAUAAAUAUUUCCCAGUGCAUAAAACCAUUGCUAUUCGCAAGGAAAUCUCAGAGUUUACCCCGAGAGAAGACGAGCAAUUUUUUGAAACAGGGGAGCGAUUGAAUGAGCUACUCUUUAUGUGUCCGUACGAGAAAUGACACCAAUACCAAUACUUUUUGGAGGGAUUAUUGCCGAAUGUGGAAGAAUGACUAAUGGCAACAAGUGGGGGAGAGCUAAUGUCAAAAAGUGCAUCAGAGAUUUAGGACUUCUUCCAGUGACAAGCGGAUAAUUCCAAACAACGGAGUAGAUCACUAAGGAAUACUAGAAGAAUUAAAGGAGUAAAUGAGGUUCACAUUGGCGAGUCAAGUUCAUAAAUCAAAGAAGUUAAGGAGAUGGUUGAAGGUCUCUCUCGACAAAUAGCAUCGUUAUCGACUGCUAAACCAACAGAGUCACAUGACCAUAACUCAUACUCAGAUCAAGCCAAUGCCAUAGGUGUAAUGAGAAAACCAUCAAAUUACAACCCAUACUCCAACACAUAUAACCCUGGAUGGAGAGACCACCCCAAUUUUUCAUGGUCUCAAGGAUUCCAACAGAAUGGACCAGCAGCUCCAGCUCUACCAAUGCAACUAAUUCCUCAAAUUGCUCAAGCUUCUCAGCCACCAUUUAGACCAUACAAUCAGAACCAGAACUACUCUCAACCUAGACCAUAAGAGGAUUCAUUCAAGAAUCUCAAGAAUCUUACUAACUCCACGAUUGAGCAACAGAACCGCACCAUUGAUGGACUACGAAAUGAGUUGAGAGCAGGCUUCAACUCACAAGCUCAAUCUGUUUCCAGCCUCGAGAAGAUGGUGGGACAACUUGCUUCUUCAGUUCAGACCUUGGCAAUGACUGUUGAGAAAGAUAAAUUUCCAAGUCAACCAGUGCCUAAUCCUAAAGGAGUACAUGAAGCAAGUACCAGUUCACCACAGCAGCAUGGAGAAGUCAAAUCAGUCAUGACCUUGCGAAAAGGAAAAGAAGUCGACAACAAAGUGGAGAUGCAGGUGACAAAAGAAAAUCAAAUUGUACCUGUAAAUGUUGAAGACUCGCCAUCAGAGGAGAAAGAAGAAACCAACCCAUGAGAAUACGUUCCUAAAGCUCCAUUUCCUCAGAGGUUAGCUAAAGAAAAGAAGGGAAAAUCCACAGGUGAGAUUCUUGAAAUCUUCAAACAGGUAAGUGUUAACAUCCCUUUACUUGAUGCUAUAAAACAAGUUCCAUCUUAUGCCAAGUUUCGUAAAGACCUUUGUACUAAAAAGAGAAAUAUUGAUGUUCAAAAGAAGGUAUUUUUAACAGAAAACGUUAGUUCUAUACUCCAACACAAAAUUCCUCUGAAAUGCAAAGACCGAGGCGCCCCCAUAUGUAGUAUAGGGAACCAUACAAUUAAGAAUGCUUUGUUGGAUUUAGGAGCUAACGUAAAUCUGUUACCUUACUGUAUAUUCGUGAAACUUGGACUUGGAGAAUUACACCCAACUCCAGUGGUGUUACAACUAGUAGAUCGGUCCAUGAAAAUACCUCGUGGUAUUGUGGAGGACGUGCUUAUCCAGGUAGACAAGUUUUAUUUUCCUGUAGAUUUCAUUGUAAUUGACACUCAACCAAUACAGGAUUCAAGGAAGAACAUCCCCAUUAUUCUAGGCUGACCUUUCUUGGCAACUACGGAUGCUCACAUUCAAUGCAGGACUGGAAAUAUGCAGUUGUCCUUCGGUAAUAUGACUAUGGAGCUGAACAUCUUCAACAUUGUGAAACAACUUCAUAAUGGAGAUGAUGGAAUUGUUGAUGUGGAUUUAAUCGAAGCAUUAGUUGAUGACACUUUUGUUUCAAACCUUAGUGAUGAUCCUUUACAAACAUGUUUAACUCACUUUGGUUUGGAUUUUGAUAUUGACAGAUCGGUCGAUGAGGUCAACGCUCUACUUGACUCAACACCAUCCAUGGAUACGAAUAAAUGGAAGUCAAGAGUUGAACAACUAGCACCAUCGGAGAAGAAACUCAUUCCAUCAUCAGAAUCACCACCGAAACUCGAGCUCAAACCAUUGCCCAACACUUUGGAAUAUACAUUUUUGGGAGAAGAAAGUACUCUGCCGGUAAUCAUCUCAUCAUCCCUCAAUGACGAACGAAAAGGUAAGUUGUUGGAUGUUUUAAAAGAGCACAAAGGAGCAUUAUGAUGGACCAUAGUAGACAUAAAAGAUAUAAACCCAGUAGACUACAUGCAUUACAUUCACCUUGAUGAAAAUGCUAAACCUACUAGGGAAAUGCAACGUCGGUUAAAUCCUAACAUAAAAGAAGUUGUUAGAACUGAAGUCCUCAAGCUAUUAGAUACAGGUAUUAUUUACCCAAUUUCUGAUACUUCAUGGGUCAGUCAUGUGCAAGUUGUCCCCAAAAAGUCAGGAGUUACAGUAGUUACGAAUGCCGAUAAUGAAUUGAUACCCACUAGAGUGACUACAUGAUGGUGUGUAAGCAUUGAUUAUAGAAAGUUGAAUUCUGUCACACGUAAAGACCAUUUUUCUUUACCAUUUAUCGAUCAAAUGCUUGAUAGAUUAGUAGGCCAUGAAUUUUAUUGCUUUCUAGAUGGCUAUUCAGGAUACAAUCAGAUUCCUAUAGCACCAAAAGAUCAUGAGAAAACUACUUUCACUUGCCCUUUUGGCACUUUUGCAUAUAGGAGAAUUCCAUAUGGAUUAUGUAAUGCACCUACUACAUUUCAACGAUGCAUGAUAAACAUUUUUUCUGAUAUGGUUGAACGAUUCCUUGAAGUCUUUAUGGAUGACUUUUAUAUUUUUAGUGACUCAUUUGAUUAAUGUUUACAUCAUCUAACACUAGUUCUGCAGAGAUGUAUCGAGAAGAACUUAGUUUUAAAUUGGGAGAAGUGCCAUUUUAUGGUAAAAGAAGGUAUUUUUCUCGGUCACAUCAUUUUAAGCAAAGAUAUUGAGGUUGACAAAGCCAAAAUGGAUCUCAUUUAUAAUCUUCCUCCACCCAAAACAGUCAGAGAAGUAAGAUCUUUUCUUGGACAUGCUGGUUUUUAUAGACGUUUUAUUAAAGAUUUUAGCAAAGUUUCUAGACCCUUAUGCAAUCUACUUGCUAAGGAUAUAUUUUUUGUCUUUGAUGAUUCAUGUCUUGUGGCAUUUGAAAAAUUAAAGCAGUUGUUGACAUCAUUACCCAUCAUUCAGCCCCCAAACUGGAGCUUACCAUUUAAGCUCAUGUGUGAUGCAUCUGAUUAUGCAGUAGGAGCAGUAUUAGGACAAAGGGUUGAUCGAAUUUCUCAUGUUAUUUACUAUACUAGUAUGACAUUGAAUGAUGCACAGUUGAACUAUUCAACUACUGAAAAAGAAAUGCUAGCAGUAGUGUUUGCAUUGGAAAAAUUUAGAUCUUAUCCCAUUGGUUGUAAAAUAAUUAUAUUCACAGAUCAUGCUGCUCUUAAAUAUCUUCUCACAAAGAAAGAUGCAAAAGCUAAAUUAAUUCAUUGGGUAUUACCUUUGUAGGAAUUUGACUUGGAAUUUAAAGAUAAGAAGGGCACAGAAAAUUUGUGGCGGACCAUCUCUCUCGUCUCCAUUUUGACACAAUUAUAGAGCCAUUAAUAUUGAAUGAGUCAUUCCCAGAUGAACAAUUAAUGAGUAUAGAAGUAUUACAGGUCAACUUACAAAGCAUUGGACCAAGAAAGACAAGGCCAAAUUUCUUACAUAAAUAAAGAAUUUCUUUUGGGAUGACCCGUAUUUGUUCAAGUAUUGUGCAGAUCAAAUUGUUAGACGAUGUGUCCUAGAAAAUGAAAUUCAGAAUAUUUUUUCAUUCUGCCAUGAACAAGCUUGUGGAGGCCAUUUCAGUGCUAAGAAAACAGCAACUAAAGUUUUACAAUGCGGUUUCUAUUGGCCAACUAUAUUUUGAGAUGCUUACACUUUCUGUUCUUCAUGUGAUAGGUGUCAACGAAUGAGGAGCAUUACACGAAGGAAGGUUUUAGAUUUUGAGGGAAGUAUGUGUGACAAAUGAAUUCUUUAUUGACAAUUGGGGUUGUAUUGUGACAGAGUACAAAGGCAAGCCACGUGUCAGAAGCUAUUGGAGUAGAGUACGUAACCGUUGCUAAAGCAAACAAUUGGGUGCUGCAGCAACCAAUAUUACCGUUAUAGUAACUGAAAAAUUGGAGCCUCUCACUUACCGUUGGAGAUAAAUUAUGACAGAUGGAUGCAUGGAUUUGGAUAGAAAUUGAGGAAGAAAAAAUCUCCGAAAUUAAUGCAUUAAUUUCUCUUGCCUAUUUUUAUGGGAUAUACUCAAUAAAUUCAAAAUAUUUUCUUCCCUAAUUUAUCUUUCUUUACCGGAUUUAUCUUUAUUUAAAUUCAACUAUAAAAAGGGAAUUACUGUGCGUAGUGACCUACGGCACUAUUUUCCCUCUCCUUCGCAAGCACGACUCUAAUAAUUCUUACCACCAUCUUCUCAUUUUACUCUCAGGCAUAUUACCUUUGAAUUAUUACUGCUAUAGCAAUGCCAAGGUAUAAGAGAACAGCCAGUCGACUAAAAGAUCCUUCACGCUUUUAAAGUUACCACGCAGAAGAAAAAUAUGAAGAAUUCAUUGAACCGCGCAAGAUUCUGGAAGAAAAAGGGUUUCAAUUUCCAGUGCAACUCACCAGAAUUGUUCUAACAGUACACAAUGCUGCAACAAAACAUGGGUGGCUAGAGUUUUGCAACCACCCUCGAGAUCCUGUACUGCCAGUAGUCAAAGAAUUUUACGUCAAUUUGGUAAGCCCUGGUCAGAAAAAUAUUUGGGUAAGAAACACACUUGUUCCAUGAGACUCUCGAGUUAUAAAUGCUUUUUAUAAUUUACCUACUGAAAUUAAUUGUGAGUAUGCCAAGUUGCUUGACAAAUUAACCCCUAAAAGAUGGAACACCAUCUUCACAACUCUUACAGUAGAGGGGGCAUCGUGGGCUAAUGAGCAAGGGCAUGUAAUUAAUAUGAUAGAUUUAAAACCUAUUGCUAAGGUGUGGGUGAAAUUUCUGAAAUCCAGGCUUAUGCCAACCACCCACACUAUUACUGUUUUACAAGAAAAGUUGGUUUUGUUAUAUGUUAUUGUUCGAGGGCUCCCCAUAAAUGUGGGAAGCAUUAUCGAAAAAGAAAUCAAAGAUUGUGCCAUAAAGAAACACAAAGCUGCUACCUUACUAUUCCCUUCACUCAUCACUAGCAUCUGUGUAGUAUCAAAUGUUCGUCUUGAAGCAAAGGAUGAACAUGUCAAGAAUGAUGAUGUCCUUACUGUACGCACCAUUGAGAGAAUUGCUAGUGAAAGUGCUGGAGUAACAACUGAACCAGCUGCUGUAACAGGAGUGAGAUGAGCUAUUGGUUUAGAACAGACAAUCCAAGUGCUGAGCACCAGUAUCACUCAAUGUGCUGAGGCUCAGCAGAGAGAAAACGAUCAGUUUUGGAGCUAUUUACAGCACUUGGAAAGCCACCUAUACCAAUUUGCUCUUUACAAGGAAAAAAACCCACCGAAAUUUCCCUGAUUCAUUGCUCUAGCAGUACAAUUUUACACCACCACCACAGAUGCUCCAGCAGAAGUCAGUGAAGAAGCCACUGACACAGAUAAACCAGAAGCAAAAGCUGCAGCAGACCUACAAGCAAAGGUUGACUCAGAAGAUGUUGAAUAAUCUUAUCAACCUGAGGAAGAAGGUGACAAGUCUGCGACUAACAGCUCACCCACAGAGGCAGAGGAAGAUUCUGAGAAAGAACGUGAGGAACCCCCAGUCAGGACCUCUUCCAAAACCAAGAAAAGGCACAUCAUCCAAGAAGAGGAAGAGAAUAAACCUGAAGAGGAGCCUCUCAUUCUAGUCAUUUCAAGAAAGGGUAAGGAAAAAUAACAACCCCUCCUGCCUCCGAAGAUGAAGCCGAGCAACUCAAUGCAGAGCUGGAAGCUGUAGUAACCAGAGUCACGCAUACACCCACAGAAGCCCAACAACUACUUGACAUCAUUGCCGCCAUUACAGCUGAGGGACAGGCAGCUAAUGUACCAAACCCAGCUCCUUCACAGCCCGCUCCUAGUAAAUUUGUUCUUGCUAGUCUGAGAGGAUCCAGUAAAAGAAAGGGCAGCACUUCUGGAGGCACUGCUAUAGCAGCCUCGACAGAACCAAAAAGGACCAGAUCGGUGUCAACCAAGCAAGCUGCCCCAGCCGCAACUCUUUCCACCAGCCCAUUGAAGAAAAAGACAAAGACGUUGUCAGCUACCUCCCCACAAGCCUCCCCAAAGGAUAAGGUAUGCAGUGCAUCCAAGAAGUGCUGAUGUCAUGCCACCAUGUUGCAGCAAUACCCAAACAACAGGGGAGUAUCCCCUUCUUGCUAGUCAAUUUAUUUAAUUCUGCAAAAAUUUUCUUUCAUUAUGUUUUCAAUUUGUGUGGUAUUUUCUAAUGUCCUCAUCCAUGUCCUUGUCAAAUUGUGUGACUUUGCUAUUGUGUGCUUGUAAGGACACAACACCUUUUCAGUUUGGGGGGGAUGUAUAUAUGGGUGCUUUAGAUAUGUGUUUAUGUAUGUGUUGUGUGAAGCUCUGAUAUCUAAUAUUUGUGUAUGGAUUUGAAAUCCUAAUGAAGAUAAAUUGAGUGUUAAUGGGUGAUUAUAAGAAUGUCGAGUAGAGAUAGUAAUAGAUGGAGAAUGAAAUUCUGUCCUUACACUUAAACUUUGGUGGAGUUUUAUGAGACUACUGCAGUAGAGCCAAAAGAAUAGAAACGAUCUUAAGUUUGGGAGGGAAAAAGUUUGAUUGACUGUGCUGGCUAUGAAAUAAAUUCUGCUCUAAUGGCUCAAGUUGCUGAGUAACCAGAGCUGAGUAUGUACCCCAUAUGUAGAGUUGCGUUCAAAGGCAACAAGAAUUAUGAGCAGUGCUGUAGCAAUUACCUUUGUUAAAAAAAAAAAGAGAAAAGUGAGACAAUAAUACAAGGAAGUCCUCUGUCUAGAAUAUUGAGUAGCCAAGUCUGUUCAUGAACCCCAUGUUCAGCCUUGAGUAAAAGAUAUCUCUAGAUAAGAUUAUGUUACAGAUAUUGCUACAGCAACUCUGAUAUGUGUAUGGUUUGAGUAAUUGGGUGUCAUCAUUACAAUUGAUUAGCAUUCACAUGAAAAAUAAAUGUUGCAGUGGGGAGGUUGAACACUCUCAAGUUUUCAUUCUUAAAGACAGCACAAUUUGAGUAUGAGAGAUUUAUGCUACCCCAUAUAUGAAUAAAAUUGUGUUACUGCUGAAUUACAUGCAAUCUCUUGGUAAUGUUGUAGCAUCUCUAGAAUUCAAUCAAAGUAACACACACACACUAUGGACAGAAGGAAGCUUAAGUCUAGAAUUGAUUUACUAUGGUCAUUUUGCAUUAUUGGGUUUGUGAUCUGAAGGUGGAAGAAUCCUUGUAAAUUUGAUAAAAGAGCUAAGUUGUGUGUUGCAUGAUUUUUGCGUGAAGUGUUAGUAUGUUGUCAUUACUUGAGGACAAGUAACGGUUUAAGUUUGGGGGUGUGAUAACUCUAUGAAAUGAGAGUUAUUACAGCAAUUUUAUACUUAAAUCAAGAUCACUUAGAGAGUAAAUGAGGUGUUUUUAUUAUAUUUUGGUUAUAUUUUGCAUAAAUAUUCAUUUUAGUGAGUCUUAAUAAGUUUUGCUUGAAUUAAAGUAAUUUGUGCUCAAAAUAUGUGCAUAAUUGUAGGUUUUCAAAAGUUUAUAAUUCAUGAAGGGAUGCUGAGAUAUUAAACCAGCAAGAGGAGGAAAGAAUAUGGCCACAAAAGAAGUUAAGCACAACCGAGAACAGUGCAGUGUUCUAGCUGUUGUUAGAGCAACCAUUGUUGUAGCAAUCCUGGAGCACUGAGGGAGAAAACUUAGCGCGGGUCAGCUGCAGAAUUGCGAUCUGCAGUUUUCUAAUUUAACUCAUGCACGCCCGAGACUUUUGUUUACCCUAGUUUUUAGUUAUAAAAGGAGGCGCGCACCACAUAAAACAGGGGCAAGGAAUUAUCAUUAAACACAUUAGAGAGAAAAAGAAGAAGAAGAUCAGAAUUCAAGAGGACAACUUUAGCAGCAUUGAAAAAUCCUGCAGAGUUAUUUGGAUUUACUUUUUUCCGUUCUCAACUUAUACCUUUCUUCUUUCUUUGACUGAUCUAAUGUAUCCCGUGAACAAUAUGUUGAUAUUUGUUUUUCUCUUUCAGAAUAUGAACUAGAUUUGCUUGUAGUUGAAUGACAAACAAUCUAAUGGGUUCUUGACUGUUCUUAUGAGUUGCUAUGUCAUUGUUGUAGCAUUUUACUCUAGUAGCUAUUAUUAUAACUGUUAUUUCAGUUGACCACCCAUUUAAUAGUUCAAGUUAAAAUAGAGCCGCAAAAGGGCAUGUCUUAGUAGAUAUUAUUAGAGUAAUACUUAAUCUUAAUUUAAGUUUCUUGGAUUAAGUUAUCUUGAAUCUCAUAAGGGCUAUACUUGAAGUUAAGAUUUCUGACAAACUAGACAUAGGUACUCACCUUGUAGGGUGGAGAGACUAAAGGGUCAUAAGGCCAUGCCGUAGGUAAAAUAACAAGUGGUCAUUGCUAAUAUACUUAAGGGUGUGAGAGUUCCAACACGUGACAGCUGAGGAUGCAGACUAAUUCUGACUAGUGCUGUAGCAAUUGCUGUAACAACUGGUGUUAACUUGAUGAAAAUCAGUUAGCUCAUAAAGAGAGUUUGAUCAUUCAACUACCAUAUUUUCGAUUGAAUCUUAGACAUAUUUAAUUUAAUUUAUUUCAUUACUGCAUUGAUUUAUUUUAUUCUCUCACAAUUAUCAAUUUCAAUAGAACCUACUUUACAUUUGUUAUCUUCGGACUUAAGUUAGAUUGUACUAUUGUGAUUGCUGUAGCAUUUCUAGUGACAUCAAUCCCUGUGGAGACGAUCUUGAAUAUUCAUCACUUUAUUACUUGUUGUGUACACUUGCACAUUGGCAUCAAUAGCAUUUGAUUACAAAAAUUUACCAACAAAGACCCAUCGUCGGAGGAGAAAGAAGAAACCAACCCACGAGAAUAUGUUCCUAAAGCUCUAUUUCCUCAGAGGUUAGCUAAAGGAAAGAAGGGAAAAUCUACAAGUGAGAUUUUUGAAAUCUUCAAACAGGUAAGUGUUAACAUCUCUUUACUUGAUGCUAUAAAACAAGUGUCAUCUUAUGCCAAGUUUCUUAAAGACCUUGUACUAAAAAGAUAAACAUUCACGUUCAAAAUAAUGUCUUUUUAACAGAAAACGUUAGUUCUAUACUCCAACACAAAAUUCCUCUAAAAUACAAAGACUCAUGCUCCCCCAUUAUCUCAUGUAGUAUAGGGAACCACACAAUUGAGAAUGCUUUGUUGGAUUUAGGAGCUAGUGUAAAUAUGUUACCCUACUCAGUAUUUUUGAAAUUUGGACUGGGAGAAUUACACCCAACUCCAGUGGUGUUACAGCUUGCAGAUCGCUCCACAAAAAUACCUCGUGGUGUUGUGGAGGAAGUGUUUAUCCAGGUAGAUAAGUUUUAUUCUCCUAUUAAUUUUAUUGUAAUUAACACUCAACCAAUCCAGGAUUCAAGGAAGCACAUCCUCAUUAUCCUAGGCUGACCUUUCUUGGCAACUGUCGAUGCUCACAUUCAAUACAGAACUGGGAAUAUGCAGUUGUCCUUUGGCAACAUGACUAUGGAGCUAAACAUCUUCAACAUUGCCAAACAACCUCACAAUACAGAUGAUAGAAUUGUUGAUGUGGAUUUAAUAGAACUAUUAGUUGAUAAUAUUUUUCUUUCAAACCUUAGUGAUGACCCUUUACAAACAUGUUUAAUUCACUUUAGUUUGGAUUUUGAUAUUGACAAAUCAGUUGAUGAGGUCAACGCCCUACUUGACUCAGCACCAUCCAUGGACACUAAUAAAUGGAAGUCAAAAGUUGAACAACUAGCACCAUCAGAAAAGAAACUCAACCCAUCAUCAGAAUCACCAUCUAAACUCGAGCUCAAACCAUUAUCCAACACUUUGGAAUAUUCAUUUUUGGGAGAAGAAAGCACUCUGCAAGUAAUCAUCUCAUCAUCCCUGAAUGACGAACAAAAAGGUAAGUUUUUUGAUGUUUUAAAAGAGCACAAAGGAGCAUUAGGAUGGACCAUAGCUGACAUAAAACGUAUAAACCCAGUAGACUGCAUGCAUUACAUUCACCUUGAUGAAAAUGCUAAACCUACUAGGGAAAUGCAACGUCGGUUAAAUCCUAACAUGAAAGAAGUUGUUAGAACUGAAGUCCUUAAGCUAUUAGAUGCGGGUAUCAUUUACCUCAUUUAUGAUAGUCCUGAUGCAGCCAUGAAUUGAUCGAAAAUAGAUUUCAACUGCUUGCACACUUCACUAGUGGCUUUAGCAAAAAUAAGACUAUCGUUAGCAAACAAGAGGUGUAAAAAAGUCAACGCAUUACAAUUGAAACCAACCCCAUGUAUCAACUUUUCAUCCAUUGCAUGAGACAGUAAAUGUAAUAUAUAUCAACUUUUCAUCCAUUGCUUUUAAUGUCUCCAUCGAUUACGACUAAAAAAGAGGCUGAAGAUAUACCUCACAUAACUAAAUCUACCUAUUUUGCUAAAAAGCCCAUCUUGAACAUUGCUUGUUUUGAAAAAAAAAAAAAAAACCACUCCACUCUGUCGCAAGCUUUAUCUCUUCUACCUCCUCUUUUAUUUCUGAUCUGAUGCAAAACAUUUAUAUCCAAUUACCAAAUUAUCUCUAAUAGACCGUUAAGGAAUAAAAGCAAUUUGAAAAUGGGAAAUGAUUUGAUCUAAGAGAGGUUUAAUUCUAUUUGCAAUUGCUUUGGCCAUCAUCCUAUACACCAUAUUGCACAAACUGAUUGGUCUGAAUUCAUGCACCUUUUUCUAGACUCUUAAUUUUAGGGAUGAGAGCAAUUAAAGUAUGGUUAAGUUAAGAAAUAUUUCCUCCCUCAAUCAGAAAAUGGAAUCACACUUUGGUUACCUUCUCCUGAACUAAAUUCCAAUAUUUUUGGAAAAAUAAUGCUGGAAAUGCAUCUGAACAAGGAGCUUUCAAAGGAUUUAACUGAAAUAAAGCUAUUUUAAGCUCUUUUUUAGAAAAAAAAAAAGGCUAGACUAAAGUGACAGUCAUAUUGUCCUCCAAAGGAUUUGUUAAUUGAAAUAAAGUCACAAGGUAGUCCACAAAUGCCUUCCUAAUAUCUUCAAGGUCCUCUAUCUAGUUGUUUUCUUUGUCUACAAUACCAUGAACUGUGUUUCUUUUUCUCCUGUCAGUUGUUUUGUAUGAAAGAAUUUUUUAUUUUUAUCCCAAGUUUUAACCAUGUGACUCUAAACUUUUGUCUCCGGUAUAAUUCCUCAUUCAUCAUAAAUUUGUCAAUUUGCUACUCCACAGAUUGAUUUCAUCUGGAUUCAUUAAUUCUGGAGGGCUACUUUUAAGAGCAGUUAGCAUAUGCUGAAGACAAUUAAAUUCCUACUUCCUCUUUUGAAAUUUCUAUAAACUCCAAGACUUAGGUCAUGUUUACUAUUGAGGUAGUAAAUAUAAUUUUUAAAUAAUAAUUUUGACUUAGGUCCUAUUUGCUAUUGAGGUACUAUAAUUAUAAAACUGUAACUAUAAAACAAAGUUAAUAGUAUAUAGUAAAUAUAAUUUUUGAAUAACAAUUUUGACAAAAUUAUUACAGAAAUAAUAGAUUUUUCAUCUUAAAAGUAUAAAAUUAAAUUAACUUAGCCGCCAAGCUAUAGCAGCUAUCGUUAACGAUAACUCUAUGAUAUGAGAGUUAUCAUAACAUUUAUAGGCCUAAAGUAAUAUUACUUGGAGAGUUAAUGAUGAGUUUUUAUCCUAUUUUUAGUAAGUUUUGCAUCAGUAUCUAUUUAAGCUUAAUUAUAAUAAUUUGAUGUGUUUAAGAUCAUUUUUAGCUCUAAUUAAUUGUGAUAUUGUAGGUGACCCAAAAGCUCAUGCUUUGUUGAUGGAUGCUUUAGAAGAGGGACUACAUUGCUGCAGCAACAGGCUUGCAGAAAACAACAAAAGACUUAUCUGCAUAUGAACAAAAACAAGACUGAGCCAUAGAAAAUGCAAGAGCAAAUGCUGCAGCAAUCCAGGACCCAAGUACAGACAAAACUGUCCAUGUUGUUCACGUGCUAUCUGAUAGAUUCUGCUACGGCCGUUACUGCACUGCCACUGUCAGGUGCAAACAAAACAGUGGCAAGCAUGGCAAGCAGCACAAAAAGAGAUGUGGUUCUAGAAUACCAAGAAUGCAUAAAUGUCCUCAUGCCUUUUUGGGUUGACCUAAUCCCAAGUUAUAAAAGGGCACAUUUUAAGAAAACACAAUAUGGAUAUAUCCAUUGUGAUAACACACAAAAAAAAAGGGAAAAAAAGGAUUUUAGAGCUGCAGCAGAGGGUAUCUUAUUGUGAAGAAUGAGAAAAAAACUUGAAACUAAAGCGUGACACUUUGGUCCUUUUUGUAUCUCAACUUUAUUCUUAUAUUUUGCUUGUUGUAUUUUCUCUUUGAUGAUGUAUUUCAUGGCAAACGUUUACGUUUUUACUAUUUUAAAGUUCAUCAUCAAAAUAUUAACUAGGCAAUCCAAUAGGGGGUGAAUUGGGUUUUUAAAAAUUAAGCAACUAAAACUUAAUGCAAUUCAAACAAAUCAAUCAAAUUCAAAAUAAACAAAUUAAUGCGCAAUGAAAAAUAAAGAGAUAUGGUAAGAGAGAGCAAACACGUGAUUUUUACGUGAUUCGGCCAACCGUGCCUACGUCCACGCCUCCAAGCUCACCGGGCUUGAGGAUUUCACUAAGUAAGCCUCCAAGGCUUCAACAACUCUUGCAAUUGACUUCCAAUGUGUCAACAAACCUUUACAACAUGAGAUUAUCCCCAAUCUCUUAGCCAAAUAUAUCUCAAUACUUACAACCUCUCAAAGAAAAAGCUUACAAAUGAAUUUUUCUCACAUAUUGUGUUUGAUUGCAAAUGAAAGUUCAAUGUGUAAAUCAAAGAAACAUAAAAAAAUUUAAAGCUCAAUAAUGGUUGUAUGCUCAGUAGCAAGCUUAAUGAUAACUCGUAGAUCUAGCUUUAUUUGAAUUUGAUUGAGUUAUUUUAUAGUUGGAGCUGAAAACUAGCCAUUGUUGACUUUCUGGACAAAAUCAGGUCACCAUUAAUUGCUAUUAGUUAACCAUUUUGACUAGUCCAAAUGACCGUUGAGCUGAGAUUUUAAAUAGUUGGUUAAGCGUUUGGGAUUGUCAGUUAGCUGUUAAUUUUCAUAAAUGUGCAAAACAAAUUUGGCUUGACCGUUUUUGCGAAAUAUUUAUCGAUUGGAAUGUAAUUUCUUUCUGAAAAUUAUCGAUUAGUCGUUUAUUUCUAGAAUCCUACAAAACAAAUUGUGACCAUCUGUUCUUGCUAAACGGUUCACAGUUAUAAUCUAUGACCUUCUAAAAAUUAGCAGUUAACCGUUUUUAGUUAAUGGUUCACCGUUAUUUUUCAGAAUCAGUAUUUUAACAGACUUUUACAGAGAAUGAUUUUCCAGUUAAAGUUGACGAUUAUCCAAUUAAAGUUGGUGAUUAUCCAAAUUCAUAAACAUAUCUAGAAAUAUUAUACAGCUUUAAGCGUUUUUUUAUUAAUGAAAGCUCCAACAUUUUUAAUAAAAAACAUAUAAAUUUUGUUAUCAUCAAAAUCAAUAUUAUAGACACAUACAUGUUAACAAUCAUGAGUUAAACUUUAAAGUAGUUGGGUUUUAAAUUAUCUUAAUGGUUGCUUAACUUAUAUAUGCAUGCUGCUUAGAAUCUACUAUAACAUUUUAUUUUGAUUUUACAUAUUGCAAAUCUUUAUUUUGAUUGACUACUCAUUUAGUGGAUACUAGUUAAGAAGAAGCCUAAAAAAGGUCUAACUUAGUGGAACAAAUUAAUAUAAUACAUGAUUUUAGAUUGGGUUUUCCAAGUCGGGUUUAUCUCAAUUUGAAUAGGGUUAUGCCUAAACUAAGAUUAGUAAAGAACUAGACAUAAGAAUUCACCUUAUAAGGUAAAUAGAGCCUAGAUCGUAUAAUGUUAUGUUUAAUGUUAGUUUUAACAUCUGGUCACUGUUAGAUUGCAUAUAGACAUAAGAUAUCCAACAUGCGACAAACUGAGGAUACAUUAGAGAUUCUGCCUAGUGCUGUAGUAAAUGUUAAACCAACUGCAUCUCAAGGGUAAGAUAGUCAAUAACCAUUAAAUGAGUUUAGAACCCAACUACCCAUUUAUCAUUGAAGUAUGUCUUUUUGUUUGACACUAGUUUUUCCUUACUACAUUUUGUUUAUUGCAUUUUUUAUUUCAUUAGAUCAUUAAUCUCAUCAUUUUUUUUGUUUUAUUUAGUUUACUAAAAUUGCACUAUUAAGAUUGUUGUAGCAAGUCCUAUAAUAUCAAUCCUUAUGACGACGAUCUUGAUACUCAUCAUUAUAUUACUUAUUGUGUACACUUGCACAUUGACACCACUAUACAUUAUAUUGAGUACACACACCAGUUAACCAAACAGUUUAAUGUUUUAUCUUUUUAAGUUACAUAUGCCUAAUCUCAGUUCCAAACAGGACCUAAAAAUUAGUCUAAGAUAUGAGANNNNNNNNNNNNNNNNNNNNNNNNNNNNNNNNNNNNNNNNNNNNNNNNNNNNNNNNNNNNNNNNNNNNNNNNNNNNNNNNNNNNNNNNNNNNNNNNNNNNCCUCCACUCCUUUGGCAAUUGUCAUCCUGAUAGGCUUAUAAUCCAAGACCCCAGUUUCCAUAUGAUCCAAAAAGAAACCUUUAAACCAAUAUCUCUAGUGGUAAUUGUAAAAGGACCUAUCUAAUCUCUCUUGUACCAAAAUUGUGUCAAAUCUCCUAUUAAUUAGACUAUGUAAACAGAGUAGCUGACCAUCUAGCAUUAAAUAACCACAAUCCCCAAUAGUUUGUUUGAAAUCAACCAUUGACUUAGUAGCUACAACAAUCCCCCCUAUUUUUUCUUCAAUAUCAAAGAAACUCAGCGCCUUUAAAGCAAUAAAAGAGAACCCUUACCACUAUACUAUAAGCACUUUAAUCGUAUUUAAAUGUGACGAAAUUCUUUUUAUUGUCUAUUUCAAAAGAGACAUGGGGUAUACUUAAACGGAAAAGGGGUCCACCCCAGUAGCCAACUGCACCCUUCAAACCUUAUCGGUUUACAACAAAAUAGUUAUCAUAAGAUAAUUUAGCCCUGUUAAUCUCCAUCUAUAUAGUCAAAAGUUUAGCCUCUCAUAAAAAUAUAAUAUCCAGCUUAUGAAUUUGGAGAACUUUGGCCAAUGCAUUGAAUGUUCAGGUGUUCCCAAGCACUGAACGUGCCAAUUCAAAAUCCUCAUUUGGCCAAGUAGGGCUAGACACCAGCAACCACCAUUGAAACUUUAUCAGGAUUGACUAAGGAGAAUAUUCAACCAAAACAAUUGGAGCAAGAGAGAGGAAACAUUACAAAGUUUUCCUUCGUUUUCUGAGAAGGUAGCAUUGCUGUUUGAAAUCAUGUAUUCUUUGGGGUCAGACAAUUUUUCACAAAUCUUAUUAGAAUGUCUCUUGGGGCCCAAAUCAUUGCUGGGGACAAUUUGAUAAUUAAGCCCAAUUCAUCCAACCUUUCUCUUCCACCUAGUGAUUUUGUUUGGGCUUGGUUUUGGAGAAAAUUGGCCUAAAUACAAUCCAGGAUUCUCCUUGGACUUGGUCCCCAAAUUUUUAAGAAAUAACUCAUAAUUCAUUCUAUCGGGCCCUACACUCUCUUCAUUAGUACUGGAGCAAAAUCACUAUUAAAAGUUCUUUGUACCUCAUUUGACGUGGUUAUCAUGUUGUCCUCCGUCAUCACCUGAGAUGUCUCAAGCGUAAUGUGGAUGAUUUAAGGUAUUGUGUGGAUUACACAAUAAGUAAAUAAUAUUGUAAUAUUUGUGUAUUUAUUUCAAAAUAAUUAUAGAAACAGUAGUUAUUGAAAUACAAGUAUGCAACCCAAGAGGGGGGGUGAAUUGGUAUUUUAAAAAAUUAUCCUAACAAAAACACACAAUAAUCAAAUCCAACGCCUUAAUAAAUUCGAAAGCAAUAAGUUCAAUAAAAGCACAAUAACAAAUGAGUAAGAGAGAAGAGAAACAAACACAUGAAUUUUUACGUGGUUCGGUAAUCCCCGCCUACGUCCAUGCCUCCAAGCAAUCCAAGCUUAAGGAUUUCACUAUGCAAACCUUCCAAGACUUCAAAUGUUUACAAUUGACUUCAAGGUGUCAAUGAACCUUUACAACAAAGAGAUUAUCUCUCAAUCUCUUCACUCAAGUGUCUCACACACUCAAACACUCACAAUUAAGAUGAGGAAUUGAAAAUUACAAUAAAAACUCUCUUAAAGAGUAGAUAUACAACUUGAAGAACAAAAGAUGAUUCAAGGUUUUAUGAUUUGCGAAAUGAGAGCUCAAUGAAUGUUGUGUGCAUUUUUAUUUUGCUUGCAAGAGAGCUUGAAAAUGAAUUGGAUUUGAAUUUAUAUAGUUUGAGCUCAAAAAAUAGCCAUUAUGCACAUUUUGGUGAUAACCGGUUUACCGUUUAUGAAAUCUGGUUAGCCGCUUGUAUGUUACCGUUAAGGCAAAAAUUUAAAUUUUAGAACAUCUAGCAUGCCGUUUACAAUAUCCGGAUAGCCGUUUAUGCUCCAGAAGCUUACUACCAAAAAUCUGGAUAGCCGUUUAUCAUAUCCGGUUAGCCGCUUGCUACAGUGACUGCUAUAGUAAAUUAUUUUCUAAAAUUAUAGUUUAACCCUAAACUUUAUAAAAUUGUAUUAUGGCCUAAAACGUUAUGAAAGUUUUCAAAUAGGUCCAAUUUCAGAAUUUCUAAAUAAUGCUUUGUCAAUCCUAAAACUUUCUGAAAUUAUGAUAUCACCCAAACUAUGUGAAAUUAUAGAAUGACCCAAAAUAUUUAAAUAUUUUUAAAUAGGUUCAAAUCCGAAAUUUUAAAACAACAUCAAAGAUUAUAAAAUACUUUCAUUUUAGUCCAAAACACUUUAAUUCCAUAAAAUCAUUUUCUUAUUAUAAAAGAACAAUUCAUAAAUCUUUGUUUAACUAACACAUGUGGUUUGUUAUCAUCAAAAUCAAUAUUUAUAGCCAUAUAGGCUAACAGUUAUAUUAAAUUUAAUUCUACAUUUAUAUAUGCAUUAAUUUGUUAUAUCUUCCUCCAUCUUAAAUUAUUCUUUUGCCUCAAUGGUGCAGCCUGAAGAUUUUCAUUCAUCACGAAAAUGGAGCGGUGACAUUCUCUUGUUCAUUGGCUAUGCUCGUGGUAGGUUUUGUCAUUUCCACAAAAGUUGGUUCCGACAUCCAUAAGCCAUAUAUCUUGCACUUUGAGUGGUACGAACUAUAACAUCAAAAUUAAGCUCUGAACUCUCACUUUACAUAUACCUAAUUCUACACAAUAAAAACAUAAAAUAGGAAAUCUUUCAUAAACAAUGCAAAAAGCAGAUACAGGUGCACCAUCUUUAAGUUGUAGCCUUCUAUCUUGACUCAAAUUAUCAUAAAUUUCUCGAAGCUUAGGCCUGUUUUAUUAGUAUCUACUUUACAAAUCAUGCUAUCAAGAAACAGCCGUACAUCUCCGUUCGUACAAGACAAUGGUAAAUCAUGAAUGUGUAUCCAAAAGAUGAGUGAGAGAAUUUAUGGUUUGUUCGGUCACCAACACCAUCAGGUUCCUCCAAACUAUGAGUUGUACUAAUUCACUUAAUAUCUGUAUAAUCUAUGUAUGCUAAUUUGAAUCAUCUUAUAAUUAGUAAUUAUAUUUAAUUCAUACACACAGGUCAUACAUAUAUAAAGUGGGUGUAGUACAAUAGAGAUACUCUAGAAUCUCUCAUCUCCACUAACUAACCCCUACUUAUUAGGAGUGGUUGUUCUAUUCAGGUCAAAUUUUAUUCGAUUUUCGUUUUGGUUCGGGUCAACCGUAAAAUAUGAAUGGUUUACAUCUUCAAGUUCGAUCGAUUUUGAAAUUUGAUUUGUUUUUAACUCUUUAAAAAAAAGGGCAACCCAAUUCCAAUUGCACUCAAGACAUCACGCAUACCCAAUUUCAAUUCACAAACCCAAUCCCCAAUUCACAAUUUGACAAGCACAAAACCAACUCUAACUCAGCCACAGCCUAACCUGAACCCAGCGGUUCCUCCACUGGUCCACGCUGCCGCUACACACUAGCACUAUCAACACAACCUCACUCUCUAGUCUUCUCUUUGAAAUCAACCCACGAGCCACAACUACAGCUUGCUGUUAGCUUGCCCUCACCAAAACAACACCUCAUCUUUCCUCUCACAAGUUCGCCAACGACUUGAACUUGUCGUCGACUCUUUACACAUGGUAAGUCAACUACAAAGUUUGUUUGCUUGACUACAUUUUCUUGCCUUUUUUGUUUAAAUUUUUUUGAUUCAGCUACAUUUGUUGUGUACUAUAUAGUGGUUGCAACUAAAAUCUAUGACAAUUUAUUUGUCAUGUACUAAUGCUAUAUUGCGUUGCAGCUGAAAUAUAUAACAUCAUGUUUAAUUUUUCUUGUAAAUGACAGGAAAGAUAUGACAGAAUAUGUUGAUCAGUUAAUGCAUGGAGAAAGCUAAUUUCUAUAUAUUUAUUAGUUUAAUUAAUUAUGAAACUUAUGUAUAGUGGCCCAGUUGCUUGCUUUAUCAAUUAUCAUCAUUGAACAAUGCAACUACAAAAAGUAAUUGUUGUAAUUUCUUUGUUGUUGUUUUCUUUUAUUAUUGUAAUUUGUAUUGGAAUAUUUUGAACUUAGUGUUUUGGUAACCUGAAUAUUUCAUCAUUUGUUGAAUAUUUCAUCAUUUUGCUAUUUAAUUUGUUUAUCUUUGGCUAUUCCUCGUCUGAGCGGAAUUAUUAACCCAACCCGACCCAUACUGAAUUAUUAACCCAAACUAUUUUCCAAUGCAAAUAGGGGCGGAUCUGUUAGUGGGCAGCCCGGUAUAGAAAAAAAAUUCAGUUAGUUUGAUUAAAAUUACGAAAAUGCCAUUAAUUGUUAAUUAGGAAUAUACCAUCAAUUAUUAAUUACGCAAAUGCCAUCCAUCAUUAUUAUUUUUCCUUUACUUCCACCAACACCAUUAGAAAAAAAAAAAAUUCCAAACCCUUCACGAUUCUUCAUUCUUCAUCAAUUCACCUUCACUGCUUCAUAAAUCACAAUUCAUUAUCCGUUCAUAUCUUCAAAUUUCUUUACGGUUUAUACAUUUUUCUACAUAUGUUACUAUACUUUUAGAACUUGCAUAAAUUAUUUAUUUUUUUAGAUAGAUUUUAUUGAUUUAUUUUACAUAUUAUUUUGAAUGUUUGAUUGGCUUUUUUUUGUUGUAAUUAGUUUGUGAUUUAUCAAUUUGAGUUGAUUUAUUAUUGUUAUUUUUUAACUAAUAAUAUUUUUUUUAAAUGGAAAAGAUGAACAAAAUUGAAUUGUUUAAUUUAUUUAAGCAUGCUAAUUAAGCUUGUAAUUCGUCUAGUGUUGACUCUUCCAGUGUCUACAGCCACAACAGAGCGUGCAUUUUCAACCAUGAGCCUUAUCAGGACAUCAUUUUGCAAUAAGAUGGAAAAUGAGUUUCUUUCAAAUUGUAUGAUUGUCUAUGCUGAAAGAGAAAUUGUAGAUAAUAUUGAUUCAGAAUCCAUUGUUGAUGAAUUCUAUUGUUUGAAGCCGCGAAAAGUACAACUUUAAUUAUAUUUUUGUUUUGAAUCACAUUUUUGUUUUGAAUCACAUUUUUAUUUUCUAUUUUUAUAUAAUUAUUUUAUUUAAAGUAAUUAUUAUUUAGUGUAAGAUUUCUAAUGUCCUCAUCUUAUUAUGUGUAUUUUAUUUUUUUCUUAUAAAAUUUUAUGUUCACUUUACAAUAUAAUGUUUUUUAUAUUUAGUCCAAGGUACUUUAAAAUCCUGGAUAUGCCCCUGAACGCGAAAUUCACAACCCAAAACCGAACCGGAUUAUGAACUCGAACUAAACCAAACCGAAUUUGAAACCAAGCCGUAACGAACUGAAAUAAUUUCCCAACCUAUUUGGGUUGACUUCUUAAACUUGAAUGGAUUGCAAACCGAAUCAAAAACUGAAAAAAUUGAAUUGAAAACCAAAAAUCCCACCCAUACUUAUGAUUCCUUGUGCCUCUAGACCUCUUCUUACCAAAAGCAGCAUACUAAAGUGUACAGCAAAUGCUCAUUUUCUAGGUGACAUGGCUCAAGCAGGUCCAAUUGUUCGAAAAUUGAAAAUAAUCAGAUCAAAUUUGACAACCCAUACCCAUUUAUUUGUGUCAUCUUCAUAUCGGGUAAUCAGGUCAUGUCAAAUUUUGCCAGCUCUACGUACAAUUGUCAUAACUCAAAAUAUUUCACUUUCUCCUUGACAUUAUUUAUACAUCAUUUAAUUUACAAUCAAAAUUUUAUUUCAAAUGUUACCAAGAGGUAAAUGUUAUGUGGUAUACGAGUGUUUUCUGUUUUUGGUUGCAAUUUUUCAAUCUAACCAAAUGUGUAUAUUAAUACAUCUCUUCUAAUUAUCAGUAAUUCAUAAAUUAUACUAAAAUAAAGGGAAUCUAGUCCAUUGCCGAAAAAAUUAAUUGGGUUGCAUCUGCUUAUAAAUAGUUGGGAUAUCAUUAGAUAACGGAAAGGGAUAUUUUGGCCUUCCAUCAAAUCCAUCUUCUCAAAUGGGCUGUCUAAAUUGGCCCACAUUUCAAAGUUAAUUACUUGUAAUCUGUCAGCAGCAGGUAACACCAUUCUUCCUUGGAAAAUGCUAGCUACCCCGAGUCAAGGCAUGGGUCAGACUCCAAAAGCAAUAAACGACGUCGUUUCAAUCCCUUUUUUUUUCCUUCCAUUAUCCCUCAAACGACGUCAUUUUAGCUUGGUUAAGGCAAAAUCAACAACAGUCCCAAAUUGCUCUCUUUCUCUCCGACUCACAACAGCCUCAAAUUGCUUUCUCUUUCUUUUUGUCUCACAGCCCUUUUAUCCUUCUAUUUCUUUGUUUCUCUUCCCCUUCGUUUCACAACCACCAUCACACAUGCCCAACUAGUUGGAUAGUCUUCUAUUCACUGCAGAAAGCUAACUAGUUUCCCUAAUAUAUAUAAGAAAAACUAAUUUUUCUAAAUUCAAGUAAAAUUGAAGCUUCGAAAAUAAGCCACUGCCAAAGAAGAGAGGACCUUAGCUACUGGGAAAGCCACGUAAAAUCGAAACUCAACUUUCAAGGGUAGAUGCCGAAACUCAAUCUUCAGUUAGAAAAUUUUCGCAGCUACCGUAAAUGCCAAAACUCAUCCUUCAACGACAAUGCCGACACUCAUCCUUGUUCAAACUUUCCUUUUUGUCUUUUGGUGGUGCCGAUGGCUAGGUAUAUGUGAUGGAACCCUGUAUGAUGGUGGUUGUCAGGCUGAUGGCUAUCAGUGUGGUGGGUACCGAUGAUUGGGUACGCGUGAUGGUGGCUAUGAAACGAAGGAGAAGAGAAAGCAGUGGUUUUACAGAGAAAUAGAAGGAAAAAGGUUGUGAGACGAAGAGAAAGAGAAAGCAAUUGGGGGCUGUAACAAUUUUACCUUAACCAAGCUAAAACGAUGUCGUUUUAGCUUGAAUGAAAGGGAAAAAAAAAGAGAUUGAAACGUCGUCGUUUAUUGCUUUCGGGGUUUGACCCGGGGUAAAUAGUAGAAUUGUUCUUACUUAUGAGACACAAAUCUAUUAUUUUAAUUUUUCCUUAUUUUUAAUGCUACAUGUGCCAAGCUAACCAACCUUCCCUUGUCAUAUCAAAGUUCCGUAUGACACGGUUUUUGUAACAUAGCCAAACCCUUUACUUUUUUUUUUUUUUCAUGAGACUAUUGUUUAAGAGUACAACUCAUAUUACAUGAGAUUAUAACUGAUAUUUAUAAAUCAGACUAUUAUUGGGACUAGUUUACAUUAAUUUUUAUAAAUUGCUCAAGAGUACAACUCAUAUUACAUGAGAUUAUAACAAAUAUUUACAAAUCAUAUAAUUACUGGGGCUAGUUUACAUUAAUUCUUAUGAAGCACCACCCAUAUUUUUACCCUAUCUAAUAUUUAAGAGAUGUCUACUCAUCACUCAAAUUGAUAAAGGAAAUUAAACCCUCAUAAUACAUUAUGUGGAUUCCAACCUAUGACCUCACAAUUAUUAGAUUUGGCUUCUAACCAUUGGGCUAAAGCCUGAUGGCUCCCUUUACUUGAACUUAGGUAACAUGGCACCAAAUAUAUUCGCAGCCAGCCAAUUAAGCUUACGUUAAGGGCGCAAAAGAAGUACUCUAGGAUGUAAUUUCGCCAAUACGCUUAAUUUGAGUGUGGGUAAAUUUCAAGAUGCUAAACCCCAGGCGUAAUUCACACUAAUAAAAUUCAUAUGUUGUUUAUUAUGGUAUCAAAAACUCAUGCCUAUAGUCUAGGAGUGUGGGCAAGAUCACUUGAAUUUUCUAAACUAGUCUUACAAUUAAGUAAUUAAAAAAAAUAAAACCAGAAAAAAUAAAAUGUAUCAAUUUCAUAUGCUAAGGAAAGGUGAACCCUGGUAGUAAGCAAAGAAAAAGAAAAAAGAUUCAAUGGGCAAUAAACAGUAAAAAUACGAAAAUCAACACCUAGUCCAAAGAGAAGGAUAACCUUGUUGUAUGUUGUUCCUAUUGAAAAUUCGUCAAAUAAUAAGAUGAAUAUAGAAGUUAAUUUUUUUAAUCACAAUUUUACGUUUUGUCCAUUAAAUUUUUAUUUAAUUUUGUAAUAGACUAUCAAACUUUAUAGUCUAUCUAUUAUAACCCCU